AUGCUCGUCAAACCUCAUUCGUGUACACUCGUAAGGAGUGGUUCUGAGCUUAUUGUGAAUGCUCAGUACCAAGAAGUAGAAGAGAGAAUGCAUAAGAGAGAAUUAACUUGGCUAAAGAAUUAGGAAACAAAUGAGGGAUUUUUUAAGAAAUUAAUUCUCCAACUGCCACUUUUGGAAAUUUUCUAUCAACAACUAGCUACCAAAACACUAGCACAUAGUAAGAAAUUGGGAUAAUUUCAGAAACCUCGCUUGAGGCUUUUAAUAAUCUCAAGAAGCUCCCCUCAAAAUUUUAAAAUUACACGUACCAUUCCUAUUGGUGCAAAAGUACUCUACUACCCCUAAUAGGAUACUCAAAAGACUUUUUUAUGGGAAAAAAGAAGGCCAGAAAUCCAAGCGAAAACAAAAAAAAAUCAAUUUCUUUUCUCUUUUAGCCUUUUACGCUUGUGCCUUCUACCUUUGCUCACUUUCCCAUGCCAAUCUUCCUAUAACCACUUUCCUAAUCCCUUUUCCCCAACUUUUCUUCUCUACUUCAAGACCAAUUUUUGUCCAUCAACCUUGGCUUGUGCUUUGUUCCAUUCCCUUCCCUUCUCCUUCUUUGAUUUCCCUUACAUCUCCCUUUCUCUUUGCAAAAGUGACUAGGCUCAUCUCUCUCCUUUUUUUCCCCAUAUUUUAAGUGUAGUGGGUUUGAUUAUUUUGCCUCUAUUUUAUUUGAUUUUGGUGGAUUAUGGGUGAUAAAACUUGGUGAUGUCACAUAUUAAAAGUUUGAUAGAUGGAUAUUGGGCUUUAGACAAUGAUUUGCUGAAAAAAAAUGGCCGCAAUGAGAGGAAGAGGCAAGGGGAUUUGAGUGUGGGGGUUGAUUGUUGAUGAAUUGUUGUUUUGGACAAAAUUUGAGGUUGAGUUUUAUCAAAUUUGGUAGCAAGUGGCGAGAUUUGUUUAGGUUGCGGGAAAUAAAUUGGAUUGUGGUUUCUUGGGCAUCCACAGUCGUUGGAAUUGGUUUUGAUUCAAAUUAGGGUGGUUACUUGAUUUUCCUAAUAGUGUUGCUUAAAAGCACACGAUCAUCAAAAUUCCUUAUUUUUAUCUUUUAUUUUUUUUGUGGAAAAGAUUUCAUGACUUUCGUGAUAGUCUAAUUUGGAAGAAGGCAAUCAAGGGAUGCAAUCAACAUUUAGCAAAAGCUUUUGUUGUUUUCUUUGUAAUUUUUAGGGUAAAAAGGGUAGUUUAGGUUAUUUGAAGGAAAUGAUAGUCUAUUGGAUCUAUUUUGAAGCAUAAAUAGUGAACAUAAGGGAGGUUGGUGUUAUUUCUAAAAUCUAAGGGGAAUUGUCUGAAAUUGUCCGAGACCUCGGAGGAGGUUUUCAAAAUUAUCCGUAAGAAAUCAAAUGCGAAACUUGAUUAGUACACGCACACACGACACCGCACCACGCCACGCGUGUGUUGAGGACUGAUGUCCGUAACCAACGACAAGCAGGUUUUCAAUUUUUUUUUCCUUUCCUAGAUUCAAAGAUGGUGUCAGCUUCUAUUAUUGGUGAGCAGGAGGAAAUCCACAAUAUACAUUACACAUCACCCAUAUUCUUUUUAAUUGAACAAUGUAUGAAAUUAUGGUGAUUCGAAAUUAAAUUAUAUGUUUAUUGGGCAACGAAUCCAAAAUAAGAGUUGGAAAUGUAUUGUGACAACAAUUGUUAACUUUGGCCACAAAUGAUCAAAAUAAAUAUUUAAGGUUUAAUAUGACAUUAUGGGUUCAAAAUAUAGUUACUUGUUAUGAAACAACUAAAAGUGCGGAUGCCCAUUUGUAUUCUCAAAAGGAUCAAUUCACAAUUCAUUGCUCCCAAGAGGAUUAAUUCAUAAUUCAUUGCUAUAUUAUGUAAAGGAAUUACAUUGGAUGAACGGUUUCAAUCCAUAAGAGCUAUUCAUGUAUUGGAUGAACCAUUUCAUAUGGCUAUUUAUAUUCUUGUAGUAAUGAGUGUUUAAUAGAAUUGUUGUACCUCUAAUUUUGUAGUACCUAUAUAUAGAGGUACCUUAGCACCUCUUGGGUGUACUUUUUGAUUAGUUGGAAUAAUAAGAAAAUCAUUCUCUAUUUUUGUACUUCUUUCUCUAAUAUUUCAAUUCCUAUUAUAGUAGUUCAUUUUUUUUUUAGUUUUACAACACGUUAUCAGUACAAGUCUCUACUUUUGAACAAAAAGGUGAAAACGGAGUCUCUACCUUAAAAAAAAGUGAAACACGAGAUUCUGCCGAAAUUCUGCCCGUAUUUUUCCAGUAACUUCUGUCUACUUAUUGAGAAACGGAUGCCAAAUAUUUGGGAUUAAAUAAUGGUGAUGAUGACAUUUGUCUCAUUGAUAGUGCUACUACGCACACUAUAUUGAAAAAUAAGAAAAUUUUCUUGUAUGAAAAUGAGAGAGACAAAUGUUAAUACCAUAAGUGGUAGUGCAAAAUUGAUUGAAAGAUUCGAAAGAGCCACUCUAUUUCUUACUGAAGGGACUAAAAUUGUCGUAAAUAAUGCACUACUGUCUCCCAAGUCUCGGAGAAAUUUAUUGAGUUUUAAAGAUAUCCACGAAAACAGAUAUCAUAUCGGGACAAUAACUGAGACAAAUAAAGAAUUUUUAUUAAUCAAAAGUAUCAUUUCUAGGCAGAAAUACGUAGUAGAAAAAUUACCUUCUUUUUCUUUUGGCUUAUAUUAUGCACAAAUUAGUGCAAUUGAAAUUUAUCACCUAGUAGACCAGAAGUCUACUCAUCCCAAUAAUUUUAUCAUUUGACAUGAUCAUUUCAGAAAUCUUGAAUCUAUAAUGAUGAGACGAAUAAUCGAGAAUUCACAUGGUCACUCAUUGAAAAAUCAAAAGAUAUUAAAAGCAAAUGAAUUUUCCUGUGUUGCUUGUUCCCACGGAAAAUUAAUUAGACCAUCACCCGCUAAAGUUGGGACUGAAUCCCCUACAUUUCUAGAACGAAUUUAUGGUGAUAUAUGUGGAUCAUUUCGAUAAUUUAUGGUGCUAAUUGAUGUAUCAACUGGAUGGUCACAUGUAUGUUUAUUAUCUACUCCCAACCUAGUGUUUGCGAGAUUGCUUGCUCAAAUAAUUAAAUUGCGAGCACAAUUUUCAGACUAUCCAAUAAAGAAAAUUCAUCUAGAUAAUGCUGGUGAAUAUUCAUCACAUACUUUUGACGAUUAUUGCAUGCCCAUUGGAAUAACUGUUGAACAUCUUGUAACUUAUGUUCACACAUAAAAUGGUCUAGCCGAAUCAUUUAUUAAACGGGUACAAUUAAUUGUUAAACCAUUGUUGAUGAGGUCUAAACUACUUUCAUCUGCUUGCGAACAUGCUAUAUUACAUGCAGCAACACUUGUGAGAAUUAGACCGACAAGUUAUCAUACUUAUUUUCCCCUACAAUUAACUUUUGGUGAUAAAUCCAAUAUUUUUUAUUUACGAAUAUUUGGUUGUUCGGUUUAUGUUCUAGUUGCACUGCCCCAACGUCGUAAAUUGGGCUCGCAAAAAAGAUUGAAAAUAUAUGUCGGGUAUGAAUCACCUUUAAUUAUUAAGUAUAUGGAACCAUUGAUAGGUGAUUUAUUUACUGCGAGAUUUAUAGAUUGUUAUUUUGAUGAAUCACAUUUUUCAACAUUAAGGGGAGAUAAAAAUCGACCAAAAAAGGAAAUCACUUUAAAAAUAUCAUUGAAUUUCUCGAUUCUCGUACCGAAGUAUGUGAACUAGAAGUUCAAAAGAUUACACAUUUGCAAAAAAUUACAAAUCAAUUACUGGAUGCAUUUAAUGAUUCCAGAAGAGUUACUAAAUCACAUAUUCCUAUUGAAAAUGCUCCAAUUAAAAUUAAUGUCCUUGAAAGACAAAUUACAAGUGCUAAUGAGUCUAAAGUGCACCUGAAGUGUGGGAGAUCUCUUGGUUCCAAAGAUAAAAAUUCUCGAAAGAAAAGAGGAGCAUAUGAAUCAACAAUUAGUGACAAAAUUCAACCUCUUGAAGAGAUCGCUCCUAAAGAACCAAUUCUUGAGAAGAAUGAAAUCAUAGAAAAUUCAAUAAAUUUUAUCACUUCAGGAAAAAGUUGGAACCGAAAAGAAAUAAUUAUUAAUAGUAUUUUUGCAUAUAAUGUAGCACUUGAUAUUAUGGUAGAGAAUGAGGAUCACGAGCCUAAAUCGAUUGAUGAAUGUCGACGUAGAAAUGAUUGGCUAAAAUGAAAAGAUGCGAUCCAAUCUGAAUUGAACUCACUGGUUAAAAGAAAAGUUUUUGGACCUAUAGUCCAAACACCUGAAGGUGUAAAGCCAGUAGGAUAUAAGUGGGUAUUUGUGAGAAAAAUGAAAUCGUAAGGUAUAAAGUAAUACUUGUAGCCUAAGGAUUUUCACAAAGGCCUGGAUUUGAUUAUGAUUACACUUAUUCACCUGUAGUAGAUGCUAUCACAUUGAUAUUUUGUGAGUUUUGCAGUACAUGAAAAAUCAGAUAUGCAUCUAAUGGACAUCGUUACUGCAUAUUUAUAUGAAAAUCUUGAAAAUGAUAUUUAUAUGAGAAUUCUCGAAGGAUUCAAUAUGCCUGAAGCAUGCAAAUCAAAUCCUAAAAAUAUUUAUUUCAUUAAAUUACAAAGGUCUUUGUAUGAAUUCAAACAAUGUAAACGCAUGUGGUACCACCUCAAUGAAUGUUUAACUAAAGAAGGCUAUACCAAUGAUCCAAUAUGUCCAUGUGUCUUUAUAAAAAAAAUGGAUCAAAUUUUGUGAUAAUUGUUGUAUAUGUUGAUGAUCUAAAUAUGAUUGGAACUCCUGAAGAGAUUCAAAACAGUGUUGAAUAUUUGAAAAAAAAUUUGAGAUCAAAGAUUUUGGAAAAAUAAAAUUUUGCUUUAGUUUACAAAUUGAGCAUUUGAAAAGUGAAAUUUUUGUCCACCAAACUGCUUAUACCUGGAAGGUAUUAAAGCGAUUUUAUAUGGAUAAGUCACAUACAUUAAGUAUUCCAAUGGUCAGAUCAUUAGAUCCUAAUAAGGAUCCUUUAGACCGUGAGAGGAAGAUGAAGAGAUACUUGGUCCUAAAGUACCAUAUCUCAGUGCAAUUGGUGCACUACUGUAUCUUGCUAAUUGUACAAGACCUGAUAUAUCAUUUGCAAUAAAUUUAUUAGCAAGAUUUAGUUCCUCGCCCACAAGACGACAUUGGAAUGAUAUUAAACAUAUUUUUCGUUAUCUUUAAGGAACAAUUGAUCUUGCGUUAUUUUAUUCAAAUAAAUCUAAACUUGAAUUGCUUGGUUAUGCUGAUGUUGGAUAUUUAACUACUCUGCAUAAAACAAAAUCUCAGACUGGUUAUCUAUUUACAUAUGGAGGUACAACCAUUUCUUGGCGAUCUACAAAGCAAUUAUUAGCCACCACCUCAUCGAAUCAUGCUAAAAUAAUAGCAAUUCAUGAGGCUAGUCGAGAAUGUGUUUGAUUAAGAUCAAUGACCUACUAUAUCCGGAAGAGUUGUGGAUUAUCCUCUGAAAAAGAAAAUCCUCCAACUAUAUUUUAUGAAGAUAAUGCAGCUUGUAUAGCUCAAUUGAAAGGAGAAUAUAUUAAAGGAGAUAGAACGAAACAUAUUUCACCAAAUUCUUUUUUACUCAUAAUUUACAAAAGAAUAGUGAAAUUGAUGUGCAACAAAUCCGAUCAGAUAAUGAUUUAAUAGAUUUAUUUACUAAUGCAUUGCUGACUGCAAUAUUUGAGAAAUUGGUAAAGAAUAUUGGAAUGCGAUGACUAUAAGAUCUCAAAUGAUAUUUGCAUCAGGGGAAGAAAUCAAUACACAAGAAUAGUGUACUCUUUUUUCUUCACUAGAACUUUUGUCCCGUUGGAUUUUUUUCUAGUAAGAUUUUAAUAAGACAUAUUCUUUGUGUAAUGAAUAUUCAAUGGGGAGUGUUAUGAAACAACUAAAACUGUGGAUGUCCAUUUGUAUUCUCAAGAAGAUAAAUUCAUAAUUCAUUGCUUUCGAGAGAAUUAAUUCAUAAUUUAUUGCUACAUUAUGUAAAGGAAUUACAUUGGAUGAACGGUUUCAAUCCAUAAGAGCUAUUCAUGUAUUGGAUGAACCAUUUCAUAUGGCUAUUCAUGUUCUUCUAGUAACGAGUGUUUAAUAGAAUUGGUGUACCUUUAAUUUUGUAGUACCUAUAUAUAGAAGUACCUGGCACCUCUUGGGUGUACUUUUUGAUUAGUUGGAAUCAUAAAAAAAUCAUUUUCCAUUUCUGUACUUCUUUCUCUAAUAUUUCAAUUCCUAUUAUAGCAGUUUUUUUUUUUAGUUUUACAACAUUACUCAAAUAAGAGAGUUAUUGGACUACAUGUUUAUUGACCUCUACUAACUUAUUUAAGGUCAUUUUAUAUCACUAUCCAAAGAAGAAUUAAGGUCAUUUUAUAUCACUAUCCAAAGAAAAAUUCUUGGGCGUUAGCAUUUUUCUUACAUGCGAAGACUAUUAAUGAAAGUUGACCCAAAUCUCUCUGUCUCUCUCUCUCUCUCAAUUCUUAGGACUGAUGCCAAUUCUUACCAUUUAGAAAGAAAAAUUAGAUUGUUUAUAUAUAUGAUGAGUUCCCUCUAAGUCAUGGUUAAGAAAAAUUCUUAGUUAAACGUAGUUUUAUGAAAUGUGAAUUUCCUUUUCGUUGUCUUUAUUCAUUAGUAUUAUUGGGAUUAUUGUAUUCUAAUUGCAAUGCACAGAUACAUGGAUUUUUGACAUUUUUUCUUUUUAAUUGACUCUGACUAUGUCUCAAACUCGAGACAUCAAACCUGGAGACGACUUUUGUCCAAAAUGCUUGUAAAAAUUCAGAAGAAUAAUUUUGGACCUUAUUAUUUAAUAAUGGUAGAAUUAUGAGAGUCAUUCCUAGUUAAUUAUCAAACUUGGAACUUGAAAAAAAUGUCGACAUCAUGUCAUUAUUAUUUGUUUGUUUCAUAGAAAAAUAAAGCAUUCUCCGACUCCACAUUAUCAUAUUAUUUUCAAUUGGCAGCUUAAGUGAGAAAGACAGGUGAAAAUUUUGUGCAUUACUAAUUUAUUUAGGCCUCACGCGUCGCGCGAAUGUGCCCACAUCAUCUUCGCUGUAUUGGAGAAAUUUGAGCGCUUUGAUCAUAAGAAAUUCACAAUCACAACUGGCCACAAAGAAAGCACUAACUGGUUUAAACAAAGCAUGCAAAUUUCUUAAACAAUAGAUACCUAAACCAACCAUUUUACCGUCCUGCCAAAAAAAGGGCAUUAAAGUAAAAACAACCUAUGCCUAACACAGCUAACAAACUUCAGCACCUUCACUUCACUGCCACGUCAUCAACAACAUUUGCAAAUUUCCAAGGAAGUCCACGCACUAAAGGUGCCCAUGCCCCAUAGGUAGGGCUGUCAACGGUCCGGGUCUGGACCCGAACCCGACCCGGACCCGCCAAUAUUUGUCGGGUACGAGUAGGCAUAUAGUUCCGGGACCCGGACCCGGACCCGGAACCGUUUAACCUAAUAGAUUUGCGGGUAGAAUACGGAAUAUGCCGUUCCGACCCGUAUAGGACCCGACCCCGUUUUUUAAUUAAUUAAUAAUUAAAAAUAUAUACCCAAUUUUGUUCAACCCUAAAUCCCUAAUAGUCUAAUACCCACGUAACCCACCGCCGCCGCACUCUCUUUUCCUUUGCUCCUUACCCAGCCCCAGCGACCAUUUUUCUCCUCUGCCUCCCAACUCCUGAGUCGCGCCUCCACCACCACCACUCACCACUCACCAGAUCUGCAAUUUUUCAGGAAAUUGACUGAAGUUUGAGUCUGACCGAAAAGGACUAAACGUCUAAACCGAACGUCUUCAGUCUUCCUGGAGUUUCUGCUCGGCUGCCGCCGACUGCUUUUGCCGACUGCAUGUCGCAGCUAACGUGGCACACUACAAGAAAGUGAGAAGACUGCAGUUCGUGGACGCGAUUCCUAAAUCUCCUUCAGGAAAGAUAAUGAGAAGGCUCAUCAAGGAGAAGAUGGCAGAAAUUUAAAUAAGAAGAUGCGACCAGUGGGCGUUUUUGCUCAGAACCAACACGGGUUCUGUAGGAAUAAUCAAUUCCCUCCUCUUAGUCUUCGGUAACAUAUGGGCUGCUAUUCCAUUCUCACCUUUACUAUUGUGAUUGUAAUAAGCUAAUGCGAAAUUCACUUGGGUCGGUCCCAUGGAGAUAUUUUAAAUACUAGUACUAUGUCUGGCUUAAAGCAGUAAAGGCCUCAAAUAGUCACAACCACAGCACACCAGCAGUACUGCCUUUCACACGCCACGAGGUUAUCUCAUCUCGAAGAUCAACAUAGGUAAUUAAGUAGAGCUCCCAAAGUUUGCCACAGGUUUUAACGGGUCUGAUUGCCGGGUAGACCCGGCCCGGAUUCGGGACCCGUCGGAUACGGGUCCGAUGACCGAUUAAAAGAUCCGUCGGGUAUUCGGGCCGAAUCCGGAACUAAUCUAGUAUAACGGGUCCGGAUUCGGAUAUAUGCAUUCCGGCCCGGACCCGGCCCGUUGACAGGCCUACCCAUAGGGGACCUCAGGUUAGUCUUCUUAACAUCAACUCCUGUCUUUCUAUUCUUAGGAAAUAUUGAAAUUAAACGUUAUAACUAAUCCUGAUUUCCUUGUGCCAUAUUUGUACACAAUUUGGCAACAAGGGUAAAAAAAAAAUAAAAAUAAAAAGGUUUAUCUGCAAACUGUAGUUCGGCCUGGCUCUUUUUUUUUUUUUUUUUGGGGAUAAGAUCAUCUCAGCACCCGCAGACCCCGUCAUGUAUCAAUAUUUCUGUACUUAGCAUUGGCUUCUUCCGCCUGAAGAACACACGAACCACCGAAAUAGAUGGUGAAUGAAAGUGCACUUAACCCUUUUAAUUUUUCAAAACAAUUGCUUUUAGAAAAAAUAAUAAAAACUUUUUUGAAUUUAAUUUUAGAGAAGAAGAAUUUUAAACCUUUUUGAAUUUAAUCUUGGAGAAGAAGAAGUUUAAAACGUACUUUAAUUUUCACAACUGAUGAUGAAAAUAGCAAAAUGUUCACGGAGAGUGACAAAAGUGACAUCUUAUCUUUUUGCUGACUGCUCCGCUUUCCAAUGAGAGGGUCCAGAAGGGACCACGGGGAGCAGUUGCAGGUCCAAUCGUUUCUAGUGAUUUUGUGUAUUUUACACAUCAUGUAACUUUAUUUGUAUACGACGUAAUUUUAUUUGUACAACAUGUAAUUUUAAAAUAAAUUUUUGUGAACCCUACACACGUUAUUAAAAAUGAGGUACAAAAAGUAAUUUGGAUUGCAAAAAUUUUUUGAACCAAAUCUUGGCCGUGAACAGCUCAGGAACGAUCCAUCUAAUGAACGCUUCUGCCUCUUAUCCAUCCAGAAGGGGGUGCCUCUGCUUCAUAUUUUAUCCAUAUUGAUAUUUUUUUUUCCUGUGCCUCUAAGUAUUAAAUGUGAAAGGUUGCCCACCAUAUUUGACGAAACCGUUUAUCCUAAUUGAUUAUUAUCAACAGGGCAUAACUUUAAUAUUCUUCGUCCAACCCUUUCUGGUGAUUCCUGCAACUCCAGCCGUCCGUCAAUGACCAUAAAGCACCAUUAACCGACAACUAACUAACCACUACUAAUCUAUUCUCAAAUUUUAAUGAAAUUGCACAAUUAGUUUUCAUUUCUCACUUUUAUUUCAAAUUUGGUCUCAAUUUAAUGUGAACCCCAACAAAUAAGAUCGGAGUUGAAAUCAAAGAAGGUAUUUCAAUCACCAUCAGAUAAAUUCGUCAUAUCUAGUUUUGUUUUUGAGAUGCAUAGAAAAUGUAAGCUGAUUUUUCAAUCUACGAGAAAAACGAAAGUCUAAGAGAAUAAUUUUGUCAAAAUUUGACAAUGGAAUAACAGUUGUGAACGGGUGGCCACUGGUUGGCAGCUAGAAGUUAUAGCAGUUUUAAAACAUAAUUGGAGAAAGUAAAAGAUUAAAACUACGUUGUCUACUAUUAACGACUUACAUUGACAAAAUGGCUAAAGUUAGGGUUGAAAAAUAAAUUAAACUACGCGACAUUCGAAUCAACUUCGAUUGGUAAGAGUUUAUUUCAAUUUGGUUUGUUAACUAGUCAAAUCAAAUUUCAACAACAUUUUAUAGUCGAUAACUUUGAAACUUGAUAAAAAAGUCCGUUUAAACUCGAUUUAGUAAAUAAACAAAUCAAGUUUGAACAAUAUUUUAAACUCAUUAAAAUAAUUAAAUAUGUUUGAAUACUAGGGUAUUCGAUUUAAUUAGAUACGUUUGUACCCCUAAUUAAAGCAUGCACUUUUAUAAGUUUAGGAAUCAACAUUAUACAUUUAAUAGCUAGCUAGAGGGUCAAACAGUUAAUUGCCUUAAAUUCUUUUAGCAGCCAUAAGGUAUAGUUGGAGGGAUUCCCUUGAAAUUGGUUAGAUUCUUCUAUGUGACUAAAGAAUUUCGGGUGCGACGCAUUACUAGUCCUACCCUAAAAAAAAUGGUAUUACUAGUCCUUUUUUUCUUUUUUGGCGUGCCCCCGCCGUGGGAUGUGGGGAGGGGAGUCUGUGCGAGAAUUCUAGGUGGGGUACAAGGAGCCAAAGUUCACCUUAUUCAAAGUAAACAACCGUCCAUCUCAGUUGUCGACUUUCCUGUCGAUUGCGUAUAUAUAUUACUAUCUUUUACCAUGACUCUAGAGGAUAGCUAAUUUUGCUUGCUAUUAAAUAAUAAUUUCGGUAGUCUAUAAAUACUCUUGUUCCUCACCGCUCCUAGCACCACAUAAUUCCUUCAAGAACAGCCAAAACCUUCUUGAAAUCCCUCUUUUUCCUUCUAGUUCAUUUCCAAGAAACAAAUGGCCCCUGUCACUUCCAGUUAUGAGGUCACCUCCUCAAUCCCUCCUGCAAGGUUGUUCAAGGCCACCAUCCUUGAAGAGAAGCAUCUUCACAAGAUCUUGCCACAGGGUGUUAAGAGUGUCGAAAUCCUUGAAGGAGAUGGUGGAGUUGGCACAAUUAAGUUGACCACAUUUGUUGAUGGUAAGAUAAUCAAUACAAAGUGAUUAUUUUCACACAUUUGAAGUCUUCAAAUUGCUCCUUUUAUUUGGGAAAAACUAAUGACUUUUUUUUUUGGUUGCGUUAAAUAUUUAGGUGGCGAGCAUAAGACUGCCAAACAGAGAGUUGAUGGAAUUGACAAAGAAAAAUUUACAUACAGCUAUACUGUACUUGAAGCUGAUGGAUUUAACGAUGUAAUCGAGAAAAUCUGUUGUGUCAUCAAAUUUGAACCCUCUGCUGAUGGAGGUUCAAUCUGCAAAACCACUAACACAUACUACCCCAAAGGUGGUGCUCAGAUCGGUGAGGAACACCUCAAGGGAGGAAAAGAGAUGGGUUUGGGAAUGGUUAAGGCUGUUGAGGCUUACCUCCAUGCAAAUCCUACUGCCUACAACUAAUUAUAAUGAAUGCUACUGAAGGACUCUUCGACAUAUUUUCUUCAAGAUUGAAGUACACACUGAGGGUGUGUUUCCUUUUUUGCUUGGUUUGCUUUAAGCUGUUUGGUUAAGUUAAAAACAAAAUUGAAUCAUAGAGAGAACAAAAAAAAUAUAGUGUUUCUUAUGGAGAAAAAAAUGGAGCUGAUGCCUAAAAUCUCACAUGGAUCCAACAAGGAUAUGCUCAAAGUUGGAAAAAUGUGCUAUAAUUAUGAUUACUCCUUUAUGAAAUAAAGCUGAAAGCAGCUCAAUUUCUUUUUGUUUUCCAUAUUAUUCAAUUUCGUUGUCGAUUUUUGAUAGUUGUAUUUUUUUUAUUGCUUUAAUAAGGGCUAUGAUUGGAUAUCCUGUUAUGCCAUUGGCUGUCGAUGCUAAACCUGAUAAAUUAGAUGGAUCAUCCAAAUAAAGACAAAAUUGGCUAUGUAAACAUUGGUGAGGGACUAUUUCAGCUUAAGAAAAAUAGUUGAGGGACUAAAUUGGCUUAUAAUAAAAUUAGGGACUACUUCAGCUUUGUAAAAAUAGUUGAGAGACUAAAUUGACUCAUAAAAAGUUUAGGGACUAUUUUGACAUUAACGAAAUAGUUUUGAGACUAUAAACAUUAGGUCACAAUGUUGAAAUAUCAAAACCCAUGUUUGGGACCAAAACUCAUAGAACUUCUUCACGUCGCUAGCGAAAUUUGAUUCUGAAGUAAUGCUAAUUUUAUUUAUUAUUUGUUUCCUUGCUGGUCUUCUGUCUUUUUGGUUACAAUAUUAAAAUGUAUCCAUAAUUUUCAAUUCCAAAAGUGUUGAAUAUUUAAACGAAUUCUAGAAAGGGCACUGAGAGUCAAAAUCUUAUUCAAACAGCCAGCCAUCUCAGAGUACAUAUUUUUUUAUUAUCAGGUUCAAAAUGUAUCUAUUGCAAUUUUUGAAUGAUCAGCCAUGACUAAGAGAAUAAAAUAAUUCACUUGCUGUUUUUAGAUGUGAAUUCAUGACUGUCAGUAGUCUAUAAAUACACUUAUUGCUCACCACUCUUUGCACCGCAAAAUCUUUUCAAGAUCUAUCAAACCCUCCUGUUCUUGAUCUUUGUCCAUUUGUGAAAAAGCAAAUUAAAGCAUCAUGGCCUCUAUCACUUGUAGUGCUGAGAUGACCUCCCCAAUCCCUCCUGCAAGGUUGUUCAAGGCCGCCAUCCUUGAUGACCACCUUCUUCCCAAGAUCAUGCCACAGGCUAUUAAGAGUGGAAAUCCUUGAAGGAGAUGGUGGAGUUUGAACCAUUAAGUUGAGCACAUUUGGUGAAGGUUAGCAGUUAUAUUAAAUGUAGAACCCAAAUUUUAAGGAUCUAAUAAUAAUCAAUGCGUGCAGGGUUACAGAAUUGGAGGGAUAAAAUAAAUACUCAAAAUAUACGUGGAAGAAAAGAAAAUAAUAAAUUCAACUCAUAAUAUUAUUGAAAUUUCAAACAAUGAAGAAAAUCAUACCACAAUAAAUUCAGCUGGUUCUAAUAAUAAUCAAAGCAUACAAGGUUGCAGAAUUAAAAGGAUAAAACAAACACUCAAAAUAUAUGUGGGAGAGAAGAAAAUAAUAAAUUCAACACACAAUAUUACUGAAAUCUCAAACAAUGAAAAAAGUCACACCAUAAUAGAAAACCUUGCUAAUUCUUCUAGAUUCUUUCUCUUGAGAAACCAACCUAAAUAAUGUCCUAUUUAUAAUCUACCAAACUUGUUAGGAAAGAAACCACUUGCAUAAGAAAUUACCAAAUAAAACAGAAAUUCCUAAAUCACACAACUACUAAAAACAUAACUCAAAUAAAACUAAAAAUAAAUAAAUAUUUCUUGGCUUAGUUUAAUUUGUCAACAUUGCCUCCCUUAAACCAAACUAUCCAUUGAGAUAGGUUCAACACCAUCUCGAGCAAUAAUUUCUAUGUUGUAGUACACUUGACAUGAAACUCUAACUUGUUACCAGUUAUUAAUUUCAUUUUUACAUGUAACAAUGGACGCACUAUGUAUUUUGUAAAAAAUUUCUCAGCAAUUUCUUCUUGAUCAAAGUACUCACUUAUACAAACACAUUCAUCACCAGAAUCACCAUAUUUACCACCAAUGUAAGUGCCUAAAAAUACAAAAUCAUAGAUUGCUUUCUGGCUAAAAUUAUCAUCACCAAAUAAUUCAAAAUAACCACUACUACAAUCAUCCAAAAUUUUCAUACUGUCAGUCAACUCUUUUGGAGUAAAGUAUUUUUCAACUCCGAUGACAUCCAUAUCUAUCAAAUCAAACAUUCUCCCAUGACUUUGAAGAGAGUCCGCAACCAACGAAUUUUUCAACAACAAUUUCAUGUUCUCUUCUCUUAUCAAAUCAAAAUUUUCUUCUUCUUUUGUCAAAUUACCAUUUUAUUUUUUUCAACAAAUUCAUUACUUCUAAUUUCUCCAAACAAGGUACGCAAAUCAAAACUAUCAAUUGAUUCAAAAUUUUCAAUAUCACCCAUAUUAUCAACAAAUCUAUCAUUUUUAAAAUCCACAAACUAAUUCCAACAACUAGACUUCGGUUUGAAAGCAUAAUUUCUCUCAAUCGUGUGCAAAACAUAGUAAAUAUUCUUCCAAAAUCUCUAAAGUAUUUUAGUACAACCAAUAAAGGUUUUAUAAAUACUUUUUGCCAUUAAUUUAUGCAUCACUUGAAAGAAUAAUUGUGCCUUUUUCUUAAAAACAUGUUUUGCCAACUUACUUGCGUCAACCCAACAAAGAAUAUCAUCCAAAUUACAUUGUUUGACAUAUUUUUCCACUGUUAAAAUCCAACCAAAUAUGUAUGUAUAUUUGUGCUUAUAGGAGUCAAUAUGAAAAAUUUUUCACCGUCAAUCAGAUCUUUAUAAUAUUCCAUUAUUUAACAAUUUGUAUACCUGAAUAAAUUUUUUUCCUCCAUCCUGUCAUGUUUUCUUGGCCUCCCUGGUUGACUAACCAAAUUAUUGUUGUAUGUAUACCCAUGCUCGUCAAACCUCAUUCGUGUACACUCGUAAGGAGUGGUUCUGAGCUUAUUGUGAAUGCUCAGUACCAAGAAGUAGAAGAGAGAAUGCAUAAGAGAGAAUUAACUUGGCUAAAGAAUUAGGAAACAAUUGAGGGAUUUUUUAAGAAAUUAAUUCUCCAACUGCCACUUUUGGAAAUUUUCUAUCAACAACUAGUUACCAAAACACUAGCACAUAGUAAGAAAUCUGGAUAAUUUCAGAAACCUCCCUUGAGGCUUUUAAUAAUCUCGAGAAGCUCCCCUCAAUUUUUAAAAUUGCACGUACCAUCCCUAUUGGUGCAAAAGUACUCUACUACCCCUAAUAGGAUACUCAAAAGACUUUUUUUAUGGGAAAAAAGAAGGCCAGAAAUCCAAGCGAAAACAAAAAAAAUCAAUUUAUUUUCUCUUUUAGCCUUUUACGCUUUUGCCUUCUACCUUUGCUCACUUUCCCAUGCCAAUCUUCCUAUAACCACUUUCCCAAUCCCCUUUCCCCAACUUUUCUUCUCUACUUCAAGACCAAUUUUUGUCCAUCAAUCCUGGCUUGUGCUUUGUUCCAUUCCCUUCCCUUCUCCUUCUUUGAUUUCCCCUAUAUCUCCCCUUCUCUUUGCAAAAGUGACUAGGCUCAUCUCUCUCCUUUUUUUCCCCAUAUUUUAAGUGUAGUGGGUUUGAUUAUUUUGCAUCUAUUUUAUUUGAUUUUGGUUGAUUAUGGGUGAUAAAACUUGGUGAUGUCACAUAUUAAAAGUUUGAUAGAUGGAUAUUGGGCUUUAGACAAUGAUUUGCUGAAAAAAAUGGCCGCAAUGAGAGGAAGAGGCAAAGGGAUUUGAGUGUGGGGUUGAUUGUUGAUGAAUUGUUGUUUUGGAAAAAAUUUGAGGUUGAGUUUUAUCAAAUUUGGUAGCAAGUGGCGAGAUUUGUUCAGGUUGCGGGAAAUAAAUUGGUUUGUGGUUUCUUGGGCACCCACAGUCGUUGGAAUUGGUUUUGAUUCAAAUUAGGGUGGUUACUUGAUUUUCCUAAUAGUGUUGCUUAAAAGCACACGAUCAUCAAAAUUCCUUAUUUUUAUCUUUUAUUUUUUUUUUGUAGAAAAGAUUUCAUGACUUUCGUGAUAGUCUAAUUUGGAAGAAGGCAAUCAAGGGAUGCAAUCAACAUUUAGCAAAAGCUCUUGUUCUUUUCUUUGUAAUUUUUAGGGUAAAAAGGGUUGUUUAGGGUAUUUGAAGGAAAUGAUAGUCUAUUGGGUCUAUUUUGAAGCAUAAAUAGUGAACGUAAGGGAGGUUGGUGUUAUUUCUGAAACCUAAGGGAAUUGUCUGAAAUUGUCCGAGACCUCGGAGGAGGUUUUCAAAAUUAUCCGUAAGAAAUCAAAUGCGAAACUUGAUUCGUACACGCACACACGACACCACACCACGUCACGCGUGUGUUGAGGACUGAUGUCCGUAGCCAACGACAAGCAGGUUUUCAAUUUUUUUUUCCUUUCCUGGAUUCAGAGAUGGUGUCAGCUUCUAUUAUUGGUGAGCAGGAGGAAAUCCACAAUAUACAGUACACAUCACCCAUAUUCUUUUUAAUUGAACAAUGUAUGAAAUUAUGGUGAUUCGAAAUUAAAUUAUAUGUUUAUUGGACAACGAAUCCAAAAUAAGAGUUGGAAAUGUAUUGUGACAACAAUUGUUAACUUUGGCCACAAAUGAUCAAAAUAAAUAUUUAAGGUUUAAUAUGACAUUAUGGGUUCAAAAUAUAGUUACUUGUUAUGAAACAACUAAAAGUGCGGAUGCCCAUUUGUAUUCUCAAAAGGAUCAAUUCAUAAUUCAUUGCUCCCAAGAUGAUUAAUUCAUAAUUCAUUGCUACAUUAUGUAAAGAAAUUACAUUGGAUGAAUGGUUUCAAUCCAUAAGAGCUAUUCAUGUAUUGGAUGAACCGUUUCAUAUGGCUAUUCAUGUUCUUGUAGUAAUGAGUGUUUAAUAGAAUUGAUGUACCUUUAAUUUUAUAGUACCUAUACAUAGAGGUACCUGGCACCUCUUCGGUGUACUUUUUGAUUAGUUGGAAUAAUAAGAAAAUCAUUCUCCAUUUCUGUACUCUUUCACUAAUAUUUCAAUUCCUAUUAUAGUAGUUCAUUUUUUUUUAGUUUUACAACACGUUAUCAGUACGAGUCUCUCCUUUUAAACAAAAAGGUGAAAACGGAGCCUCUACCUUAAAAAAAAAGUGAAACACGAGAUUUUGCCGAAAUUCUGCCGUAUUUUUCCAGUAACUUCUGUCUACUUAUUGAGAAAUGGAUGCCAAAUAUUUGGGAUUAAAUGAUGGUGAUGAUGACAUUUGUCUCAUUGAUAGUGCUACUACGCGCACUAUAUUGAAAAAUAAAAAAAUUUUCUUGUAUGAAAAUGGGAGAGACAAAUGUUAAUAUCAUAAGUGGUAGUGCAAAAUUGAUUGAAAGAUUCGGAAGAGCCACUCUAUUUCUUCCUAAAGGGACUAAAAUUGUCGUAAAUAAUGCACUAUUGUCUCCCAAGUCUCGGAGAAAUUUAUUGAGUUUUAAAGAUAUCCGCAAAAACGGAUAUCAUAUUGGGACAAUGAUUGAGACAAAUGGAAAAUUUUUAUUAAUCACAAGUAUCAUUUCUAGACAGAAAUACGUAGUAGAAAAAUUACCUUCUUUUUCUUUUGGCUUAUAUUAUGCACAAAUUAGUGCAAUUGAAAUUUAUCACCUAGUAAACCAAAAGUCUAUUCAUCCCAAUAAUUUUAUCAUUUGGCAUGAUCAUUUCAGAAAUCUUGAAUCUAUAAUGAUGAGACAAAUAAUCGAGAAUUCACAUGGUCACUCAUUGAAAAAUCAAAAGAUAUUAAAAGCAAAUGAAUUCUCCUGUGUUGCUUGUUCCCACGGAAAAUUUAUUAGACCAUCACCAGCUAAAGUUGGGACUGAAUCCCCUACAUUUCUAGAACGAAUUCAUGGUGAUAUAUGUGGAUUAUUUCGAUAAUUUAUGGUGCUAAUUGAUGCAUCAUCUAGAUGGUCACAUGUAUGUUUAUUAUCUACUCCCAACCUGGCGUUUGCGAGUUUGCUUGCUCAAAUAAUUAAAUUGCGAGCACAAUUUUCAGACUAUCCAAUAAAGAAAAUUCAUCUAGAUAAUGCUGGUGAAUAUUCAUCACAUACUUUUGACGAUUAUUGCAUGUCCAUUGGAAUAACUGUUGAACAUCUUGUAACUUAUGUUCACACACAAAAUGGUCUAGCCGAAUCAUUUAUUAAACGGCUACAAUUAAUUGCUAAACCAUUGUUGAUGAGGUUUAAACUACUUUCAUCUGCUUGCGAACAUGCUAUAUUACAUGCAGCAACACUUGUGAGAAUUAGACCGACAAGUUAUCAUACUUAUUUUUCCCUACAAUUAACUUUUGGUUAUGAAUCCAAUAUUUUUCAUUUAAGAAUAUUUGGUUAUUCAGUUUGUGUUCUAAUUGCACCGCCCCGACGUUGUAAAUUGGGCUCGCAAAGAAGAUUGAAAAUAUAUGUCGGGUAUGAAUCACCUCUAAUUAUUAAGUAUAUGGAACCAUUGACAGAUGAUUUAUUUAUUGCGAGAUUUGUAGAUUGUCAUUUUGAUGAAUCAGAUUUUUCAACAUUAGGGGGGAGAUAAAAAUCAACCGAAAAAGGAAAUCACUUUAAAAAUAUCAUUGAAUUUUCUCGAUUCUCGUACAAAAGAAUGUGAACUAGAAAUUCAAAAGAUUAUACAUUUGCAAAAAAUUACAAAUCAAUUACCGGAUGCAUUUAAUGACUCCAGAAGAGUUACUAAAUCACAUAUUCCUAUUGAAAAUGCUCUGAUUAAAAUUAAUAUCCUUGAAGGACAAAUUACAAGUGCUAAUGAGUCUAAAGUGCGCCUGAAGCGUGGGAGAUUUCUUGGUUCCAAAGAUAAAAAUUUUCGAAAGAAAAGAGGAGUACAUGAAUCAACAAUUAAUGACAAAAUUUAACCUCCUGAAGAGAUCGCUCCUAAAGAGCCAAUUCUUGAAGAGAAUAAAAUCAUAGAAAAUUCAAUAAAUUUUGUCACUUCAGGGAAAAGUUGGAACCGAAAAGAAAUAAUUAUUGAUAGUAUUUUUGUAUAUAAUGUAGCACUUGAUAUUAUGGUAGAGAAUGGGGAUUACGAGCCUAAAUCGAUUGAUGAAUGUCGACGUAGAAAUGAUUGGCCAAAAUGAAAAGAUGCGAUCCAAUUUGAAUUGGACUCACUGGUUAAAAGAAAAGUUUUUGGACCUGUAGUCCAAACACCUGAAGGUGUGAAGCCAGUAGGAUAUAAAUGGGUAUUUGUGAAAAAAAAAUGAGAAAAAUGAAAUCGUGAGGUAUAAAUUAAUACUUGUAGCCAAAGGAAUUUCACAAAGGCCUGGAUUUGAUUAUGAUUACACGUAUUCACUUGUAGUGGAUGCUAUCACAUUUAGAUAUCUUGUGAGUUUUGCAGUACAUGAAAAAUCAGAUAUGCAUCUAAUGGACGUCGUUACUGCAUAUUUAUAUGAAAAUCUUGAAAAUGAUAUUUAUAUGAGAAUUCCCGAAGGAUUCAAUAUGCCUGAAACAUGCAAAUCAAAUCUUAAAAAUAUUUAUUUAAUUAAAUUACAAAAGUCUUUGUAUGGAUUCAAACAAUCUGAACGUAUGUGGUACCGCCUUAAUGAAUGUUUAACUAAAGAAGGCUAUACCAAUGAUCCAAUAUGUCCAUGUGUCUUUAUCAAGAAAAAUGGAUCAAAUUUUGUGAUAAUUGUUGUAUAUGUUGAUGAUCUAAAUAUGAUUGGAACACCUGAAAAGAUUCAAAAUAGUGUUGAAUAUUUGAAAAAAAAUUUGAGAUCAAAGAUUUUGGAAAAAUAAAAUUUUUCCUUGGUUUACAAAUUGAGCAUUUGAAAAGUGGAAUUUUGUCCACCAAACUGCUUAUACCCGGAAGGUAUUAAAGCGAUUUUAUAUGGAUAAGUCACAUACAUUAAGUAUUCCAAUGGUCAGAUCAUUAGAUCCUAAUAAGGACCCUUUUAGACCGCGAGAGGAAGAUGAAGAGAUACUUGGUCCUAAAGUACCAUAUCUCAGUGCAAUUGGUGCACUACUGUAUCUUGCUAAUUGUACAAGACUUGAUAUAUCAUUUACAAUAAAUUUAUUAGCAAGAUUUAUUUCCUCGCCCACAAGACGACAUUGGAAUGGUAUUAAACAUAUUUUUCGUUAUCUUUAAGGAACAAAUUGAUCUUGGCUUAUUUUAUUCAAAUAAAUCUAAACUUGAAUUGCUUGGUUAUGUUGAUGUUGGAUAUUUAUCUGAUUUGCAUAAAGCAAGAUCUCAGACUGGUUAUCUAUUUACAUAUGGAGGUACAACCAUUUCUUGGCGAUCUAGAAAGCAAUUAUUAGCCGCCACUUCAUCGAAUCAUGCUAAAAUAAUAGCAAUUCAUGAGGCUAGUCGAGAAUGUGUUUCGUUAAGAUCAAUGACCUACUAUAUCCGGAAGAGUUGUGGGUUAUCCUCUGAAAAAGAAAAUCCUCCGACUAUAUUUUAUGAAGAUAAUGCAGCUUGUAUAGCUCAAUUGAAAGGAGAAUAUAUUAAAGGAGAUAGAACGAAAUAUAUUUCACCAAAAUUCUUUUUUACUCAUGAUUUACAAAAGAAUGGUGAAAUUGUUGUGCAACAAAUCCGAUCAGAUAAUAAUUUGAUAGAUUUAUUUACUAAUGUAUUGCCGACUGCAAUAUUUGAGAAAUUGGUGAAGAAUAUUGGAAUGCGACGACUAUAAAAUCUCAAAUGAUAUUUGCAUCAGGGGGAGAAAUCAAUACACAAGAAUAGUGUACUCUUUUUUUUUCACUAGAGUUUUUGUCCCGUUGGAUUUUUUCCUAGUAAGGUUUUAAUAAGACAUAUUCUUUGUGUAAUUAAUAUCCAAUGGGGAGUGUUAUGAAAUAACUAAAAGUGUGGAUGUCCAUUUGUAUUCUCAAGAAGAUCAAUUCAUAAUUCAUUGCUCCCAAGAGAAUUAAUUCAUAAUUUAUUGCUACAUUAUGUAAAGGAAUUACAUUGGAUGAUCGGUUUCAAUCCAUAAGAGCUAUUCAUGUAUUGGAUGAACCAUUUCAUAUGGCUAUUCAUGUUCUUGUAGUAACGAGUGUUUAAUAGAAUUGAUGUACCUUUAAUUUUGUAGUACCUAUAUAUAGAUGUACCUUAGCUGAUAGGUUGCAAUUUUAUCAUUUAUUUUAUAAUUAAUUUCUCCUAUUACCUGACUUGAUGUGGAUUAAUUGCGGGAUUCUACUCACUUUUAGUAUUUUGCAUUUAUUUCAGGGAGUAGAGCGAAAAUAUAAUAACAGGUGCUAAUUUGACAAAAAAAGAGUCCAAGGCACAGAGCUUAUCCCGGGGGCAUUAUUGGCAAAGGAAGACUUUUGCCCAUUUUGGUAAUUUCAAAAGAAGAGAGCAGGGCAGAGGCCUCUAUUUUACUGGAGGCUGGAGCGCCGCACAAAGGGAGCUUCUUCUUCCUUCGGAGGCUCCGUCCUCUCCGCAAGGGGGCUGCCGCACACAGCAGCCAUUAGAAUAGGAGCAAUUGAUAUAUGACAGAGAAUGAGCACUAGCACCAGGGAGUUGCCUUUGUUGACUUUUCUUCCCUUUUAGUUCUUAGUAGUUGUUUUACCUUCCUCGUACGUAGGACCUUUAGCAUAGUUUCCUUUUGACUUUCCCUUGAGUCUUGGGUGGAUGUCUCCUGCGCAUGUCAGGAGCAAUUGAAGGUCUCGGUCACUUUCUGUAUUCUUCCAUCAACUGAGCGAACUGAGCUCCCUUGGUCAAGGGCAAUGGCUGCGGCUUCCUCUCCAACUUUGUGUGGGAUUCGUUCACCAGGAAUGAACUAAUUUUUCUUUUCUAGUCAAGGAACAACGGAGGUCUUGGUUGGCCUAAAUUUGUGAGAUCGAAUUAGUUUUUAUUUAUUUCCAUUAUUCACUGGUAUUUGUCUAUCUUCUGCUUUAUGUUCAUAUGGUUGUUUUAUUAUUCGAUUAUCCAGGGCCCGGAUACUAGAUUAAUUCAAUAACCUGAAGCCAAUUAGGAUAGUUAAAUCCGUAAUUGUUUAAUUAUUCUAAACUGCUGGCAACUGGCAUGAUUGGGUUUGUGUCAGGGGGAUAAACAUGCUAACUUAAAGAGACCCUCGUAGCGUGUUGAUUGGUUAGAAUUAGGCUCUUCUAAUUAUUCAUGCAAUUAGGGAAUUGAACUUCUAUGGUCGUACCUAGGGUUAUUUCCUGAUUAGAGAAAUAGUCAACGGUCGUACCUUGGCUAUCGACAAAUUGAGGAAGAGUUGGUUGUUUAUCGCGUGUAUGGCAACUAUAACUAAUUUAUCAGAUAGUAACUGGAAUAAUCCUUGCAUCUGUGAUCGAAUUAAGUGAACCAUCUCCGAAGUUGUCUCUUGGCUAGAGUUCGUCAAUUAUUAUUUUUAUUGUGAUAAUUAGUUAUUUGAGUUGUAGUUAUUUUAUUUUAUUUAUUCCAAGUAAUUUAGUUACUCUCAUUUUCAAAAACCCCCCAUAUCUGGAACUUGAGAAGAAAUUAAAUUAUCCCCAGUCCCUGUGGAUUCGACCCUGCUCACCGCUAUAUACAGAAUUUGUAUUUUAUUUGAGCAGGUAUUUAUUAUUGCACAGGUUCGGCACCUGUCAAUUUUUUGCUACAUUAUGUAAAGGAAUUACAUUGGAUGAUCGGUUUCAAUCCAUAAGAGCUAUUCAUGUAUUGGAUGAACCAUUUCAUAUGGCUAUUCAUGUUCUUGUAGUAACGAGUGUUUAAUAGAAUUGAUGUACCUUUAAUUUUGUAGUACCUAUAUAUAGAUGUACCUUAGCACCUCUUGGGUGUACUUUUUGAUUAGUUGGAAUAAUAAAAAAAUCAUUCUCCAUUUCUGUACUUCUUUCUCUAAUAUUUCAAUUCCUAUCACAGUAGUUAUUUUUUUUUAGCUUUACAACAUUACUUAAAUAAGAGAGUUAUUGGACUAUAUGUUUAUUGACCUCUACUAACUUAUUUAAGGUCAUUUCAUAUCACUAUCCAAAGAAGAAUUAAGGUCAUUUCAUAUCACUAUCCAAAGAACAAUUCUUGGGCGCUAACAUUUUUCUUACAUGACUAUUAAUGAAAGUUGACCCAAAUCUCUCUGUCUCUCUCUUUCUUUCAAUUCUUAGGACUGAUGCCAAUUCUUACCAUUUAGAAAGAAAAAUUAGAUUGUUUAUAUAUAUGAUGAGUUCCCUCUAAGUCAUGGUUAAGAAAAAUUCUUAGUUAAACGCAGUUUUAUGAAAUGUGAAUUUCCUUUUCUUUGUCUUUAUUCAUUAGUAUUAUUGGGGUUAUUGUAUUAUGAUUGCAAUGCACAGAUACAUGGAUUUUUGACAUUUUUUCUUUUUAAUUGACUCUGACUAUGCCUCAAACUCGAGACAUCAAACCUGGACACGACUUUUGUCCAAAAUGCUUGUAAAAAUUCAGAAGAAUAAUUUUGGACCUUAUUAUUUGAUAAUGGUACAAUUAUGAGAGUCAUUCCAGGUUAAUUAUCAAACUUGGAACUUGAAAAUAAUGUCGACAUCAUGUCAUUAUUAUUUUUUAGUUUCAUAGAAAAAUGAAGUAUUCUCCAACUCGACAUUAUCAUAGUAUUUUCAAUUGGCAGCUCAUGUGAGAAAGACAAGAAAUUCACAAUCAACUGGCCAAGAGAGUGCCAACAAAGAAAGCACUAAAUGGCUUAAACAAUGCAUGCAAAUUUGCUUGGCACUUAAACAAUAGACACCUAAAUCAACCAUGUCACUGUCUUGCCAAAAAAGGGCAUUAAAGUAAAAACAACUCAUGCCUACCACAGGUAACAAACUUCAGCACCUUCACUUCACUACCAUGUCAGCAACAACAUUUGCAAAUUUCCAAGGAAGUCCACGCACUAAAGGUGCCCAUGCCCUUAGGGGACCUCAGGUUAGUGUUCUUAACCUCAACUCCUGUCUUUCUGUUCUUAGGAAAUAUUGAAAUUAAACGUUAUAACUAAUCCUGAUUUCCUUGUGCUAUAUUUGUACACAAUUUGGCAACAAGGGUAAAAAAAAAUAAAAAUAAAAAGGUUUAUCUGCAAACUGUAGUUCGGCCUGGCUCUUUUUUUUUUUUUUUUUUUUGGGGAUAAGAUCAUCUCAGCACCCGCAGACCCCGUCAUGUAUCAAUAUUUCUGUACUUAGCAUUGGCUUCUUCUCGCCUGAAGAACACACGAACCACCGAAAUAGAUGGUGCAUGAAAGUGCACUUAACCCUUUUAAUUUUUCAAAACAAUCUUUUAGAAAAAAUAAUAAAAACUUUUUGAAUUUAAUUUUAGAGAAGAAGAAUUUUAAAAUUUUUUGAAUUUAAUCUUAGAGAAGAAGAAGUUUAAAAUGUACUUUAAUUUUCACAACUGAUGAUGAAAAUAGCAAAAUGUACACGGAUAGUGACAAAAGUGGGAUCACGGGCAGGAAAUCCUGAAGGUUGCGUGCAUUUUACACACGGCAUAAUUCUGUUUGUAUAUAGUGUAAUUUACUUUUUACAACGUGUAAUUUUAAAACAAAAUUUUGUAAGUCUCACACAUUUUAUUAAAAAUAAGGUACAAGAUGAAAUUUGGACCAUAUAAUUUUUUUUAAUCAAAUCUUGACCGUGAACUGCUCAGAAACGGUUUACCUGAUGACCGUCCCUGGUCCAAACCCGACAAAGGUGCCAUCUUAUCCUUUUACUGACUGGCCCGUUUUCCAAUGAGAGGGCCCAGAAGGGGUGCCUCUGCUUCAUAGUUUAUCCAUAUUGAUAUUUCUUUUCUGUCCCCCUAACUAUUAAAUGUGAAAGGUUGCCCACCAAAUUUGACGAAACCGUUUAUCCUAAUUGAUUAUUAUCAAUAGGGCAUAACUUUAAUAUUCUUCUUCCAACCCUUUCUGGUGAUUCCUGCAACUCCAGCCGUCCGUCAAUGACCAUAAAGCACCAUUAACCGACAACUAACUAACCACUAUUAAUCUAUUCUCAAAUUUUAAUGAAAUUGCACAAUCUAUUCUCAAAUCAAAUUUGAACAACAUUUUAUAGUCGAUAACUUUGAAACUUGAUAAAAAAGUCUGUUUAAACUCGGUUUAGUAAAUAAACAAAUCAAGUUUGAACAAAAUUUUAAACUCAUUAAAAUAAUUAAACACGUUUGAAUAUUAGGGUAUUCGAUUUAAUUAGACACGUUUGUAUCCCUAAUUAAAGCAUGCACUUUUAUAAGUUUAGGAAUCAACAUUAUACAUUUAAUAGCUAGCUAGAGGGUCAAAAAGUUAAUUGCCUUAAAUUCUUUUAGCAGCCAUAAGGUACAGUUGGAGGGAUUCCCUUGAAAUUGGUUAGAUUCUUCUAUGUGACUAAAGAAUUUCGGGUGUGACGCAUUACUAGUCCUACCCUAAAAAAAAAUGGUAUUACUAGUCCUUUUUUUCUUUUUUGGCGUGCCCCCGUCGUGGGAUGUGGGGAGGGGAGUCUGUGCGAGAAUUCUAGGUCGGGGUACAAGGAGCCAAAGUUCACCUUAUUCAAAGUAAACAACCGUCCAUCUCAGUUGUCGACUUUCCUGUCGAUUGCGUAUAUAUAUAUAUUACUAUCUUUUACCAUGACUUUAGAGGAUAGCUAAUUUUGCUUGCUAUUAAAUAAUAAUUUCGGUAGUCUAUAAAUACUCUUGUUCCUCACCGCUCCUAGCACCACAUAAUUCCUUCAAGAACAGCCAAAACCUUCUUGAAAUCCCUCUUUUUCCUUCUAGUUCAUUUCCAAGAAACAAAUGGCCCCUGUCACUUCCAGUUAUGAGGUCACCUCCUCAAUCCCUCCUGCAAGGUUGUUCAAGGCCACCAUCCUCGAAGAGAAGCAUCUUCACAAGAUCUUGCCACAGGGCGUUAAGAGUGUCGAAAUCCUUGAAGGAGAUGGUGGAGUUGGCACAAUUAAGUUGACCACAUUUGUUGACGGUAAGAUAAUCAAUACAAAGUGAUUAUUUUCACACAUUUGAAGUCUUCAAAUUUUUCUCUUUUUUUCCCUUUUAUUUGGGAAAAACUAAUGACUUUUUUUUUUUGGUUGGGUUAAAUAUUUAGGUGGCGAGCAUAAGACUGCCAAACAGAGAGUUGAUGGAAUUGACAAAGAAAAAUUUACAUACAGCUAUACUGUACUUGAAGCUGAUGGAUUUAACGAUGUAAUCGAGAAAAUCUGUUGUGUCAUCAAAUUUGAACCCUCUGCUGAUGGAGGUUCAAUCUGCAAAACCACUAACACAUACUACCCCAAAGGUGGUGCUCAGAUCAGUGAGGAACACCUCAAGGGAGGAAAAGAGAUGGGUUUGGGAAUGGUUAAGGCUGUUGAGGCAUACCUCCAUGCAAAUCCUACUGCCUACAACUAAUUAUAAUGAAUGCUACUGCAAGGACUCUUCGACAUAUUUUCUUCAAGAUUGAAGUAUAAACUGAGGGUGUCUGUUUCCUUUUUUGCUUGGUUUGCUUAAGCUGUUUGGUUAAGUUAUUCGCAGCAAGAGAAUAAAAUAAUUCAUUUGCUGUUUUUAGAUAUGAAUUCAUGACUGUCAGUAGUCUAUAAAUACACUUAUUGCUCACCACUCUUUGCACCGCAAAAUCUUUUCAAGAUCCAUCAAACCCUCCUGUUCUUGAUCUUUCUCCAUUUGUGAAAAAACAAAUUAAAGCAUCAUGGCCCCUAUCACUUGUAGUGCUGAGAUGACCUCCCCAAUGCCUCCUGCAAGGUUGUUCAAGGCCGCCAUCCUUGAUGACCACCUUCUUCCCAAGAUCAUGCCACAGGCUAUUAAAAGUGGAAAUUCUUGAAGGAGAUGGUGGAGUUUGAACCAUUAAGUUGAGCACAUUUGGUGACGGUUAGAUGUUAUAUUAAAUGUAGAACCCAAAUUUUAAGGAUCUAAUAAUAAUCAAUUAAUAAUAAUCAAUGCGUGCAGGGUUACAGAAUUGGAGGGAUAAAACAAAUACUCAAAUAAAUGUGGAAGAAAAGAAAAUAAUAAAUUCAACUCACAAAAUUAUUGAAAUUUCAAACAAUGAAAAAAAUCAUACCUUAAUAAAUUCAGUUGGUUUUAAUAAUAAUCAAAGCAUACAAGGUUAAAGAAUUAAAAGGAUAAAACAAACACUCAAAAUAUAUGUGGGAGAGAAGAAAAUAAUAAAUUCAACACACAAUAUUAUUGAAAUCUCAAACAAUGAAAAAAGUCACACCAUAAUAGAAAAUCUUGCAAAUUCUUCUAGAUUCUUUCUCUUGAGAAACCAACCUAAAUAAUGUUCUAUUUAUAAUCUACCAAACUUGUUAGGAAAGAAACCACUUGCAUAAGAAAUUACCAAAUAAAACAGAAAUUCCUAAAUCACACAACUACUAAAAACAUAACUCAAAUAAAACUAAAAAAUAAAUAAAUUUUUCUUGGCUUAGUUUAAUUUGUUAACAUUGCCUCCCUUAAACCAAACUAUCCAUUGAGAUAUGUUCAACACCAUCUCGAGUAACAAUUUCUAUGCAAAUCUAUGUUGUAGUAUACUUGACAUGAAACUCUAACUUGUUACCAGUUAUUAAUUUCAUCUUUACACGUAACAGUGGACGUACUAUGUAUUUUGUAAAAAAUUUCUCAACAAUUUCUUCUUGAUCAAAGUACUCAUUUAUACAAACCCAUUCAUCACCAGAAUCAUCAUAUUUACCACCAAUGUAAGUUCCUAAAAAUACAAAAUCAUUGCUUGCUUUCUCGCUAAAAUUAUCAUAACCAAAUAAUUUAAAAUAGCCACUACUACAAUCAUCCAAAAUUUUCAUACUGUCAGUCAACUCUUUUGGAGUAAAAUAUUUUUCAACUAUAAUGACAUCCAUAUCUAUCAAAUCAAGCAUUCUCCCAUCACUUUGAAGAAAGUCCGAACCAACGAAUUUUUCAACAACAAUUUCAUGAUCUCUUCUCUUAUCAAGUCAAAAUUUUCUUCUUCUUUUGUCAAAUUACCAUAUUAUUGUUUCAACAAAUUCAUUACUUCUAAUUUCUCCAAACAAGGUACGCAAAUCAAAACUAUCAAUUGAUUCAAAAUUUUCGAUAUCACCCAUAUUAUCAACAAAUCUAUCAUUUUUAAAAUCCACAAACCAAUACCAACAACUAGACUUCGGUUUGAAAGCAUAAUUUCUCUCAAUCGUGUGCAAAACAAAGUAAAUAUCCUUCCAAAAUCUCUAAAGUAUUUUAGUAUGACCAAUAAAGGUUUUAUAAAUACUUUCUGCCAUUAUUUUACACAUCACUUGAAAGAAUAAUUGUGCUUUUUUUCUUAAAAACAUGUUUUGCCAACUUACUUGCAUCAACCCAACAAAGAAUAUCAUCCAAAUUACAUUGUUUGAGAUAUUUUUCCACUGUUAAAAUUCAGCCAAAAUAUGUAUGUCUAUUUGUGUUUAUAGGAGUCAAUAUGGAAAAUUUUUCACCAUCAAUCAGAUCUUUAUAAUAUUCCAUUAUUUAACAAUUUGUAUACCUGAAUAAAUUUUUUUCCUCCAUCCUGUCAUGUUUUCUUGGCCUCCUUGGUUGACUGACCAAAUUAUUGUUGUAUGUAUACCCAUGCUUGUCAAACCUCAUUCGUGUACACUCGUAAGGAGUGGUUUUGAGCUUACUGUGAAUGCUUAAUACCAAGAAGUAGAAGAGAGAAUGCAUAAGAGAGAAUUAACUUGGCUAAAGAAUUGGGAAGCAAUUUAGGGAUUUUUUAAGAAAUUAAUUCUCCAACCGCCACUUUUGGAAAUUUCUAUCAACAACUAGUUACCAAAACACUAGGACAGCGAUCCGUCUCUAUUUUACUCUUCAAGUCUUCGCCGGGGAAGCAACCCGGCCUUGCGAGACUAUAAUGAAUAGGCACUUGCCUUCUGUUUUUACUUUUUUUUUGUUCAAAGACUAUAAUGCCCUUAUUAUUUGACUGCGCAUCUCGCAAGAUAAUGCUUUCCAUCAAAAUUAACUGUUGGGUUUGACAGAAGCGCCACGAAUAUUCUAUUUUAUUAGAUCCAGAGUCAAAAUUUUACCGUUAAUUGUUAGAGGGUUAAAACUUUAUCUGGAAAGGAGUUGGAGGGCCAUUGGAACUCUUUUUCCAAAAAAAAAAAAAAGUCACUUUUGUCAUUUGUCCAAGAACAGUUCUGGGGCCAUCUCGACAGUAUAUAUUUUUCUUACAUGCCAAGACAAUUAAUGAAAAUUGACCAAUAACACACGCACACACACACACACACACACACACUCUCUCUCUCUCUCUCUCUCUCUCUCGGUUGCUGCCAAGUCUUUCCAUUGAAAAAGGAAAAUUCAUAUUGUUUACAUAGAUAAAUUACCUCCAGUCCGUGGAAUGUCUUGAUGUUAGGUGAGUUCUAAUAUUUUGGUAUCAUCUAGAGGUGGCAAAUCAACCCACUUAACUAAAUUUACCCAUAUCCGCCCAUGAAUAGAUGGGUAUGGAUAUCUUAAAUUUUUGUAUAUGAGUAUAAAUGGGUUACCCAAUAAUACCCAUUUAAAUGGGUAACCCAUCAAACCCAAUUAACCCAUUUAGAAUUCUCUUCCCCUCAAGUCUCUUCUUUUCCCCCACCUUUUUUUUUUUCAAAUUUUUCAUUUUGUCAUGAUGUUAACUACUUUUGUUUUAUUAUUAUUAUUUGUUGGUUUUAUCUUAUUAUUUUAUUUUCUCUUAGUUUGUUAACUUACUCAUUUUUUACCAUUACCAAUUUAUGAUAAAUUUUAGCCUAUUUUCUUAUCUUUAUAAAAUGAAAUUUUAAAUUUAUAUAUGAAAAAAAUGUUAGGGGUUCAAAAAUUUUGGAUUAAGUUUUUAUAUUAAUUUUUAUAGUACUUAGUUCAAAAUUUUAUAUUCUUAUUAUUCAAUUAUUAAAUAAUAGGUAAUUUUGUGACAUAGAGUAUAAAUGAAAAAAAAUUGGUAAUUAAGUUUAUUGAACAUUAUAAGUAAAUAUUUAAAACUAAUGAUGGGUAUAAAGAGUGAUAUAAAUUGAUAACUUAGUUUGCAAAAAUGAAUUUAAAUGAGUUUGCAAAAAGUUAAAAUAAAUGGGUUAUAAAUGGGUAAUUGGGUUACCCAAUUCAUUUUUUGACUUGCCUAUUUAUACCCAUAUAAUUAAAUGGGUAUAAAUGAGUUGACUCACUUAUACCCAUUACCCAUUUUACCCAACUCAAACCCGCCCAAGUCACCCAUUUUGACACCUUUAGUAUCAUCUAAUGUUCAUUUGUGAAAGAUUGAGAAAUGAUAAAGAGCAAAACACCAAUUUAUUCCAUAAAUUAUUUUGCUAAAAUCAAAAUAGUCCAUAAAUUUUCUUUUGGCCAAAUUUUUGUCAUGAACUUUCAGAAACGGUUGCAGGGGAUUUCAUCCGGAUUGCUUGUGCAGUUGAGUAACUAUACAGAAAUUCUUUUUGGGAUGCUGAGUAUCUUAGGAUGGGUACAAUGAUCGCUUAGAUCAGUAGAGAUGAUUGAUGAUGUAGUAGGGGAAGAUUCCCUUUAUAAAGCUGAUUUUCUCAUGAUUAAUAAGAAUAUAAAUGUUACCAAAUUUUCUUUUCAAAUGUGUAACGAAAAUAUUGGCCAUGAUCAGCAAGACCUCCUUAAUUAUAAAAGUUUCUUGAAUGUCAUCAUCCAAUUUGUUUAAGCGAGGAUUUUUAAAUGCUAUCUUUAAGCAAAUUGAUUUUUGUAUUAUAGAUACUUACUACUAUUACUUCAUACCUAGCUACAAACCUCAUGUAUGUUUUAGUUUUAAUCCAGAACAAAUCAGGGCCACGGGCCACCUUGCACAUAGCGAGAGUGGAAAAAUAAAACUACACAAUUGCUUUUUUGAAGCCAGUGACUCAACUGAUUUUGCGCUCGGCAAUUCAUCCGAUUUUCAUUAAAAGGGCCCUAAGAGGCCAUUGGCGUUUUGGGCCUGUGAAAAUUUGGAUGAUUUGGUGUGUCCAAUGCAUGUGUAAGCACAAAUUUUGUUGUCUAAAAUAAAAGACAAGAAAACUUACAUAAAUAUCAAAUUUAUUAAAUUAAAUAACAAGAGGGUUACAAUAUUUGAAAAUUUUUGAAUCAAAGAAAUUAAUCUCCUAAUUUUUAUCUUCAAAAGGCUUUAAUCGGAAGGCCAAAAAGGCUUGUUCUCCGAUCAAGAGGGUGUUUUCUAUGAUUUCUAUGUAAAAAACGGCUGCUUUGAUGAUGACGUUAAUAUUUGAAUCUUUAAAUCUUCAACGCCGAUGGAAGGAGGAUUUAUUUAACUUAAUUUGGAUUUGGAUUUGAAUUUGAGGGAAAAAGCUCUCAAGAGAAUUUGACAAAGUUACUUUGAAAUUUAGGAAUUUUAAUGUAUUUUUGCCUUGAGGGAAGACCUUUAUUUAGAGUCAACAUAUGCAAGCUAUGUCUUCAAGAGAAUCCUUCAAAACCAUCUUGCGUUUGGGUAACUUGUACCUUAAGAAACCCAUUUAACUUGGAGUUAAAUAGUCGGCCGACCCAAAUAGUCAAUUGUGAAUUAACAAAUCAAUUAAAUCACUUUAAUUUAAAUGGGCAUCACAUUUUUUAUUUGAUUUAAUAGCUCAUAUAACAUUGGCUCAAUUUGUCAAUCCAAAACAUAAUGAACUUCUAUAAUUUAAUUUAAUUUAAUAAAAAUCAAUUUAAUUUACUUAAUCUUGCCUAAAAAUAAAUUAAAUAAAUUUUCGUUGUCUAUGUCCCCACUUCAAAACUUGGCAAGGCAUUGCAUGUUUAUUUGAAUUAACUUAAAACUUCUUAAUACGAUUCAUCUAAGCACCUUUAUAUAUAUAUAUAUAUAUAUAUAUAUAUAUAUAUAUAUAUUUAUUUAUUUAUUUAUAUAUAGAGGUACAGAAGACAUGUCUUUGUCUUGAAACUGUGACAAACAGGACACUUAAGACAAGGGCGUGUGAAGACUAUCGCACUAUUUGAGCGAAAAAAACCUGUUUUGCACGUAUAUUUUGAAGGUAAUCAUCUUUAUUGUCUUUUGACAACUUCAUGUUGGUCGAGUAUCAGAUAUUCACCAAAUUUUGUUGAAAUUUGUCAAAACUUGAUUUGUUUCCAAUUUGGAGAAAAAAAAAGAUUUUUUUCUUCGUUUCUGCAAUUUUCCAGGUCACUCUUUCCUAUCAACAUGUUACGAUUCAGAAAUUGAGACAAAUCUUGUACAUAGGAAUCUUUUUUAACAGCUGAUGGUUGGAAUUUAGCAGACACCUUGAAGUCAAAGAAGGCAAAUAGCAUUCCAAUAGCAUUAUUUGGUUGCAUGCCAUAUCCAAGAUUUUCACUAGUAAGCCACCAUUUUCUUGCUUUUGAUUGUUAUUCAUUCUCUGUUGCGCAAUUUUAUUUUCGCACAAUCUAUUUUUUUCGUUGAAUUUUCUCUUUUGCAAAACAGCGACCACCAAGGAAAGACAGAAAGAUUUUUUUGUUUUUGUUUUUGUUUUUGUUUUUGUUUUUUUUUUUAUGGUUGCACCUUGUGUUGGCACCCCUUAUUUGAAGCAAGUUGAUGUUCCAGUUGUGUUGGGGAUUUUAGGGCCAUAGCUCUUAGAACUCAAAAUACUAAUGUAAUUUCCGCACUCCAUGACAUUUACUUCUUGUCAAUGCCAAACUCUCCUCUUUUUUUUUGUGAUAUGAAAGGAAGAUCUCUCGUUGCAACAUAUAUGGUGGACACUCAAUUUGAAAGAAGGUGCAACCACCAACUUGCACGAGAGCCAUAUCAUGGUUUGAGGAGUAUAAUGAAAAUGAUGCAACUGCAAACUCUUAUGAGAGCCAUAUCAUGGUUGAGAAGUACAAUGAAGAUAGUGCAAUCAAAAAUUUGAAAAAGGUGCAAUCGCAAACUCCCAUGAGAGCCUAUCAUGGAUUGAGGAGUACAACGAAGAAUGUGCCACAAAAAGUUGAAAAAUGUGCAAUCGCAAACUCGCACGAGAGCCUAUCAUGGUUUGAGGAGUACAAUGAAGAAGGUGCAACUACCCACUUCAAUGAGAGCUUACCAAAACUCGAGAAGCCCUUUCAUUUAACUUCACAUUGACUAUUUAUUACUUCUCUCACUGUCUUCGAUCACACCAUUGUAAUCAAAUUUUUUUCUCUUGCUUUUGGUCCUAACGAAAUGGUGAUGGUCAAGGAAGUUACAUCUUCAAACAAAAGGCACCUCCUUAUCACUAAUAGCCAUGAUGACUCUGCUGACAAAGGAACGAAAUUAUUGGUGCAUCCCUCUAUACAAGAAAUUUACUCUGGUGAUUGGUUUUCUCACAAGUAUUCCGAAUUAAAGGAUUGGUCACUAAAAUUUUCUCAAGAUGAUGGUACGAAAGUUCACUCCUUGAAAUUCCUUAUCAUAAUAAGGAGCCAAGGACAAUUGGCAGGCGAAUCCUAGAUGAGACUAAGGGUGCAAACGAGGCAAGUCGAAUCGAGUUUUGAAGUUAUUGAGUCGAGUUACACUUAUUUAUAUGCGAGCUCGAGUUCGAGGUCGAAAAAUAGAGCUCGAACUCGGCUCGAUGUAGGAAAAGGAAAACUCGAGAUCGACUCGCUUAUGGCUCGCGAGUUUAGCUCGAAUUCUGGCUCGCGAGCAGCUCGAGUUUUGCUAGAUUUUCUGGCUCGCAUGAAGCUCGAAGUCAGCUCGAUUCUAGCUCGUUAGGAGCUCCAGUUCGAACUCGAAAACAGCUCGAUUUUCUGGAAAUUUAUGCAAGAAAACAGAAUUUUUGUCCGCAUAUUUUUGAUAAAAUUUGAGCAUGAUAACAAUAAGUUUUCACAUAUUCUUGAUCUUGAGGCCUACAAAUUAUGCACUAAUACAAUCAUAAAUGUCCAAAUGUCCACUAAUACAAAUUAUCCAAAUGUCCACAAAUGUCCACUAAUACAAAUUAUCCAAAUGUCCACAAGAAGUCUGAAGAAUACCAGCUUGUUGUCCACAAAAACCAAGGCAUGACAUGAAGCGAGAAUUUCCUGACUGCGUCCUGGAACUUUACUCAUUUCUGUCUCUAAUUCCUCAUGAUCAGUUAGUCCACCAACAUUGAACAAUAUGGAUCAGGAAUGGGGAAAAAUCACUUUCUAACACUCAAGAUCACAUACAACUCAUAUCCAACAAAUAUCCUGAAGUUUCAUGAGUAUAAUCACAUUAAAAGAGAAAAGGAUACUGACAAGCAUGCUAAUCAAACUCAAGCAGAAAAGGUACUUUCUCCUUGCCGUCUCCGACAUCCCAGCCAGCAAAUGGCUGGGGUUCGUGACAGCUGUUUGGGUCCAAUCCAUCUCCGGCAACAACUAUACCUUCUCCAAUUACUCCGACGCCCUCAAAUCACUCAUGGCCCUCACUCAGCUCCAACUCAACAACCUCUCCGUCGCCAAUUGAUGUCAUUAAAGCAGAAAAUCGGCCUGAUGGCCUCCACCAGCUGCCAUCCCUAAUCCAAGAAGGUCGAGUGUAGUAUGCUUAGGACCAAAUACAGAUGGAGUUCCCAACAUCAGUUCCUUCAAGCUAGACCCACCAUCACACGGCAGCCCUAGUCCUAGGCCUACUACCAAUGAUGCACUAUCAGACUCAAUUGCCCUCCCACUCUUCGCCCGGAAAGACAGUGGUGAAAAGAGGUAAGGAGGUGGCGGCAAAGAGCGACGGGUUAGCCAAAGUUAGAAGAUCCUCUUUUUCUAGAUUUGCAAGUUUCCUACUCUAGAGACAAAAAUGUCCUUGAUAUUUGGUCGUGCAUCUUACAAGAUAAUGCUUUCCGUCAAUUUUAACCGUUGGAUUUGACGGAAGGGCCAUGAAUAUGCUAUUUUAUUAGAUCGAGAGCCAAAAUUUUACCGUUAAUUGUUGGAGGGUUAAAACUUUAUCUGGAAAAGAGUUGGAGGGCCAUUGGAACUCUUUUUCCAAAAAAAAAAAGUCACUUUUGUCAUUUGUCCGAGAACAGUUCAGGGGCCAUCUCGACAGUAUAUAUUUUUCUUACAUGCCAAGACAAUUAAUGAAAAUUGACCAAUAACACACGCACACACACGCGCACGCACACACACACACACUCUCUCUCUCUCGGUUGCUGCCAAGUCUUUCCACUGAAAAGGAAAAUUCAUAUUGUUUACAUAGAUAAAUUACCUCCAGUCCGUGGAAUGUCUUGAUGUUAGGUGAGUUCCAAUAUUUUGGUAUCAUCUAAUGUUCAUUUGUGAAAGAUUGAGAAAUGAUAAAGAGCAAAACACCAAUUUAUUCCAUAAAUUAUUUUGCUAAAAUCAAAAUAGUCCAUAAAUUUUCUUUUGGCCAAAUUUUUGUCAUGAACUUUCAGAAACGGUUGCUUCCUGCAACCGUUGGUGAGGGAUUUCAUCCGGAUUGCUUGUGCAGUUGAGUAACUAUACAGAAAUUCUUUUUGGGAUGCUGAGUAUCUUAGGGUGGGUACAAUGAUCGCUUAGAUCAGUAGAGAUGAUUGAUGAUGUAGUAGGGGAAGAUUCCCUUUAUAAAGCUGAUUUUCUCAUGAUUAAUAAGAAUAUAAAUGUUACCAAAUUUUCUUUUCAAAUGUGUAACGAAAAUAUUGGCCAUGAUCAGCAAGACCUCCUUAAUUAUAAAAGUUUCUUGAAUGUCAUCAUCCAAUUUGUUUAAGCGAGGAUUUUUAAAUGCUAUCUUUAAGCAAAUUGAUUUUUGUAUUAUAGAUACUUACUACUAUUACUUCAUACCUAGCUACAAACCUCAUGUAUGUUUUAAUCCAGAACAAAUCAGGGCCAUGGGCCACCUUGCACAUAGCGAGAGUGGAAAAAUAAAACUACACAAUUGCUUUUUUGAAGCCAGUGACUCAACUGAUUUUGCGCUCGGCAAUUCAUCCGAUUUUCAUUAAAAGGGCCCUAAGAGGCCAUUGGCGUUUUGGGCCUGUGAAAAUUUGGAUGAUUUGGUGUGUCCAAUGCAUGUGUAAGCACAAAUUUUGUUGUCUAAAAUAAAAGACAAGAAAACUUACAUAAAUAUCAAAUUUAUUAAAUUAAAUAACAAGAGGGUUACAAUAUUUGAAAAUUUUUGAAUCAAAGAAAUUAAUCUCCUAAUUUUUAUCUUCAAAAGGCUUUAAUCGGAAGGCCAAAAAGGCUUGUUCUCCGAUCAAGAGGGUGUUUUCUAUGAUUUCUAUGUAAAAAACGGCUGCUUUGAUGAUGACGUUAAUAUUUGAAUCUUUAAAUCUUCAACGCCGAUGGAAGGAGGAUUUAUUUAACUUAAUUUGGAUUUGGAUUUGAAUUUGAGGGAUAAAGCUCUCGACAGAAUUUGACAAAGUUACUUUGAAAUUUAGGAAUUUUAAUGUAUUUUUGCCUUGAGGGAAGACCUUUAUUUAGAGUCAACUUAUGCAAGCUAUGUCUUCAAGAGAAUCCUUCAAAACCAUCUUGCGUUUGGGUAACUUGUACCUUAAGAAACCCAUUUAACUUGGAGUUAAAUAGUGGUCCGACCCAAAUAGUCAAUUGUGAAUUAACAAAUCAAUUAAAUCACUUUAAUUUAAAUGGGCAUCAUAUUUUUUAUUUGAUUAAAUAGCUCAUAUAACAUUGGCUCAAUUUGUCAAUCCAAAACAUAAUGAACUUCUAUAAUUUAAUUCAAUUUAACUAAGAUCAAUUUAAUUUACUUAAUCUUGACUAAAAAUAAAUUAAAUAAAUUUUCGUUGUCUAUGUCCCCACUUCAAAACUUGGCGAGGCAUUGCAUGUUAAUUGCUGGAGGCAAGACUUGAAGUAUUAAUUUUACUGCUGACCUAAAGUCAAACUAAAUUAAAGACUUCAAGCGUUCGGCAUACGGGUGAUCCACUUUUUUUUUUUUUUUUUUUUUUUCCUUUUUCUUUGGGAAGAGAAUGGUCCACAUCAAUUGUAGAAUUGCACCUCAAAGUCCAAUUGAAUAGGCAACGGUCACGGGUCUUCACUUUCACCUACUACUUGAAUAAAGCCUUGAAGCUCUUGAAUUUUCCAACUCUUAAUUUAGUCGUCAAUGGAAGUGCAGCCCCACAAUAUUAGACCGCAACUUUGACCCGUAGAAUUAGAAACCCCCGUUUGAUUAUGCGAUGUGGGCUCCUGCGCAGAAACUCCCAUAUGCUGAAAUUUGGAGUUUGCUCGUACGUUUCUGACCACCAAAUCUUGUUUUGGCACUUGGCAAUAUGGAAUUUGCUGAGUUUCAACGCUUCCUAAACGGAACUUUAAUGUAUUUCCAAAACCAAUGUUUGCAACUUCUGAAUAAGAAUAUGCCAAAUUUUAAGAGCUUCCCAAAUUGACUUCCAGCCAUUGAAAUUAUUCUUGGGAACCAAAUUCAAAUGAUUUCCAAAAAGUUAAACGAUAAUCACUGAAUUUAGUAUCUGUCCAAAACUUAAAACUUCUUAAUAUGAUUCAUCUAAGCACCUUUAUAUAUAUAUAUAUAUAUAUAUAUAUAUAUAUAUAUAUAGGUACAGAAGACAUGUCUUUGUCUUGAAACUGUGACAAACAGGACAUUUAUGACAAGGGCGUGUGAAGACUACCACGCUAUUUGAGGGAAAAAAAACCUGUUUGACACGUAUAUCUUGAAGGUAAUCAUCUUUAUUGUCUUUUGACAACUUCAUGUUGGUCGAGUAUCAGAUAUUCACCAAAUUUUGUUGAAAUCUGUCAAAACUUGAUUUGUUUCUAAUUUGGAGAAAAAAAAAGAUUUUUUUCUUCGUUUCUGCAAUUUUCCAGGUCACUCUUUCCUCUCAACAUGUUACGAUUCAGAAAUUGAGACAAAUCUUGUACAUAGGAAUCUUUUUUAACAGCUGAUGGUUGGAAUUUAGCAGACACCUUGAAGUCAAAGAAGGCAACUAGCAUUCCAAUAGCAUUAUUUGGUUGCAUGCCAUAUCCAAGAUUUUCACUAGUAAGCCACCAUUUUCUUGCUUUUGAUUGUUAUUCUUUCUCUGUUGCACAAUUUUAUUUUCGCACAAUCCAUUUUUUUUCUUUGAAUUUUCUCUUUUGCAAAACAGAGACCACCAAGGAAAGACAGAAAGAUUUUUUGUUUUUGUUUUUGUUUUUGUUUUUGUUUUUGUUUUUUUUUUUUAUGGUUGCACCUUGUGUUGGCACCCCUUAUUUGAAGCAAGUUGAUGUUCCAGUUGUGUUGGGGAUUUUAGGGCCAUAGCUCUUAGAACUCAAAAUACUAAUGUAAUUUCCGCACUCCAUGACAUUUACUUCUUGUCAAUGCCAAACUCUCCUCUUUUUUUUUGUGAUAUGAAAGGAAGAUCUCUCGUUGCAACAUAUAUGGUGGACACUCAAUUUGAAAGAAGGUGCAACCACCAACUUGCACGAGAGCCAUAUCAUGGUUUGAGGAGUAUAAUGAAAAUGAUGCAACUGCAAACUCUUAUGAGAGCCAUAUCAUGGUUGAGAAGUACAAUGAAGAUAGUGCAAUCAAAAAUUUGAAAAAGGUGCAAUCGCAAACUCCCAUGAGAGCCUAUCAUGGAUUGAGGAGUACAACGAAGAAGGUGCCACAAAAUGUCGAAAAAUGUGCAAUCGCAAACUUGCACGAGAGCCUAUCAUGGUUUGAGGAGUACAAUGAAGAAAGUGCAACUACCCACUUCAAUGAGAGCUUACCAAAACUCGAGAAGCCCUUUCAUUUAACUUCACAUUGACUAUUUAUUACUUCUCUCACUGUCUUCGAUCACACCAUUGUAAUCAAAUUUUUUUCUCUUGCUUUUAUUGCAAGUUGGUCCUAACGAAAUGGUGAUGGUCAAGGAAGUUACAUCUUCAAACAAAAGGUACCUCCUUAUCACUAAUAGCCAUGAUGACUCUGCUGACAAAGGAAUGAAAUUAUUGGUGCAUCCCUCUAUACAAGAAACUUACUCUGGUGAUUGGUUUUCUCACAAAUAUUCCGAAUUAAAGGAUUGGUCACUAAAAUUUUCUCAAGAUGAUGGUACAAAAGUUCACUCCUUGAAAUUCCUUAUCAUAAUAAGGAGCCAAGGACAAUUGGCAGGCGAAUCAUAGAUGAAGACACACACUGGGGUGCUUCCUUGAGAUUUAGUGAUGAAUUUGGUUAUAUCGAGAAUUAUUAGGAGCGGUUGGAAGAUAUUUUUGGAAAAAACAAACAAGUGUUUCGUGAAAAUUACUUGUUCGAUGUCUUAUAUGCUUCGCUUCUCAUAUAUAACAAAAAUUCUCAUGUGUUUAGAGCAUUUUGCGAGACAUGGUGCCUAAACACUAAUACCUUGCAUAUGUCAAUUGGAGAAUUAUCUCUCUCACUUUGGGAUCUGUGUAAAUUAGAAGGACUUCCAAUCAUCGGAUACAUCUAUGAAGAGGCGAUCCCAUGUGUAGAGGAACUAACUGGAGUUAAUGAAAAGAAGUUGAUGCAUAUUCCGCAAAAUUGUGAGUAUUUGUUCGCGGCUCUGCACUACCUUCAACAUGGAGAAUACUACAAUUAUGGAGUUUCUGCUAGCCAAUAGAUUAACUUUUGGUUUAAAGGCAACGUGAGGUAUUCAAAACCAAAACAGAGAAGGAUAAAGAGAGCAUCUAGUGCUUAAGCAACCCAAAAUCCAGAUGGAAAGAUUGGACAACCACGUAAUUUUUAAUUCAAGACAAUGGCAUAUAUGAUACCAUUGGAGACAAGUCUCACUUACGAGAAGAGACUUAUCUUGUAGCAUUUAUAUCUUGUUGACUCUACGUUUUUACUCUACCAGAUGAGGACGUCUAUUAUAUUAGACUAUCUACCUUCAAAAUGGCUAGCAUGAUGGCUGUCGGAUAUAAAACUUGCCUUGCUGUUCCUGUCUUGCUGAGUAUCUAUCACGGAUUCAAUAAAAUUUCAAAUUCAUCUACUCCAAGGUGUGCGCGUGCAUUUUUUUCAAUGCACUACGUGUAUGCUUAACUGGCGAGUUAUUUCUCUACCCAUUAUUCAACUCCGAAUAUCAUGCCUGGACCAACAAUUAUCAAUUAUUCUGGAAAGGGUGUGCACAAUAUUUUGAUGAAAAUAGUGCUUGCGACCUCAUUCAUCAAGGAGACAAAGUAACUUGGGGGACAACUUCUCUUGUGAAGAAUUAAAAUGAAUUUUUUGUUGAUGAUGGCAAGUUAGCGAACCCAGAACUGAUUUAUUUCGUAAGUGCUUGCUCAAAUUAUUUAGUCUUACAUGCUGAAGGAGAUUUUCUUGUUGAGCCAUACAGGUUUGCAAGGCAAUUCGAAUUUUAUCAAAACACCCCACAAGAACUGGGAGCAGAUGUUCAUUCUACAAAUUAUGACUUGAGUCAAAUACUUUGACACAUUGCUAUUCAUAAUAAGACAGAGUCGAAGGUAUUUUUUUCUAGUUACCCCUUGAAUGCUAACAAGCAUAUAUCUCCAGAUUUUCAAACAUGAUGUUUUGAUUAAGAGUGUCCAACCAAAUUUGAAACAGAAGAAAUCGAAAGGAAAGAAACUUGCAAAUUUGAAUAAUCCUGUCAAGGUUGGCAGUAAUCUUGAGGCGAAACAGAAAAUCACCAAGACUGUGAGGAUUGAGGAGAAAGCAUUGCAGAGCUCCAGCAACUCGUGAAAUUCUAAUUUUCAAUGAAGAAUUUUCGAAUGGUAAUUCAUUUUGUCUUCCUUCAAUAAUUGUAAAAGCCACCAAUCAUGAGUCUCGCAAUUCCAAUGAAAAGAAGAGGAGCAACUCUUUUGAUGAGAAGGAUGAGCAAUCUACUAGUACAGACUAGCACUAGAAGCAUAAGAAAUUCAAGGUAAUGACUUUCUCUUUGGAUGAUAUUGUUUUAGACCCUAAAGAAAUGUUUAAGGACAUUCUGGACAAAUAUGUGCUUGGUAUAAGUCAUGCCAAUAUUAUAAGAACAUUCUCUUGCCUUCUUUAGUUUGGCAUUUGAAAUUUACUUAUCAAUUUCAUAUUCAUGAUAUGUCUCAUAACAUUUUCCAUGUAGUUGAAUGAUCAAAACUUGAUUUUUAUUAAUGAUGGGAAAUCAAGCUAAGAAUUCGUUGAAGGACCCACUAUAUUUUAACUUUUAACAAAACAAGUGGUCAAUUCUACUCAAUAAAAGGGCAUCAUUGAAAAUUUCAAAAAGGCAGUGCAUGAUGAAAAUUCAGUUCAACAAAUCAUGCUACAGAAGAAAGAACAUGUGACUUCACCGGAGAAAAAAAAGUUCAAAAUUUUUGAUCCACAACCGUAGCCAAGGGCACCUCAAGUGUCUGAAUUUUGCCCCCAAACUAUGAUCUUAACAUGUCAUCGAGAUUACAUUCAAAUGCUCUGAAAUAAUUUGAAGGUGCUGAUAUCCGAAACAAUCCUGGAACGCAUUUCUGCUCUUAAGAUGAAAGCAAAUGAAAUCAUGGAGGAAAUGCAAAGUUUCAAUGCUAUGAAUAUUUCAAACUUGUAAGGCCUUUUAAAGCCUUUCUUUACAAAACCAAUUCGUUCUGUCGUAAUAAAGUCUUCUUUCUCAAAUAAAAUUUCAAUUGAAUCAUAUAAUGAGUUGUUUUCUAUAGCUACCCAACAUCUUAGAGAUGCUCAGAGUAAGGAGAAAUAAUAACUUAAAAAGUUCUCAACGUACAUGUUAAAAUUUAAAGAGAUUGACCAUGAGAAAAUAGAGCUAAGGAAAUGACUUGAAUCUAUGGGUACUCAUAGGAUGGAAAUACUUUCACUGCUACGAAAGAAACAAGACGAGCUUACCUAAAUGCAAGGCAAGAUGAUCAACUUAUGAAAUGAAAUUCAAAAGAUUGAAGAUUCCCUAUCUUUACUUGUUGAGGAGAGCCAAACAUUGAACAAAAUGCAAGCACUACUUGAAAGCAACUGCAAAAAACUGUCAUCAUUUGAACUUUAGAAUUAGUUACAAUCUUUUACUUUUUUCAAAUUUUAUUUAUUGUCACUUGCCUAUAUUAUAUAGCCACAGGCAUAAUUAAUUUUUUAUUUCACCAUGAAUCAUGAUUUUUUUUAUUUCAUGAUACUCUUGUGGAUAUUUCUUACUUUCCUUUGUUGCUUUCAUUAACCACCAUUUUAGACUAUCGAUUGCAAAAUAAACAAUUCAACAUUUGCAUAAUUUUAAUCACAUUUGAAGAGGUAAUUGUCUACAUAAUUUGAUAAUUUGAACAAUAUACUUUCAGGUGUAUGUUGCAAAGUAAUUUGAAUUGCCCUAAAGAGAAAAACUUUUUAUCUUUUAUUGCAUGACAUCUUUAUGGGGUUGUAACUGAAUUUCGAAGUUACCAUCUAAACUGUUUGCAUAUCCCAAAAGGGAAUAAAUUCACGUGUAGUUCCUACCAUCCACAGUUUAAUUUCUUGCAGGUCAGGAGUAUCUAUUUGCUUAUCACUUUAAACUUGGUGGAGUGUUUUAGUAGUUUAACCAUAUACUACACUAUUGGUGAUUGCCGUCCACAGUUUUAACUCAUAUGGACCAAGAGCAACAUGCAGUUUAGACUCAUGUGUCAUGAAACAACAUGCAGUUUAGGGUCAUGCGUCAUGUUGUCCUUUAUUUUUUUUAUGGCGUGUAUAAUCUUAAGAAAUUUUCAUUUAUGGGUCAACAUUUACACCAUUUUGUCAACUACCUUGUACGCGUUAUUUGUAUAAACAUUUCGGAUAAUAUAUGGUCCAUCCUAUUCGGAGACAAAUUUAUCUUUAGCAUGAUGAGUCAUAACUAUUGAUUUUCGAACGGCGAACACUAUGUCACCAAUUUGAAAGGAAUGAUGAUGAUAGCUUUAGAAAGGUAAGCCUGGUAGCAUUCAAGAUUUUGUUGAGUUUCCAAUUCCUUUUCAUCUAAAGUUUCUAAUUCUUUAAGAAGCAAGCAAAUAUUUUCUUUCUCCAUGAGCCCUUAUUGGAUGGCAAUUCUCAGAGAAAGAAUUUGUUGUUCAAGAAGCAAGACAACUUCUACACCAUAAACUAAGGCAUCAGGGGUGGCUUGCAUUGGAAUUCGAUAUGUGGUGCGAUAAACGCAGAGAGUUUCACCUAUCAUUUCAUGCCAAUCCUUCUUUGAUCUGGCCAUCACUUUUUUCAACAAGUUGCAUAGAGUUUUAUUGAAUGCCUAAACAAUACUGUUGGCAGGGACAUUAUACAUAAAGGACUUGCGAUGUUUGAAUUUAAAUUUCUCACACAACCUAUCCAUUAAACAGUUGAAGAAGGGUUUCCAUUAUCAGUGAUAAUGUGUUAGAGAAUUUCAUAACGAUAAAUAAUAUUUACACGAAUGAAAUUCACCAUAUCUUCUUUUCUCACUUGAGUGGUAUAGUUUCAUCCCAUUUAGAGAAGUAGUUGGUUGUAACCAAUAUAUAUAGAUGUUGUCCGAACGACUUAGGCAAUGGUCCAACAACAUUAAGGUCCCAGGCAUCAAAAGGCUAAGAAGUAAUAGUCAAAUGUAAUAGUUCGGGUAAUUGAUGAAUGUAAUUUGCAUAGAAUUGACAAGUUUGACACCUUUGAGCGUAUUCCAUACAAUCUUUGACCAUAGUAAGGCAAUAAUAGCCCAUCAUUUUAAUCCAAAAAUGCAACUUGGGACCGAAUUGGUGAGUUUGACAUAUUUCAAAAUGUGCCUCUUGCAUAGCUUGAUAUUCAUUAUCUUCAUUCAGACAGCGCAAGAAUACACUUUCAAAUGAUUUUUGAUAUAGCGUAUCUUUGUAUAAGAUGAAACGGGGGCACGACAAUAGAUAUCAAAUCUUUUAUGUUGCUCCUUAGGUACCUUUUGAUACUUGAUAUAAUUGAUAACAGGUUGUCUCCAAUCUUCUUUAUCAACUUCAUAAGUUGAGACGACAUAAGCAUCACCUUCCUCAAUAUUUUCAUUAUCAAAUAAUGGUGAAACUAUCCACUUUUGAUACACACGAACUUGUAUUUCAUAAUUUGACAUAGUCAGAGAAGAAGCAAGCAUAGCUAAUGCAUGAGUUUGCUUAUUUUCUCUUUUAGGGACAUGUUCAAUACUUGUACCUUCAAGUUACCUUAUAAGUUGCGUUGCAUUCUUGUGAUAUGGAAUUAAUUUAAAUUUUUUAACAUCAUAAUUUCCCAAGGGUUGACUAACGACUAAUUGUGAGUUGCCAUAGAUUUGAAACUCAAAUUAUUUCAUGUCAAUAGUUAUUUCAAGUCCGAAUAUGAGGGUUUGAUACUUAACGACAUUAUUUGAACAACGUUGAUUUAGAAUAAAGGAGUAUGGCAAAACUUCUUCAUCAGAUGUUGUAAAUACAAUUUUGACUCCAACUCCAUGACGAUGAGUAGCAGAUUUCAAUAAGGAGUACAUUUUUAUUUGGUAGAUCAUCACUUAACUCCCAUUCAACAAGUAUCGGGUGAUCAAUAAGAAAAUCUACUAGUACUUAACCCUUCACGGCCUUUUGGAAUACAUAAAUAAUUUUAAAUUAUUGUAACUAGGUACCAUUUAGCUAGACAGUUGGAUAGUGUUGGUCUACUUAUCACGUAUUUUAUGAAGUUUGCCUUGAAGAUGAGUCUCACACUGUGUGCUUGAAAGUAGUGUUUUAACUUCUAUAUUAUAAAAAUAAGAGUUAAACACAACUUUUCAAUCGGUGAGUAGUUUAAUUUAUUAGAGAUCAUCAUAAAUAAUAAAGGGCAGUUUCUUUCACUUCAUUAUUUUCUUGUGCAACCAAUACCUCCACUAAACGUUCUUGGGUAACAAUGUAAAGAAUUAAUGGCUUUCUAUAAAUAGGUUCAAUCAAGACAGAUGCCUUCAUGAGAUAAGAUUUAAUGCUAUUGAAUGUAUUGCUGUACGCUUCAUUCCAUUGGAAUGGUACACCUUUCUUCAUAAGGUGAUUAAAUGGUUGACACCUUUCAAUUAAAUUUGAGAUAAACCUCCACAGAUAGGUUAAUCGCUCUUGAAGGCUUUUUAUUUCUGAAUAUUGCGAGAUUCAGGCAUUCUCAAUAUAGCAUCAAUGUUGACUCGAUCAAUUUUAAUACCUCGAUGACAGACCACAAAAUCAAGAAACUUUCCUGAUGUAACUCUAAAUGCACAUUUGAGAGGAUUCAAUUUGAGUUGAUAUAUUUUCAACCGAUCAAAAUUUUGUUUCAAAUCCUCCAAGUGAUUAUUUCUUUUUUUUUUUAUUUAACAACCAAAUCGUCCAUAUAACAUUUAAUAUUUUUAUGAAGCAUGUCAUCAAAAAUAUUUUACAUUAAUCUUUGAUAUGUAGUUUUGAUAUUUUCAAACUAAAGGGUAUUAUGUUAUAACAAUAAAUACCCUUAGGAGUAUGAAAUCUAGUGAGUUAUUUAUCCUCAGGUGUUAUUCGAAUUUGAUUAUAGUUAGAAAAGCUAUCCAUAAACGACAAACCCUCAGACCCAAUAAUUGCAUUAAUCAUGAGUUUGGUGAUGGGUAGAGAAAAAUCAUCUUUGGAACAAGCACUGUUAAGAUCCCUAAAAUUUACGUAGAUGUGAAUUUGCCUGUUCUUCUUUCGUACAGACAUGAUAUUUGAAAUUCAUGUGAAAGACUUAAAUUCAUGAAUAAAUCCAUCAUCAGUGAAUUUAUUGAUUUCAACUUCGAUCAAAUAGACCAAAUCGGGUCUAAAUCACCAUUGUACUUACAUUACAGGUCGAACUCCCUUUUUAAUAGGUAAAUGGUGGACUGCUACUUUUGAAUUUAGACCUAACAUUUCUUUAUAAGUUCAUGUAAAAAUAUCUUGAUACUCUUGCAAGAACUCAACAUAUGUCUUCUCUUCAUCAGAAUUCAAUAAAGCACUUACCUAUAUAGGAUAUGGGUCCUGUGAAGUGCCAAAAUUGAUUUUUUAAGUCAUCUACAGUGGCCUUAACGCCUUGUUCAAAUUCAGGUGAAGCAUCUUCAACAUCUUCUUCUUCUCCAAGGGAAUUAUUAUCAAAUAUGGUUAUAUGGUUGUAUGAAACAAUACUUUCUUCAUCAUCUUCCUUUGAUCUUGUUUCUACAAUAGUAUGCUCUCUAACCUUUAGUUCAGUCCCAUAAAUUAUUAUAAGAUUUGUACAUCUCCUCAUUCUUGAGAGAAUAAUGUUACCAAACUUAUAAAUGUUAUGGGGACAAUCAAAAGAUUCUUCAAAUUCUUUCAGUGAUUUUGUCAUUCUCCAUUUAUUCUUAUGAGAAUUUUGAGACUUUUAUUUUCUUUGUGGUCCUAGUCUUUUGAAGACGAAUACUCACAGAGCCUUAUCCCUAUUUUUAUGAAAAACGUGUGACUUAUUGACUAUUUUAGAAGAUUCAUCUCUUAUAGCAAUAAAUUGACUACCAGCUCUAUUGAUUUUGAUGCGAAUUGGUACAGGUGAAAAAUAGUAAAGAUCAGAUUUAGAAUUCUUAACAGCAUAUCCUUUCCCUUUCAACAUCUUUUGAGUAAGGUUUAACCCAUAAGUCACAUCGCUAGUGGCUUGAGGAGGUUUCAAUACCAGAGAUUUCUUGAAAUCAUACCCAAUUUUGGUAAGAAGUUUAUAAGCAAUAUAAUCAAAAGCUUCAUUAAUUCUUGACGUCAGUAGCAUAUCUUGCUUGAUGUCAAACUCUUUAUUAAGAUGAUCAAACCCUUUGAUUAAAGGCGAUGGUAUAUUCGUAGCAUCAAGUUUAGCCACAGGAAGAGUUAAUCCUUUCAGAGUUUUGUGUGGAAUUGAAGAUGGUUGUCCUUGUCCCAAUCUUGACUUGGGAGGGUAUCCGAAGACAACUGAUUUAUUUUUUAACAAUGAGGCAUCAAUUUUUUUAUGAACUACCUCUUUUGAUUUUGGAAUCACCACUUUCUUCGUUUUGCACUUGAUGAUUCGAGAUCUUGGAUUUUAACCAUAGAUGGAGAUUGUUUAAACUCAUUCUUUAUGUUAUACUGAUUUAUUUUUUAACAAUGAGGCAUCAAUUUCUUUCUGAACUACCUCUUUUGAUUUUGGAAUCACCACUUUCUUCCUUUUGCACUUGAUGAUUCGAGAUCUUGGAUUUUAACCACAGAUGGAGAUUGUUUAAACUCAUUCUUUAUGUUAUAUUUUUGGAUAUAAAAUUUAGCAUUAGCGAUAUGCAUUUCUACUUCAGUGUAAAGAUUAUAAUCAGUUUUCACACUUUUUACCACUCCAUUUCGGUAAUACUUGAAAUAUUGGUGAAGAGUUGAAAGCACAACCCCAUUUUCAUGAAUCCAGGGUCUUCCCAGUAGCAUAUUAUUUAUUGUUUUAGUAUCUAUUACAUACAGUUGUGCUUUAGACAAUAUAUCAUCGAUAACUAUCUCUAAAUUUAACGAUCCAAUAGCUCUUUGCCCUCCUUGAUUAAGGUCUUGUAUUAUUAGUCAGCUUAUUGGAAAGUUUAUCAAUGGAGAUGCCAAAUUCCUUUAGAGUUUUUAAGACAAGGCUAUUGACAGCAGAACCUCUCUCUAUCAAAAUUUUAUUCACAUUUUAUUUUUUAGCAUAAACAGUUACAAACAAAGGACGGUUAUGUGAUGUUGACCCAAAAAACAAGUUGAUAGGGUGUUAAUUGUUAGUAAUUUUAUUGCUAUUUUUCCCCUUUGUCCUUGCCAAAUAUUAUUUUAAUUGUUAACAUAUACUUAUUUUUGGUAUUUGGACCAAUCUACAGGAAGUGGAACUGACAAAUGCUAAAAAGGAGAUUUUAUUGAGAAAAAUCCUUCACAUGCUAGAGCCUCCAGCGGAUAUACAAGUUGGGCCCACAUGGUGUUACAAAUUCGGUUGCUGAUGGGGAGCUCUUAUUAUUGGGAGUUGACUUGUACGUGUAGGAGUCCUCCUACCAAGAGGAAACAAGAAAAAAGGAAUUCGGCAGAGGCCCAUCUUUUGUACUUAGCUUUCUCAAUUCGGUAGGGACCAUGGACUAGAGGUUUUCAUUAGUGAUUGGACUUUAAAAGGGAAGAAACGUAUAGAGGCUUGGGGAUUAUUAUGAUUAGCGUAGCUUUAGUUUUAGUGGUUAGCUAGCGUUUCCUUUUCAUGCGCACGAGGUGCUCGACAAUAUUUUUCAACGGGAAAAAAAAACAUCUUUUACUCUUGCUUUCUAGUGAAAAACUUGAUGCCUUUGCAAUCAAUUAAUUUGCGUGGAGAUUUAAUUAUGCGGCGUGGCUAAGCCUUUUAUCUAGUCAAGGAUCAACUCGACGGCGCAGUCCCAAAUAUCUGUGAGAUCUAAUUAGUUUUCACGCGUUUCUUAAUUUGUUAAUAUUUGCAUGUUGCCUAUUUGAAUUUCCACGGGAUUAUUUUGUUAAUUGGAUAUCAAGAGCCCGAUGUUCAAUGUGACUUAUUAAUUUCCUGCCAAAUUAGUCAAUUAAAUCCGUAAUUGUUUGAUUGAUUAAUAUUAGUAGCAACUGACAUGUUUACACACUAGAAGAACGUGCAAUCUAAUUUAAAUAACCCUCGUAGCGUGUUAUUGAUUGGGAUUAGAUUUUUCUAGUUAUUAAUGCAAUUGGGAAAUUAAUUCAUACAGUUGUACCUAGGAGUAUUUUCUGGUUAGGAGUAAUCAUUGGUCGUACCUUGGUUAUCAAUAAAUUAAGGAAAAAUUGGUCGUUAGAAUUCGUCGGCGACUAUAACUAGCCUAUUAAUAAAUUAAGUGAACCUCCCUUGCAUCAAUGAUCGGGUAAGUGGACUGUGUCUGAGUAGUUGUAUUCUUAACUAAAAUUUAUCUAUUCUUGAUUUAAUUCCUGCCUAUAUUCGUGCUAAUUAAUUAUUUAUUUUUAGUGAAUUGCUUAAUUAUUUUUAGUUUUACUCCAAUAAAAUUCCUCUUUACCAAUUGGAAUCUCAAAAAGACAAAUAUUCUCAGUCCCUGAAGAGACGACCCUACUUGCCAUUGUCUACUAUUUAGUAAGUUUUGUCAACUAAUUAAUUUUGGUAUAUCGGAUUAAGCAAAUUUUUCGGGAACAGGGUGAAUUAAGUAACCUAUUGCACAUCUAGAGUCCCGGCUCUAAUAUCUAGGAUUCAUUAUUGACUGCUUUUAGUGGUAUUUAGGUUAUUAUUAUUAUUAUUGCACAGUCUCGACACCUGUCAAUUUUUGGCGUCGCUGCCAGGGACUGGCGUUAAUUAUUUGUUUUUUUAAGUUCAAUUUUGUUCUAAUUUUCUGGUAUUUUUUCUAAUUUAUGCAUCAUUCUUCUCGUAUAAGUGAAUUAAUUUUCGACCCUGAAGUAGAGAAGAUCGCGCGUAGAACGAGAAAAGAAACCAGACAAUUCAGAGAAGAGCACUCAAGUACUACAUCUCAGAGACUUGAGCCGGAAGUUGAACCGGCAAAUUCGUUUGGUAACACUUCGAGUGACUCGGAUCAAGAGAAACUCACCAUGGCAAAUGCACAAACAUUAAGGGAGUUGGCUGCUUCUAAUUUAAAUCAACAGCCUUUAUGCAUUGCUUUCCCAAGUUUGAAUGAUGACACCCUCUUUGAACUAAAAUCUGGUCUAAUUCAUCUCUUGCCAUCUUUUCAUGGUUUACCAGGUAAGGAGCCCUACAAACAUUUACAAGAGUUUGAUGUUGUUUGCAACAGUAUGAAACCCCCGGGAAUCACAGAAAAGCUGAUAAAAAUGAGGGCCCUCCCCUUCUCUUUGAAGGAUUCAGCGAAAGAUUGGCUAUACUACCUACCACCAGGUAGUAUCACCACGUGGGACCAGUUGAAAAAAAAAUUCUUAGACAAAUAUUUUCCUGCGUCUCGGGCCGCCAGCUUAAGGAAAGAGAUAUGCGGUAUCAAACAACACCCAGGCGAGUCUCUCUAUGAGUACUGCGAGAGGUUUAAGAAGCUGUGUAUCAAAUGCCCUCAGCAUCAGAUAAGUGAGCAACUGCUCAUCCAAUAUUUCUAUGAGGGACUACUCUUCACGGACUGGAGCAUAAUCGAUGUUGCCAGUAAAGGGGCGCUAGUGAACAAGACCCCUCGAAAAUCUUGGGAGUUGAUUGAGGGGAUGGCUGAAAAUUCACAGCAGUUUGGUGGGCAGUGGCGAUGGCGAAGGCUCGCGGGGGUGGAAGAGCCGUUGGCGCGACUGGGGCCGCGCGGCUGCUAGAAUCUAGUUGCAUCAGUCUCUGUGGUCCUUGGGAUCUUUGAUUCGGCUGUUCCAUAGCUUGUCGAUCCUUUGUUGCAUCCCUGUAGGCAUUGUAAUUCCUGUUGAUUGAGUUGUUAUCUAGUUUUUGAGGGCACCUCUAGUAGUUCCUUUAUUUGGGAGUUAUUUGGGGUUGAGUUGGGAGUUAUUGGCCAAUUGAUUCCUAUUUUGCUUUCGUCCUGUUUCUGGUACUGUAUGGUUUUGAUUGGGGGGUGUCUCAGUGGUUUGGGUUGCCUGUUUGAAUUGGUUCUUACCUGUGUGUGCACCAGUGGUACUGGUUGUGUUGGGAAUCCGUGACUGAUUUGUUCUUGUCCAAUUGAAGCCAUUUUGAGCAAUUUUGGGGUGAACACAUUUUGUCAUUAAUUGUUGAUUGUUGGGGGACGUUUUUGGUAACACUUGAGUUGAUAGGGUGUUAAUUAUUGGUUAUUUUAUUAUUAAUCUCCCUUUUUAUUCUUGCCAAAUAUUGCUUAAUUGUUAAUAUUUACUCAUAUUUGGUAUCUGGACUUAAUUUCAGGAAUGAAGUAGAAAACUACCAAAAAGGAGGGAUUUUAUGGAGAAUAUGGAAACUUCUAAGGGCUUCAAUUCUUGGGCCCUUGAAUUGGUGGGGACCACAAGCUAGUGAAAGGCAUUUAGUCAUUUGAGCUCUUCAAAAGAAGCUACGUAUAUUUUAUUUUAUUUUAUUUUAUUUAUUUUAUUUAUCUCUUAUUUUUUUUUAUAUAGUUUAUGGCUUCUAACACUUCGUAUUUUGGUGAUAUACUGGAUUUUGUUUCCGGGAAAGGCAAUGUGACUAGUUUUUUUGCUAAGUCUGCAUAUGCAGAGGCACUAAACUCUAUUAGAGAAAGAAUGGCUGCUGCAACCUGUAAAAUUUGUUAUACCAGGGAUCAUUCAACCGGUAUGUGCCCCGAAUAUCAAGAUAAUCUGAGUGUCCCAUUCGAUAAUUAUGGAGAAUUUUCACCCUGGUCUCAAACGUGGUACGACCCUAAUCCAAACGGGUAUGAUCAAGGAUGGUGGGAUAACUCCAAUUAUAAUUAUACAACGGGACCAAUGAAUUUUCAGCAGUAUGAGUCUCAAGAAUCGUCAUCUAUGUCAGGUAUGUCUCUUGAAGAAAUAGUUGAACCAAUAGCUACUAACACAUACCAAUUCCAACAGGAGACACAAAUGAGGAAUGAGAUGAUGAAGGAUGCAAUGAGUUAUCUGGCAGAUCAACUAUGUCUAUUGACAUCCAGAAUAAAUCGAUGGGCUUCUCAAAUGGAAGAACUGCCCUCGAAAACCAUUGUUGACCUAGAAGAAAAUGAGAGUGCAAUUUGCUUGACUAGUGAUGAGGAGAUGCAAGAGUGUCAAAAUGAAAAAUCUACAGAUACAGUUGAAAAAGAAGCCGAAAAGGAAGAAAUGGAACCCCAACCGCAACCCAUUCAAGUGAAAGAAUCCAGUGAAGAAUCAUCAAAUGUGGUGACACCACCUCCAUUCCCUAACCCGCAUUUUUUCUAACUCUUACUCUAUGAUUUCUGUUAAUGAGAUUGAUUUUGUUAUACCGGAAGUUUUUGAGUCUCAUGGCAGAAAUAAGUUGAGAGUGGAGAUGGCGAAAUAUCUUGAACCGUUGAAUGCUCUUGAUGGAGGAAUGGAUGAAGAAUUGCGAUCAAUGCUUGAUUAUGUGGCGCCAUCAACUAGUCCAUGGAAGCCCGUGGUUCGUGUGCUCAAAGAUUACUCCAUCUAUGAGGGUUACCAGGAUCAUAUUGAAGAUGAAGCAUUGAAGCGAGCUACAAGAUUUUAUCCUCCAUGAACAAGACAUAACAAUGUCUAGCCAAAGACAUUAAAGAAAGGCGUUUUUUGGGAGGCAACCCAAAUAUUGAUUUUAUUAUUUUUAGUUGUUCAAUUCUUUCGUUCUGUUGUUUCUCAUUUGGAUAGUAGUUGGUCUUGAUAUUUUUCUCCACUGUGAUCAGGAAGUGAAAUCUUGGCGUGCCCACGCGGUGUUUAGGUCUCCUGAGAUCAGAGGACGAACACCAAUCUUGGCGUGCCCACGCGGUGUUUGGGUCUCCUGAGGUCAGUGAAUGUUUUGUAAUCUUGGCAUGCCCACGCGGUGUUUGACGACCCAAAACAUGAAAAAAAAAAAGUUUCAAAAUUUCACAUUGAGAAAAUUCAAAAAUUCAAAAGGCAUUUUUCUUUUUCUUCAAAAAUUCAAAUUUUGGAAUUUCAAAUUCAGGAAAAAAUUUGAAAAAAAAACAUUGAGAAAAAAAAACCCAAAAAGAAAAAAUUAAGAUUCAAAAAAAAAAAAAAACUAUUUUUUUUUCUCUCUUUUUCUUUUUCUCUUUUCUUUUUCUUUUUUCUUUUCUUCUUUUUUCUUUCUUUCUUCCUUCACCACCGCAGCAGCUACCCCACGCGACUCUCCUCCGCCUACCCCAGCGCACAGCCCAGGCCACGCGCUCCCUCCUUCCUGCAGCCCGUCGACGAAGCCCACCAGCCACCACCAGCAGGCCGCGGCUCCUUCCCCCUUGCGCGGCCACAGCUCGCGAACCACCUCUCCCACAGCGCGCGGCCUUCUCCCUUAUCUUUUGGCCGCGCGUCAUUGGCUCGCCCAAGGGCAGCCGCCGCCGCCGUUCCUCACAGUCAAGCAAUCGCAGGCCAAAGCCCACAACCCCAGCCGGCGCCGCCCGCAGCUCCUCGUGCGUGACAGCCGUGCGACGCCGCGCCUCCCUCAGCAACAGCUCCAAGCUCCAGCUCACUCGCAGACAGCCGCGCGAUUCUCAGCCAUUCACCUCGCGCGACCCCGAGCGCACAAUUCCGCGUGCCGCCAUCGAAGACCGCCGCGCCUCUCCCUCAGCCCGCCAUUGCGCCCCACCACUGUCCCGCUGUCUACGGUUGGGCACAAGGGAGGUACUUUUAAAAGAAAUUUUUAAUUUAAAUACGAGAAUGUCAAUUUCUAAAUUCUGGGGCUGUUUAGUGAUUGUUUGGAUUUCUUGGUGGAUUUGGUUGGCCGUCUGAUUAAAUUCUUCCUUGUGUGAUAACCAGUGGUACUGGUUGGGGUCUUUCGACCAUAGUUGUUGCUUAUAUUUGGUCAGAUGUCUGCUUGUUUGAAAGUUCACGUUCUUGUGAUUGAGUUGUUGCUCAAAUUCUGAUCUGCUGUUGCUAGAACUUUUGGUUGGUUGAGUUGUGCAAUUGACUGUCCAAUUGGAGACAGUUAUUGAGAUCUUAGGUGGGAUGGUGUCCAAUUGCUAAAAUUUGUUGCUUUGUUUCGUCACUCGCACUGCUCCUAGUUUGUUCGAGUGAAAUUGGUUGGAUGUUCUUUGCCCGUGGAGUGUAACUGUUACAUUGUUUGGGGCAGUUUUUUGGUAUUGAUUGAAUUGUUGGGCGUAAAUUGCUCAGGACUUUACAUUGCUAAUUUGGUGGGCCAUUUAUUGUGCAUUACCCUUUUGAAUUGGGAGAUACCUGUGCUUAUUGGGUUUUGACUACUUGAGAUUUCUGUUGCAUCUGGGGGAUAAAAUUUGAUGACUUUUGUGCCAGUUUAUUUGUUUGGAAAUUGUUGGGGGUAAUUUGGGAGUUACUUGUCAAUUGGGUCCCGUGUUACCCUCUACCAUUCAGUGGUACUGAUUGGUGUGUUUGGCUUUAUCACAUGUCUUGGGUUGGCCAUUUGAUUUCAAUUUUCCUUGUGCAUGCACCAGUGGUACUGGUGAGGGUAGUUUACAUAAUAUUUGUUACUCCUGUGUUAUUGGUUGCCUAAUCGACUACUGGGCAUUUGUGGUUGAAUUGUUUCUGUCCAACUUCUGAACUGUUGUUGCUGGAGUGCCAUUUUCUUGGGUCAAUUGCUGAUUUUAGCAAGUUGAAGUGGGUAAUUGACUGUCCAAUUGGAGACAGUUGUUACGAUAUUGGGUCCGAUUGUGUCUAAUUGCUGGAAGUUGUUGAUUUAUUAAGACACUAGCACAGUUCCUAGUUUGUUCGAGUUGCUGUUCUGUUGCAUUAUUGGGAGCUGUGCUCUAGUAUUGUGGCUACUUUCCUGCGUUUAUUUGUUGAAUUGGGAUAUGAAUGUGCCUAUUGCUCAUUUUGUUGCAUCUAAUUGACUUGCUUGGGGUAAUCUGCCCAUCAAUUUUAAUUACUCAAGUCUUUGGAGCAGUUGUUGCACAUUUGGACUACUUUGUUUCUAUAUCUGACUGAAUUGGGACCACAAGUGCUUAUCAAUUGCAUUUGCUAUAAGUAUUGGGGUAUUCGUAUAGAUUUUAGGAGCCUGCAUUGUGCAUUUUAUUGUUUGGGUUGCCUACUAGUUACCAUGGUGAAGCCACGAUCCUCCCCCAGGGGCCGAUGACUGGCUCCAACUUUCGAUGACAGUUGAGAGACUGGAGACUCGAGUGACCCACAUUGACAUCGACUUGCAUAACAUGGCGCAGAAUUUGGCAGCACUCCGCCCGACCCGCCCCUGUUUUGACAAUUUCAAGGAAGUACCGUUGCCCUUCUCUUUACUUUUGUUGUUGGUUUAUCACAUUGAGGGCAAUGUGUGAUUUAGGUGUGGGGGGAUCAGUUUGGGUGCUAGUAUUUUUAGUUUUUAGGUUCUAGAGGUUUUUCUUUUGUUUUAGUUUGAUAUUUAGUUCUUUUUUUUUCGUCUAUUUUAUUUUAUUAUUAUUAUUUUUUUUUCUUUCUCCUUUUUUCUAGUGGUCAGUCUUCAUAUGAAUACCAAGUUUGAUACUGGAUUGUUGUCUCUAAUUCUGCUAUUGCCAAGUCUUAUUAAUAAAAGGGUAUUAAGUUAAUGUGCUUGAGUUCAGGAAUAUCUCUUUGGUGAAUAUCGGUAAUUGCUUAACUUUUUCAAUUUUUGGUUAACUUUUCUAGGCAUAGGGAAUGAUUGUUGGCAUUUUUCAUGUGAAUUGGUUCAGUUAUUAAUUUUAGUUCUCCAUGUCUGGAAAUUUGAGGCUGGCUGCUGUUAAUCUUAUGUUGCUUUUAGAUAUCGUGUUAUAUGGUUGUAAAUAAGAGUUGACUGUACUCCGCUAGUGGUUACUACUGAGUAACCGGGGAUUUUCACCUAAAGUGUCGAUUCUCGCGUCAAAAGGUAGUAGUUGCUAUGAAUGCGUGGUCCUGUAGCGAUCGGAGCUGAGUAACCGGGCUCCUCCAUCUGAUAAAUGUUGGAGUUCGCGUCAAAAGGCUCUAAAUGGCUAGAGACUAAGUCUUUUGCUAUUCCCAAAAAAAAAAAGAAAAAAAACAAGUAAAGUUUGUGUUAGUAUUUAAAAAAAAAAAAAAGAAAGUCAGCUUGCCUAUUUGUGAUCUUAAUGUCGAGAUUUUGGUUAAUAGAUGGACCAUUUGCUGAUAAAUGUGAGCAACCAUUCCUUUUCCUUAGAUUAGUUUGCUUCAAAUUGAAGGAGUUGGUGGUUUAGAGGCUAAUCGGGGUGAUUUUUCUUGGAUGUUGACCUGUGAUGCUUGAUAUUUAUUUUUCUUGGACAUCUUGGCAAUACGGUAGUUGGAGUAACAGCCAUGGUCAACUUUUGGUGUUCAAUUGUUGUUCCCAUACUUGAGGGCAAACAUGAUUUAGGUGUGGGGGGAAUUGAUAGGGUGUUAAUUAUUGGUUAUUUUAUUAUUAAUCUCCCUUUUUAUCCUUGUCAAAUAUUGCUUAAUUGUUAAUAUUUACUCAUAUUUGGUAUCUGGAUUUAAUUUCAGGAAUGAAGUAGAAAACUACCAAAAAGGAGGGAUUUUAUGGAGAAUAUGGAAACUUCUAAGGGCUUCAAUUCUUGGGCCCUUGAAUUGGUGGGGACCACAAGCUAGUGAAAGGCAUUUAGUCAUUUGGGCUCUUCAAAAGAAGUUACAUAGAGAGACUUGGAGAAAGAAGUACUUUGGAGGCUUUGUCCAUAUGUGUGGGGACCACCUAGAUAGCUUUUAGUCAUCUUUCUUUUGUUGCUUUAAAAGGGGACAACGUACAGAAGCAAAGGACAUCUAGGGCUUUAGUUUUAGUUUUUUUAGUUUAGUUCUAGUUUCCUUUCUUUGGACUGGCCUCUGACACACGCCAGGUGUUCGACAAUAUUCCCCAACGGGAAGAUUUUCUCAUGAGGCGUGGUUAAGCUUUUCUAGUCAAGGGGACAACUGACGAUUUGGUUCGACAAUUACUGUGAGAUCGAAUCUGUUUUAAUUAUUUUCUUCAUUUAUUGGUAUUUAUAUGUUCCUUGAUUUUAAUUGCUAUGGCCUUGUGUAUGAUUGAUUAGUGCGCAAUAAUUAAUUAUUCAUAUAGGCUAUUUUUGCUAAAUAGGGGUAAUUGAAUCCGUAAUUGUUCGUUAUCUCUACCUCAGUAGCAACUGGCGUAAAUGGGUUUAUGUCAGGGGAGCAUAUGAUCUAAUUUAAACAAACCCUCGUAGCGUGUUUGUUGGUUAGGAUUGGGCCUUUCUAAUUAUUAAUGCAAUCUAGAAAUUAAAUCCUACGGUCGUACCUAGGGUUGUUUUUGGGUUAGAGAAAUAGCUAACGGUCGUACCUUAGCUAUCGAGAAAUUAAGGAAGGGUUGGUUGUUUAUCGCGUGCAUGACAACUAUAACUAAUCUAUUGCUAAAUGUUGGAAUUAUUUCUGCAUCAAUGAUCAGUGCAUGAACCAUUUCUGAUGUGUACCCUUGGCUAGAGUUUCCCCAAUCAUUUCUUUUAAUUAAUUAUUUUCUGCAGUUAAUUUAUUUAGUUAGCAUUUAAUCCAAAACCCCCCAUACUUUGGACUCUAGAAGAAACGAAUUAUCCCCAAUCCCUGUGGAUUCGACCCUACUCACCGCUAUAUACAAAAUCUGUAUCUUUAUUGAGUAGGUAUUUAUUAUUGUACAGGUUCGGCACCUGUCAAUUUUGGGGUGAACACAUUUUGUCAUUAAUUGUUGAUUGUUGGGGGACGUUUUUGGUAACACUUGAGUCUAUUUUGCUGAGUUCUGUUGAUAGAGCAGUUAUUUGGCACAUUUUACAGUGUUAUUUUGUCCUAAUUUUGGCUAUUCAUGGUGUUAAGAAUUGGAAUAUCACUCAUAUUUGAUGUUUGUGUGAAUUGUAGGUGGUCGGCAUUAAAAAUGACCUCUCAAGGCAAAUUUCUAGAAGACUCUUCGUCUCAGAGCAUGGCCACGCCAGAGAAGGUCGAUGUUACCGAAAAGCCGGACCCCGGUCCACGUGAACCGCAAGGAGCACGGGAUUAAAGCUCUAAAAGGCUAGCUUUUGUUUCAAUCAAUUGGGUCAGACAUGACUUGGCUCCUAGAGGCUUCAAUUAAAAAAGAAAAGAAAGGGCCAGACGUCGAGGGAAUGAGAAUGAGGAAACUAGGUCUACAUGGACCAGCUACACGGGAUAAAAACUCCAAUGAAGAGAAGAGCUCUGCUCCGCGUGGAUUUCCCCUGCGGCACUAUAUAAGACAACAAAAAAGGUGAUGCAGCGGAGAAUAUAGAUUAGCUUUGAUUUUCUUUUCGAGAGGGGUCAGGCGAUUGCAGACUUUUGUAGCUUUUCGGUUGUGACACUUGGACUCCUUGGCUUUUGUUUUGACUCUGCACAAUUUACGUUAGUUUUUGUUCGUACACUUGCGGCACCAAAGCAAAGACGAAGGCAGUGCCUUCUCUGUUGUUACUGCAAUUAAUUCCCCUUCCCCAAUUUUCGGCGAAUAAUUGAAUGAAUUCAAUUAAAUCACGCGGGAUUGACACGAUAAGGAGCGGCUAAUUUUCUCCUCUACCCAAAGGUUGACGCGAAGGCGCGGUCCAUAAUAUCUGUGAGAUCUAAUCGAAUUUUCAUUAUUUCUUUCAAUUUAUUGCUAUUCGUACGUUUCCUGAAUUAAUUGUUCAUGAGUAUUUUACUAAUUGAAUAUCAACGGCCGGGUAUUUGAUUUAAUUUAAUAGUCUACUGCCACGUUAAUUAAAUAGAAUCCGUAAUUGUUCAUUUAGUUAACACCUCGUGGCAACCACCAUAAUUGGCUUUAUGAUGGGAAAACGCAAGAUCUAAUUUAAAUAAACCCUCUUAGCGUAUUUAUUGGUUAGGGUUGGAUUCUUCUAGCUUUAAUGCAAUUGGGUAAUUAAAUUCUCACGGUCGUACCUAGGGUUGUUAUCUGGUUAGAGAAGCAGUCAAUGGUUGUACCUUGACUAUCGAAAAAGUAAGGAAGAACUGGUUGUCAGAGCUUAUUGAUAACUAUAACCAACCUAGUGAUGAAUGGAUGAAAUACCUUUGCAUUGAUGAGCAUCUGUCUUGAGUCCAUUGAAGUGCCGUUGGUUGAGUAAUUUCUGCGUCUUUUUGUUGAAUUGGAAGGCUAUUGUGACACUUCCAUUGCACUUUCGGAAUGCAUUGUUUCUGUAUUUGACUAAAUUCAGGCCACCAGUGCUUCUUGAUUGCAAUCACUGUGCUGUUGGGGUAUUUGUACAGCUUUGAGUACCUGAAUUGUGUUUGUGUUGGUUGGAGUACCAUUUAUAGAGAAUGGUGAGACCUAAAUCCUCCUCUAGGUCUAGGACACCUAGAACUUCUCAGCCUCCUCCCACCCUAGGGGCUAACGAUUGGCUCCAACUCCGAAUGCAAGUUAAGAGACCGGAGAUUCGAGUGACCCACAUUGACAUCAACUUGCAUACCAUGGUGCAGAAUUUGGCAACAAUUAUGCACCAUGCGGGUCUUGUUCCUCAGUUUCCGUCUGACCCACCCCUGUUUUGACGACUUCAGGGAAGCACCGGUGCUCUUUUGCUUACUUUUGCUAUUAAAUUAUCACAUUGAGGGCAAUGUGUGAUUUAGGUAUGGGGGGGAUCAGUUGUGGUACUAGUAUUUCCAGUUUUUGAUUUUUAAGUGUUUUUCCUUUGUUUUUAGUUUGAUAUUUUUCUCUUUUUCGUUUAUUUCUUUUAUUCGUGAUCAGCUCUUAUUUGAAUACCAAGUUUUGAUGUUGGAUUGUUGCCUCUAAUUCUGCUCUUGCCAAGUUUUAAUAAUAAAAGGGUAUCAAGUUAAUAUGGUUGAAUUCAGGAACAUCUCUUUGGUGAAUAUCAAUAAUUGCUUAACUUUUCCAAGUUUUGGUUAACUUUUCUAGGCAUAGGGAAUGAUUGUUGGCAUUUUUCAUGUAAAUUGGUCCAAUUAUUAAUUUUAGUUCUCUAUGUUUGGAAAUUUGAGGCUGACUGCUGUUAUUUUUAGUUAUUGUGUUAUAUGAUUGUAAAUAAUAGAUAACUGUACUCCAUUAGUUGUUACUACUGAGUAACCGGGGAUUUUCACCUAAAGUGUCGAUUCUCAUGUCAAAAGGUAGCAGUUACUAUGAGUGCGUGGUCCCGUAGCGAUUGGAGCUAAGUAACCGGGCUCCUCCAUCUGUCAAAUGUUGGAGUUCGCAUCAAAACGCUCUAAGGGUUAUAAACUAAGUCUUUUGUUAUUCAAAAAAAAAAAAGAAAAAAAGAAGCAGAAGAAAACAAAAGAAGCAGAUUGUGUUAGUAUAUGAAAAAGUCAGCUUGCCGAUUUGUGAUCUUAAUAUCGAGAUUUUGGUUAAUAGUUGGACCGUUUGCUGAUAAAUAUGAGCAACCAUUCCUUUUUCUUAGAUUAGUUUGCUUUAAAUUGGAAGAGUUGGUGGUUGGGAAGCUAAUCGGGGUAAUUUUUCUUUGAUCUUGACCUGUGAUGCUUGAUAUAUGUUUUUCUGGAUAUCUUGGCAAUACGGUAGUUGGAGCAAUAGCCAUUGUCAAAUUUUGGUGUUCAAUUUCUGCUCUCAUGCUUGAGGGCAAGUAUGGUUUAGGUGUGGGGGGAAUUGAUAGGGUGUUAAUUGUUAAUAAUUUUAUUGCUAUUUUUCCCCUUUGUCCUUGCCAAAUAUUAUUUUAAUUGUUAACAUAUACUUAUUUUUGGUAUUUGGACCAAUCUACAGGAAGUGGAACUGACAAAUGCUAAAAAGGAGAUUUUAUUGAGAAAAAUCCUUCACAUGCUAGAGCCUCCAGCGGAUAUACAAGUUGGGCCCACAUGGUGUUACAAAUUCGGUUGCUGAUGGGGAGCUCUUAUUAUUGGGAGUUGACUUGUACGUGUAGGAGUCCUCCUACCAAGAGGAAACAAGAAAAAAGGAAUUCGGCAGAGGCCCAUCUUUUGUACUUAGCUUUCUCAAUUCGGUAGGGACCAUGGACUAGAGGUUUUCAUUAGUGAUUGGACUUUAAAAGGGAAGAAACGUAUAGAGGCUUGGGGAUUAUUAUGAUUAGCGUAGCUUUAGUUUUAGUGGUUAGCUAGCGUUUCCUUUUCAUGCGCACGAGGUGCUCGACAAUAUUUUUCAACGGGAAAAAAAAACAUCUUUUACUCUUGCUUUCUAGUGAAAAACUUGAUGCCUUUGCAAUCAAUUAAUUUGCGUGGAGAUUUAAUUAUGCGGCGUGGCUAAGCCUUUCAUCUAGUUAAGGAUCAACUCGAUGGUACAGUCCCAAAUAUCUGUGAGAUCUAAUUAGUUUUCACGCGUUUCUUAAUUUGUUAAUAUUUGCACGUUGCCUAUUUGAAUUUUCAAGGGAUUAUUUUGUUAAUUGGAUGUCAAGGGCCCGAUGUUCAAUAUGGCUUAUUAAUCUCCUUCCAAAUUAGUCAAUUAAAUCCGUAAUUGUUUGAUUGAUUAAUAUUAGUGGCAACUGGCGUGUUUAUACACUAGGGGAACGUGCAAUCUAAUUUAAAUAACGCUCGUAGCGUGUUAUUGAUCGGGGUUAGGUUUUUCUAGUUAUUAAUGCAAUUGAAAAAUUAAUUCCUACGAUCGUACCUAGGAGUAUUUUCUGAUUAGGAAUAAUCAAUGGUCGUACCUUGAUUAUCAAUAAAUAAAAGAAAAAUUGGUCGUUAGAAUUCGUCGGCGACUAUAACUAGCCUAUUAAUAAAUUAAGUGAACCUCCCUUGCAUCAAUGAUCGAGUAAGUGGACUGUGUCUGAGUAGUUGUAUCAUUGGCUAGAAUUUAUCUAUUCUUGAUUUAAUUCCUGCCUAUAUUCGUGCAAGUUAAUUAUUUAUUUUUAGUGAAUUUUUUAAUUAUUUUUAGUUUUACUCCGAUAAAAUCCUCCUUUAUCAAUUGGAAUCUCAAAGAGACAAAUAUCCCCAGUCCUUGAGGAGAUGACUCUACUUGCCACUGUCUACUAUUUAGUAAGUUUUGUCAACUAAUUAAUUCUGAUAUAUCGGAUUAAGCAAACUUUUCGAGAAUAGGGUGAAUCAAGUAACCCAUUACACACCUAGAGUCCCUGCUCCAGUAUUUAGGAUUAAUUAUUGACUGUUUUUAGUGGUAUUUAUAUUUUUAUUAUUAUUAUUGCAUAGGCUCGACACCUGUCAAUUUUUGUGAUGUUGACCCAAACAACAAAGGACGGGUUAUGUGAUGUUGACCCAAAUAACAAGUCUUCACUAGUGAAUGUGAUAUUUGUGAUAUCCACCUCUUUAUUACCAGUGGGCACGUGAGUUAUCUCACAAGGAGAUUCGCGAGUAUCAUCCUUUGUUCUUCAAUAUCAUCAACUUGCGUUGUGUGACAUGAGACCAUAUCAAUAUCAAAGAAUCUUUUAGAUAUGAAUUCUUUUAAAAUGAUAGAAACUCGCGACUUUUGCUUGAAUACUUGAUUUUCUUGAAGAUUGUGAUUAUUAUUAUUUUUCUCUAUAUUCUUCUCUUUUCUCUUCCAGACCAUUCUACUUCUUGUUAAGGCCUUGUUUACCUUAUUAGAUGGACGAGAGUUUCAUCUUCAUCUUCGCGUGAUCAGAGUUCAUCCAUCAUCAUCUACGUCUGAUUGUAAUGACUUCUCAUCUUCAUAUUCAUAUUUUUGAAGAGCUGAAGGGGCGAUUUUUUGUUCAACUUCUAUAGGAUCAAAUGAUCCAAAUUGAAUGGUUGGCAAUAUAGGUAUCGUAAACUUUUCGACUUCCAUGGACUGUAGUGAAUCAACGGAGGUUUGAUUCAUACUUGCUUUGUUUUUUUCAAGAAAAUUUUUUUCUUGUCUUGCCAAAUCCAUCAUCUCAUCUUUAAAGACAAAGUAUUUUUGAAUGGGAUGUCCAACCAAGCAAUGAUACUUGAUUUGGAUCAUCCGUAUUACUAAUCUCGUCAAGUCAGUUCAUCUUGGAAGCAUGAUCAAGUUCAUGCUUAACAAAUUAUCAAAUAUACUAGGAACAUCAGAAUCAAGGAAAUUGUACUUCUUGUUUUGCAUCUCCUUGAGUGUUGGUUUUUUCUUUCCUUCGUCUUGAUGCAUACUGGUUUUCUUGUCUUCUCUUUUAGCAGUUCUGAGAAUAAUCUUGAAAGGUGUUAUACUUGCAGCUAUGGCCUCUUUCUCACUUUGAUUGGGGGCUUGCCUCCUUUCCUCACUUCUUGUUUCUCCUUAGCCUUGCGAGAAUCAGGAAUUGGCGGCUCUUGUCCAUCAAGGUUAAUUUCUAUCUUAUGAGUUUUUGGGGAUAAUUCAUCAAAUAUUUCUGGUUAUACCCCUUACAAGAUAUAUCUGAAUCCCCAAUGCAAGUCUUGAAUACACAUCUCAAUAGCGGAAGACUCGAAAAUUCGAUCCUUACAGUUUAGGCUUAGAUUUUUUCGAGCGAUUGAUAAAGUUAAUAACAUGUUCAUUCUUUCACUAGCACAUAUUUUAGAGUUCAAUUAUGCUGACAGUCCUUUUCGUGCUAUAGAAGCAAUUAAGGAAUUCCUACUCUAAUUGCUCCCAACUGUCAAUGCUGCUAGAUUCUAAAUCUGUGUACCAAUCAAACGUGUUACCCUUCAAUGAGUGAACAAAUUGCUUAACUAGCAAGUCACCAUUAGUGCCAGCAUUGUUACAAUUUUCGACAAAGUGCGCAAUAUGUUGUUUAGGGUUACCUUUGUCAUCAAAUUAUUGAAACUUUGAAAAUUGAAAUCCUACAAGCAUCUUCAAACAUUUACUCUUGUGGUGUAAGGUUUGAUAUAAUUGCUAUAUGACUUGGUAUUUCCACCAAUCUUGUCCUUGAUCGUACCUUUGAUAAACUCCUUUAAAUUAUCAACAUGAAUGGUACUAUCAGGAGAGAUUGAAAACUCCUUCAUUAUUCGUGACUUGGUAUCCUCUUUCUCUUUCUUCCUUGAUGAUGAGUUACCUUCAUAUUUUUUACCAUGGCCAUUAGUUUGGCUAUUUUGGCAUCUUGACUUUGCACGUGCCCUGCUAGCCCUUCGACAAUUUGGCAAGAUUUGAAAUUUGAUCUCUACGGUUGUGGUGUUAGUCAUCAUGAUGGGCAUUACCACAGAAGUAGCUAAAUUGCUUGAGCUAUCAGCAGAUUCAUCAUGGACUCCCUUCUUGUUGGGAAAAAUCUCAAAAUUUUUUCUUUCAACCACAGCAUUCGCCUUAACCCUAUCUACUAAUUUCUUAGCCUUGCUCCUUGUCAUAGGUGUAGUAUACUGCAUCUCCUGAGUUGUUGGGAUGCCAGCAACUGAGCCUUCAAGAGCAAAACUCAUCUUCUUGGACUCCAUUGAUUCUUGAAACAAGUAAGCUAUUCAAAGAAAAGAGAUGAAAAACAGAGAUGGUCCCACCAGACGUGUCAUAAAAUUUGUGAGCAUAAAUUUUGUUGCCUAAAAUAAAGACAAGAAAAUUUGCAUAAAUAUCAAAUUUAUUAAAUCAAAUAAUAAAUGGGUUAUAAUUUUUGAAAAUUCUUGAAUUAAAGAUAUUAAUCUUCUAAUUCUUCUCUUCAAAAACUUCAAUUGAAGGGUUGAAAAGACUUGUUUACCGAUCAAGAGGGUGUUUCCUACGAUUUUGACAUAGAAAACCGCUGAUUUGAUGAUGACGUUAAAUAGUUGAUGUUGGGUUUGGAUUUUAUUCCACCAAUCGUUCAUUUUGUUGGAUUUGAGUUUUAUACCACCAACUGUGGGAUAAAACCCAAUCCCAAUAAAAUGAACGGUUGGUGGGAUAAUACUCAAAUCCAAUAAAAUGAAUGAUUGGUGGGAUAAAAUCCAAACCCAACACUUGUAUCUUUAAAUCUUCAAUGUCGAUAGAAGGAGGAUUUAUUUUAACUUGAUUUGGAUUUGAAUUUAAGGGAAAAUGCUCUCGAGAGAAUUUGACAGAAUUUCUUCAAAAUUUAGAAAUUUCAAUGUGUUUUUGUACUAAGAGAAUACCUUUAUUUAUAGGCAAAAUAUGUAGAUUAUGUCUUCAAGAAAAUUCUCCAGAACCUUCUUGCGUUUGGGUAACUUGUACCUCAAGAAACUCAUUUAACUUAGGUUUAAAUAGUGGGCCUAUUCAAAUAAUCCAUUGUGAAUUAAUACAUCAAUUAAUCCACUUUAAUUUAAAUGGGUAACACAUUGAUUUGAUUUGAUUUAAUAGCCCAUAUAUCAUUGGUCUAUUUUGUCAAUCAAAACAUAAUAGACUGCUAUAAUUUAAUUUAAUGUAAUCAAGAUCAAUUUAAUUUAUUUAAUCUUGACUAAAUAAAUUUUCUUUGUCUACAGCAUGUACGUGUAAUUUUCCAAAUAAUGAUACUUUUCAAAGAGAGUUUUCAAAUAAUGAAAGUUCUAAAACAAGGCAUUCACCGAAUGCGUGAAUGUAUCUUUUUAAACAACGCAUUUAGUCAAUACGUUUUUAAGGAAAAAUGCCUAUACAAAUAAAAGAAUGAAUUCUAUAAAUGUGUCUUUUGAGGAAACAACACAUUUACUAAGUACGUUUUUUCACUCUUUGGGAAGAAGUUCAAAAAACACCACCAUUUGAAAGGUAAUUUUAGAAAAUCCCACUUUUUGAGAAUUUACUCAAGCUUGUACUUGACAAAAUGUGUUGGGAAAAUUGUGACGUCAGGUGAAUUGUAAAACUGUUGUGCCAUCGUAAUGUAUGUUUUGCACUAGAUUGAGUAAGAAUUAUAUCAAAAUAGUCGGCCACAAUAUAGGAAUGUGAAAACUUUGUGUUAAGUAAGUUGUAAUAUUUUUGUAUCAUCUAACGUAUAUUUGAAAACGAUUGAGAAUAUAAUAUAUGGAAACAACAGGUCACAAUGUUGAAAUGUCAAACCUCUUGUUUCAAACCAAAUACUUAUUAAACUCCUUCAUAUCGCUAACGAAUUUUGAUUCUGAAGUAAUAAUAGUUUUAUUUAAUUAUUUGCCUUUUUUGGAACAAUAUUAAAAUGUAGCCAUAAAUUUAAAUUCCAAAAUUGUUGAAUACUUGAGGAAUUCUAGAAAUGGCACUGAGAGUCAAAGUUCACCUUAUUCAAAAGUCACCAGCCAUCUCAGAGUGCAUGUUUCUAUUGAGUUUCAGGUUCAAUGUGUACCCACUUCCACUUUUGGCUGAUCAAUCAGGACUAAGGUUCCGUUUGAUAAAACUGAAUCUGAAUUCUGAAAUCUGAAUACUGAAACAAUUAAUUUGCUGAAUUUUAAGUUCUGAAAAGAAAUAUAUGAAUGUCUGAAUUUUAAUGUUAAAUCUAUUUCUACUGUUUGAUAAACAUUUAUAACUGAAUGCUUAAUAAGUUAAAUUUGACAAAUUUGCCCUUAAUCUUUUCAUCCAAAAAAGAAGUAGAACCUAUGAUUUAAUUAGGUAAAAAUGUUAGGUAUGAAAAUGACAAUAUUUAUUUUUAAAUCAAAUUAAUAUAAAAGAUGAAAUAUAUUAUAUGCGGAGUGGAGAAGAUGUAAAAAUCAUUCAAAAUGGAGAAAAAAGAAAUAGAAAAUCAUUAGAUAGAGAAUAUUAGAUUGUUUAAUUAGAUAAGAAUUUUGAACAUAAUUAACAAACAAUGGUAGAUUUGAUAGAUAAGAUAAGGUAAUUGAAGUAAUUCUAUUGAUUCUUAUCAGAAUUAAGUAUUCAGUUAGGAUUUUUGUGCUGAAAAAAAUACACACAAUUUCAGCACUACUUAACAAGUUCAGCAAAUAGAUUUUCAUUUAUCAAACAUUCAAAACAUCUAAAUGUCUAAAAAAAUUUAGAUUCAACACUUUUUUAUAUUAUUAAACAGACCCUAAGAGAAUAAAAUAACUUGCUUGCUGUUAGCGAUGGCAACGGGGCGGGGUUGGGGCGGGGGACCCCUCCCCCGUCCCCCGCCCCGUUGCCUAUUAGUUCCCCCUGUCCCCCGCCCCCCCCCCCGCUUCCCCCGCGGGGUUAAUAAAAUUUUAUUAUAAUUAAAUUUUAAUAAAUAAUCAAUUACUAAAAUAUCAACACAUCACCAAAUUAUUAUUCAUUGUAAUUUUACAAUUAAAACUCAUAAAAACAAUCAAACAAAAGUUAUUUGAAUACAAUCCAAUAUGAUGAAAUAAAUAUAACUAAAAUAGUUAAGUUUUCGCUUUUAGUACAAAUGCAAUCACUAAUUCAUUAUUGUGUUUGUGCUUUUCUUUUGAGAAAAAAGUGUUAUUCUAUUAAGUGUAAUUAGAAAUUUAGUAUAAAUGUAUUAGUAAAUUUAGUAUAACUAAUUAAUAAAUUUUAUUAGUAGACAUGUAUAAUUAUUCAUAUAAUUGAUAAUAUCAAUUAUAUUACAUAAACUACUAUACAUUAUAUAAUACAUCUAACUAAUAAUAUCAUUAUCAUAAGUUUAUAACUAAUUAACUUACAUAUUAUAUAUAAUUAUAUAUAUAUUUUUUUUAGGGUGGCGCGGCGGGGGAUGGGGCGGGGGUAUACUCCCCCGUCCCCCGCCCCGUUUCUAAGCGGGGGGAAAAAUUCCCCCCCCCGCCCCAACCCCCGCCCCGAGAGCCCCCCGUGGGCACCCGCCCCCAUUGCCAUCCCUACUUGCCGUUUUUAAAAAAGGAUUCAUUAUUUUUUCUUUGAGCAUUGGUAUCUCCACCCUCAAUGACACUAAUCUGGAUUCAAUAUGAGGAGUGUCCGUAGAGGCUGACUCUUACUCGAGAGUAAAGACUUGACCCAGAGCUUUUCAAGGCGUCAUCAUAUGUAGGAGUCAAACUUAUGAACUCUGUGCAUAGAUAAUUUAGCUCCAGUCUGUGGAAUGUCUUGAUGUUAGGUGAGUUGUAAUAUUUUGGUAUCAUCUAAUGAAAUUUUUAAAAGAUUGAGAAAUAAUAUAGAGCAAAACACCAAUUUAUUCCCUAAAUUAUUUUGCUAAAAUCAAAAUACUCCGUAAAUUUAUUUUGAGUCAGUUUAGUCCCCCAACUAUUUUUACAAAGCUGAAAUAGUCCUUAAACUUUAUUAUGAGCCAAUUUAGUCUCUCAACUAUUUUGUUUAAGUGAAAUAGUACCCCACCUUUAUUUAUUUGGCCAGUUUGGUCCUUGUUUGACUCAUCCACCCAAUUUAUCAACCUUGUGCACUAACAAUCAGGGGCAAAAUAAGAAAUUUAGUCAAUGCCCUUACUAAAAUGAUAGAAGAAUUAGAUAUCUGGCAAAAUUAAAAACAAAAUUGAAUCAUAUAGAGAACAAAAAAAUAUAGUGUUUCUUAUGGAGGAAAAAAAUGGAGCUGAUGCCUAAAAUCUCACAUGGAUCCAACUCAGUCCAUUGAAUGGAGAAAAGGGAAAAUAACACAACAAGAAUAUGUUAAAAGUUGGAAAAUGUGCUAUAAUUAUGAUUACUCCUUUAAGAAAUAAAGCUGAAAGAAGCUCAAUUUCUUUUUGUUUUCCAUAUUAUUCAAUUUCGUUGUCGAUUUUUCGAUAGAUGUAUGUUUUUUUUUUUGUUUUAAUAAGGGCUAUGAUUGGAUUUCCUAUUAUGCCAUUGGCUGUCGAUGCUACACUUGAUAAAUUAGAUGGAUCAUCCAAAUAAAGACAAAAUUGGCUAUGUAAACAUUAGUGAGGGACUAUUUCAGCUUAAGAAAAAUAGUUGAGGGACUAAAUUGGCUUAUAAUAAAAUUAGGGACUAUUUCAGCUUUGUAAAAAUAGUUGAGAGACUAAAUUGACUCAUAAAAUGUUUAGGGACUAUUUUGACAUUAAGGAAAUAGUUUUGGGACUAUAAACAUUAGGUCACAAUGUUGAAAUAUCAAAACCCAUGUUUUGGACCAAAACUCAUAGAACUUCUUCACGUCGCUAACGAAAUUUGAUUAUGAAGUAAUGCUAAUUUUAUUUAUUAUUUGUUUCCUUGCUGGUCUUCUGUCUUUUUGGUUAUUCCAAAAUUGUUGAAUAUUUAAACGAAUUCUAGAAAGGGCACUGAGAGUCAAAGUCUUAUUCAAACAGCCAGCUAUCUCAAAGUACAUAUUUUUUUAUUAUCAGGUUCAAUAUGUAUCUAUUGCAAUUUUUGAAUGACCAGCCAUGACUAAGAGAAUAAAAUAAUUCACUUGCUGUUUUUAGAUAUGAAUUCAUGACUGUCAGUAGUCUAUAAAUACACUUAUUGCUCACCACUCUUUGCACCGCAAAAUCUCUUCAAGAUCCAACAAACCCUCCUGUUCUUGGUCUUUGUCCAUUUGUGAAAAAACAAAUUAAAGCGUCAUGGCCCCUAUCACUUGUAGUGCUGAGAUGACCUCCCCAAUCCCUCCUGCAAGGUUGUUCAAGGCCGCCAUCCUUGAUGACCACCCUUAAUGCCACAGGCUAUUAAGAGUGUGGAAAUCCUUGAAGGAGAUGGUGGCGUUUGAACCAUUGAGUUGAGCACAUUUGGUGAAGGUUAGAUGUUAUAUUAAAUGUAGAACCCCAAAUUUAAGGAUCUAAUAAUAAUCAAUGCGUGCAGGGUUACAGAAUUGGAGGGAUAAAACAAAUACUCAAAAUAUACGUGGAAGAAAAGAAAAAUAAUAAAUUCAACUCACAAUAUUAUUGAAAUUUCAAACAAUGAAGAAAAUCAUACCACAAUGAAUUCAACUGGUUCUAAUAAUAAUCAAAGCAUACAAGGUUACAGAAUUAAAAGGAUAAAACAAACACUCAAAAUAUAUGUGGGAGAGAAGAAAAUAAUAAAUUCAACACACAAUAUUAUUGAAAUCUCAAACAAUGAAAAAAGUCACACCAUAAUAGAAAACCUUGCUAAUGCUUCUAGAUUCUUUCUCUUGAGAAACCAACCUAAAUAAUGUUCUAUUUAUAAUCUACCAAACUUGUUAGGAAAGAAACCACUUGCAUAAGAAAUUACCAAAUAAUACAGAAAUUCCUAAAUCACACAACUACUAAAAACAUAACUCAAAUAAAACUAAAAAAUAAAUAAAUAUUACUAGGCUUAGUUUAAUUUGUCAACAUUGCCUCCUUUAAACCAUACUAUCCAUUGAGAUAGGUUCAACACCAUCUCGAGCAAUAAUUUCUAUGCAAAUCUAUGUUGUAGUACACUUGACAUGAAACUCUAACUUGUUACCAGUUAUUAAUUUCAUUUUUACACGUAACAGUGGACACACUAUGUAUUGUGUAAACAACUUCUCAGCAAUUUCUUCUUGAUCAAAGAACUCACUUAUACAAACCCAUUCAUCACCAGAAUCACCAUAUUUACCACCAAUGUAAGUGCCUAAAAAUACAAAAUCAUAGAUUUCUUUCUCGCUAAAAUUAUCAUCACCAAAUAAUUCAAAAUAACCACUACUACAAUCAUCCAAAAUUUUCAUACUGUCAGUCAACUCUUUUGGAGUAAAAUAUUUUUCAACUCCGAUGACAUCCAUAUCUAUUAAAUCAAACAUUCUCCCAUCACUUUGAAGAGAGUCCGAACCAACGAAUUUUUCAACAACAAUUUCAUGUUCUCUUCUCUUAUCAAAUCAAAAUUUUUUUCUUCUUUUGUCAAAUUACCAUAUUAUUUUUUUCAACAAAUUCAUUACUUCUAAUUUCUCCAAACAAGGUACGCAAAUCAAAACUAUCAAUUGAUUCAAAAUUUUCGAUAUCACCCAUAUUAUCAACAAAUCUAUCAUUUUUAAAAUCCACAAACCAAUACCAAUAAAUAGACUUCGGUUUGAAAGCAUAAUUUCUCCCAAUCGUGUGCAAAACAUAGUAAAUAUCCUUCCAAAAUCUCUAAAGUAUUUUAAUUAGUACGACCAAUAAAGGUUUUAUAAACACUUUUUGCCAUUAUUUUACGCAUCACUUGAAAGAAUAAUUGUGCCUUUUUCUUAAAAACAUGUUUUGACAACUUACUUGCAUCAACCCAACAAAGAAUAUCAUCCAAAUUACAUUGUUUAACAUAUUUUUCCACUAUUAAAAUCCAACCAAAAUAUGUAUGUCCAUUUGUGCUUAUAGGAGUCAAUAUGAAAAAUUUUUCACCGUGAAUCAGAUCUUUAUAAUAUUCCAUUAUUUAACAAUUUGUAUACCUGGAUAAAUUUUUUUCCUCCAUCCUGUCAUGUUUUCUUGGCCUCCCUGGUUGACUAACCAAAUUAUUGUUGUAUGUAUACCCAUGCUCGUCAAACCUCAUUUGUGUACACUCGUAAGGAGUGGUUCUGAGCUUCUUGUGAAUGCUCAGUACCAAGAAGUAGAAGAGAGAAUGCAUAAGAGAGAAUUAACUUGGCUAUAGAAAUAGGAAACAAUUGAGGGAUUUUUUAAGAAAUUAAUUCUCCAGCUACCACUUUUGGAAAUUUUCUAUCAACAACUAGUUACCAAAACACUAGCACAUAAUAAGAAAUCAGGAUAAUUUCAGAAACCUCCCUUGAGGCUUUUAAUAACCUCAAGAAGCUCCCCUCAAUAUUUUAAAAUUACACGUACCUUCCCUAUUGGUGCAAAAGUACUCUACUACCCCUAAUAGGAUACUCAAAAGACUUUUUUUUAUGGGAAAAAUGAAGCUCAGAAAUCCAAGCAAAAUCAAAAAAAUCAAUUGAUUUUCUCUUUUAGCCUUUUACACUUUUGCCUUCUACCUUUGCUCACUUUCCCAUCCCAAUCUUCCUACACCCGCUUUCCCAAUCCCCUUUCCCCAACUUUUCUCCUCUACUUCAAGACCAAUUUUUGUCUAUCUAUCCUGGCUUGUGCUUUGUUCCAUUCCCUUCCCUUCUCCUUCUUUGAUUUCGCCUACAUCUCCCUUUCUCUUUGCAAAAGUGACUAGGCUCAUGUCUCUCUUUUUCCCCCCUAUUCUAAGUGUAGUGGGUUUGAUUAUUUUGCAUCUAUUUUAUUUGAUUUGGGUUGAUUAUGGGUGAUAGAACUUGGCGAUGUCAAAUAUCAAAAGUUUGAUAGAUGGAUAUUGGGCUUUAGACAAUGAUUUGCUGAAAAAAAUGGCUGCAAUGAGACAAAGAGGCAAGGGGAUUUGAGUGUGGGGUUGAUUGUUGAUAAAUUGUUGUUUUGGACAAAAUUUGAGGUUGAGUUUUAUUAAAUUUGAUAGCAAGUGGCGAGUUUUGUUCAGGUUGCGGGAAAUAAAUUAGAUUGUGGUUUCUUGGGCACCCACAGUUGUUGGAAUUGGUUUUGAUUCAAAUUAGGGUGGUUACUUGAUUUUCCUAAUAGUGUUGCUUAAAAGCACACGAUCAUCAAAAUUCCUUAUUUUUAUCUUUUGUUUUUUCUUGUAGAAAAGAUUUCACGACUUUCGUGAUAGUCUAAUUUGGAAGAAGGCAAUCAAGGGAUGCAAUCAACAUUUAGCAAAAGCUCUUGUUCUUUCCUUUGUAAUUUUUAGGGUAAAAAGGGUAGUUUAGGGUAUUUGAAGGAAAUGAUAGUCUAUUGGGUCUAUUUUCAAGCAUAAAUAGUGAACGUAAGGGAGGUUGGUGUAAUUUCUGAAACCUAAGGGAAAUUGUCUGAAAUUGUUCGAGACCUCAGAGGAGGUUUUCGAAAUUAUCCCUAAGAAAUCAAAUGCGAAACUUGAUUAGUACACGCACACACGACACCGCACCACGCCGCGCGUGUGUUGAGGAUUGGUGUCCGUAACCAACGACAAGCAGGUUUUCAAUUUUUUUUUCCUUUCCUGGAUUCUCCAGAGAUGGUGUCAGCUUCUAUUAUUGAUGAGCAGGAGGAAAUCCACAAUAUACAGUACACAUCACCCAUAUUCUUUUUAAUUGAACAAUGUAUGAAAUUAUGGUGAUUCGAAAUUAAAUUAUAUGUUUAUUGGGCACUGAAUCCAAAAUAAGAGUUGGAAAUGUAUUGUGACAACAAUUGUUAACAUAGGCCACAAAUGAUCAAAACAAAUAUUUAAGGUUUAAUAUGACAUUAUGGGUUCAGAAUAUAGUUACUUGUUAUGAAACAACUAAAAGUAUGGAUAUCCAUUUGUAUUUUCAAGAGGAUCAAUUCAUAAUUCAUUGCUCCCAAGAGGAUUAAUUCAUAAUACAUUGCUACAUUAUGUAAAGGAAUUGCAUUGGAUGAACGGUUUCAAUCCAUAAAAGCUAUUUAUGUAUUGGAUGAACCGUUUCAUAUGGCUAUUCAUGUUCUUGUAGUAAUGAGUGUUUAAUAGAAUUGAUGUACCUUUAAUUUUGUAGUACCUAUAUAUACAGGUACUUUGGCACCUCUUGGGUAUACUUUUUGAUUAGUUGGAAUAAUAAGAAAAUUAUUCUUCAUUUCUGUACUUCUUUCUCUAAUAUUUCAAUUCCUAUUAUAGUAGUUCAUUUUUUUUAGUUUUACAACACGUUAUUAGCAUGAGUCUCUACUUUUGAACAAAAAGGUGAAAACGGAGCCUCUACCUUAAAAAAAAGUGAAACACGAGAUUCUGCCAAAAUUUUGCCCGUAUUUUUCCGGCAACUUCUGUCCACUUAUUGAGAAAUGGAUGCCAAAUAUUUGGGAUUAAAUAAUGGUGAUGAUGAUAUUUGUCUCAUUGAUAGUGCUACUACGCACACUAUAUUGAAAAAUAAAAAAAAAAUUUCUUGUAUGAAAAUGGGAGAGACAAAUGUUAAUACCAUAACUGGUAGUGCAAAAUUGAUUGAACGCUCCGGAAUAGCCUCUCUAUUUCUUCAUGAAGGGACUAAAAUUGUCGUAAAUAAUGCACUACUGUCUCCCAAGUCUCGGAGAAAUUUAUUGAGUUUUAAAGAUAUCUGCGAAAAUGAAUACUAUAUAGGGAUAAUGACUGAGACAAAUGGAGAAUUUUUAUUAAUCACAAGUAUCAUUUCUGGGCAGAAAUGCGUAGUAGAAAAAUUACCUUCUUUUUCUUCUAGCUUAUAUUAUGCACAAAUUAGUGCAAUUGAAAUUUAUCACCUAGUAGACCAGAAGUCUACUCAUCCCAAUAAUUUUAUGAUUUGGCAUGAUCGUCUCGAAAAUACUGAAUCUAUAAUGAUGAGACGAAUAAUCAAGAAUUUACAUGGUCACUCAUUGAAAAAUUAAAAGAUAUUAAAAGCAAAUGAAUUCUCCUGUGUUGCUUGUUCCCACGGAAAAUUAAUUAUUAGACCAUCACCAGUUAAAGUUGGGACUGAAUUCCCUACAUUUCUAGAACGAAUUCAUAGUGAUAUAUGUGGACUCGUAGAUCCACCAUGUGGACCAUUUCGAUAUUUUAUGGUGCUAAUUGAUGCAUCAACUAGAUGGUCACAUGUAUUUUUAUUAUCUACUCGCAACUUGAUAUUUGCGAGAUUGCUUGCUCAAAUAAUUAAAUUGCGAGCACAAUUUUCAGACUAUCUAAUAAAGAAAAUUCAUUUAGAUAAUGCUGGUAAAUAUUCGUCACAUGCUUUUGACAAUUAUUGCAUAUCUAUUGGAAUAACUAUUGAACAUCUUGUAACUUAUGUUCACACACAAAAUGGUCUAGCCGAAUCAUUUAUUAAAUGGUUACAAUUAAUUGCUAGACCAUUGUUGAUGAGGUCUAAACUUCCUUCAUCUGCUUGGGAAUAUGCUAUAUUAUAUACAGCAAUACUUGUGAGAAUUAGACCGACAAGUUAUCAUACUUAUUUUCCUCUAUAAUUAACUUUUGGUUAUAAGUCAAAUAUUUCUCAUUUACGAAUAUUUGGUUGUUCGGUUUAUGUUCGAAUUGCACGGCCCCAAUGUCGUAAAUUGGGUCCACAAAGAAGAUUGGGGAUAUAUGUCGGAUAUAAAAUCACCUUUAAUUAUUAAGUAUAUGGAACCAUUGACAGGUGAUUUAUUUACUGCAAGAUUUGCAGAUUGUCAUUCUAAUGAAUCACAUUUUUCGACAUUAGGGGGAGAUAAAAAUCAAUCGAAAAAGAAAAUCACUUGAAAAAUAUCAUUCAAUUUUCUCGAUUCUCGUACCAAAGAAUGUAAACUAGAAGUUCAAAGGAUUAUACAUUUGCAAAAAAUUACAAAUCAACUACUGGACGUAUUUAAUGACUCCAGAAGAGUUAUUAAAUCACAUAUUUUUAUUGAAAAUACUCCGAUUAAAAUUAAUGUCCUUGAAGGACAAAUUACAAGUGUUAAUGAGUGUAAAGUGCGCCUGAAGCGUGGGAGACCUCUUGGUUCUAAAGAUAAAAAUUCUCGAAAGAAAAGAGAAAUUGAUGAAUCAACAAUUAGUGACAAAAUUCAACCUCCUGAAGAAGUCGCUCCUAAAGAGCCAAUUCUUGAAGAUAAUGAAAUUAUAGAAAAUUCAAUAAAUUUUGUCGCUUCAGGAAAAAGUUGGAACAAAAAAAAAUUAUUAAUAGUAUUUUUGCAUAUAAUGUAGCACUUGUUAUUAUGGUAGGUAAUGAAGAUCGUGAGCAUAGAUCGGUUGAUGAAUGUCGACGUAGAAAUGAUUGGCCAAAAUGGAAAGAUGCGAUUCAAUCUGAAUUGGACUUACUAGCUACAAGAAAAGUUUUUGGGCCUGUAGUCCAAACACCUGAAGGUGUAAAGUCAGUAGGAUAUAAAUGGGCAUUUGUGAGAAAAAGAAAUGAGAAAAAUGAAAUCGUGAGGUAUAAAGCAAGACUUGCAACCCAAGGAUUUUCACAAAGGCCUGGAUUUGAUUAUGAUUACACGUAUUCACCUGUAGUGGAUGCUAUCACAUUUAGAUAUCUUGUGAGUUUUGCAGGACAUGAAAAAUCAGAUAUGCAUCUAAUGGACGUCGUUACUGUAUAUUUAUAUGAAAAUUUUGAAAAUGAUAUUUAAACGAGAAUCCCUGAAGGAUUCAACAUGCCUGAAGCAUGCAAAUCAAAUUUUAAAGAUAUUUAUACUAUUAAAUUACAAAGGUAUUUGUAUGGGUUCAAACAAUCUGGACGUAUGUGGUACCGCCUCAAUGAAUGUUUAACUAAAGAAGGCUAUACCAAUAAUCUAAUACAUCCAUGUGUCUUUAUCAAGAAAAAUGGACUAAUUUUAUGAUAAUUGUUGUCUAUGUUGAUAAUCUUAAUCUGAUUGGAACUCUUGAAGAGAUUCAAAAUAGUGUUGAAUAUUUGAAGAAGAAGUUUGAAAUCAAAGAUUUUGGAAAAACAAAAUUCUACAUUGAUUUACAAAUUGAGUGAUAGGUUGCAAUUUUAUCAUUUAUUUUAUUAUUAAUUUUCCCUAUUACUUAACCCAAUGUGAAUUAAUUAUUAGAUUCUACUCACUUUUAGUAUUUUACAUAUAUUUCAGGGAGUAGAACGAAAAUACCAUAAUAAGUGCCGAUUUGACAGUUAUCAGGAAAGAGUUCAAGUAGCAGGCAUCCAGGGCAUUUUUGGAACAAGGAGAUACAAGUCCUUUUUGGUAAUUCGCAGAGCGCAGCAUUAAAAGGAGGAACGAAGGGCUGAAGUAGGGAGUCUUCUUCCCCCUGGGAGGAACCGCCGCACAGCAGAGGGCUGUCUGGUCCUCUUAGUUUUUCCGUUUCUUUAGUUUUAGCUUCGGAUUUUGACUUUUCUUCUCGUAGGAAUUUUGGGUAGCCUUGAGCUUAGCAACUUUUGUUGACCCUUUUUUGGCCUUUUAGCUAGUUUGUUCUUACGCAUGGAAGAUGGCUGAAUAGCUGAGGCUUGUUCUUUGUUUUUCUUUGACUUUUCCUUUUGGUUUGCUUCCUGCGGACGCCCAGACCGAAGGAAAACUAUGAAGUCCCUUUUGUAGCUUUCUCUCUUUAUUAAAUAGACGAAUUGAAUUCCCUCAACUUGCGAAUUGAUGGCCGCAGCUUUUGCUUCAAUUUCUUGUGGGUUUAGUUCAUUAAUUAUGAACUAAUUCUACAAUUCUAGUCAAGGGGACAACUGACGAUUUGGUUCGACAAUUACUGUGAGAUCGAAUCUGUUUUAAUUAUUUUCUUCAUUUAUUGGUAUUUAUAUGUUCCUUGAUUUUAAUUGCUAUGGCCUUGUGUAUGAUUGAUUAGUGCGCAAUAAUUAAUUAUUCAUAUAGGCUAUUUUGCUAAAUAGAGGUAAUUGAAUCCGUAAUUGUUCGUUAUCUCUAUCUUAGUAGCAACUGGCGUAAUUGGGUUUAUGUCAGGGGAGCAUAUGAUCUAGCUUAAACAAACCCUCGUAGCGUGUUUGUUGGUUAGGAUUGGGCCUUUCUAAUUAUUAAUGCAAUCUAGAAAUUAAAUCUUACGGUCGUACCUAGGGUUGUUUUUGGGUUAGAGAAAUAGCUAACGGUCGUACCUUAGCUAUCGAUAAAUUAAGGAAGGGUUGGUUGUUUAUCGCGUGCAUGACAACUAUAACCAAUCUAUUAAUAAAUGUUGGGAUUAUUUUUGCAUCAAUGAUCAGUGCAUGAACCAUUUCUGAAGUAUACCCUUGGCUAGAGUUUCUCUUAGUUAUUUCUUUUAAUUAAUUAUUUUCUGCAGUUAAUUUAUUUAGUUAGCAUUUAAUCCAAAACCCCCCAUACUUUGGACUCUAAAAGAAACAAUUACUCCCAGUCCCUGUGGAUUCGACCCUGCUCACCGCUAUCUACAGAAAUCACUUUUAGUUUGAGCAGGUAUUUAUUAUUGCACAGGCUUCGACGACCUGUCAAUCUUUGGCGCCGUUGCCGGGGACUGGUGCCAGAUUAAAUUGUUUCUUUUUGAGUUUAUCUUGUUUUCAUUUUUUUAAUUUAUUUUUCUCUUAUUUUUUAUUAUUAUUAUUAUUUUUUUUAUGGCUGCUAACAUUCCAUAUUUUGAUGAUAGACUGGAUUUUGUUCCUGAAUGGGGUUAUGAGACUCAUGUUUUUCCUAACGAUCAAUGGGCUGUUGCAAAUUGUGGAACUUAUUUUGACUCAAGUUAUUCAACUGACACAUGCCCCGUAUUUCAAGAUAAUUUAAGUUCUCCACUUGAUACUUUUGGAGAUUUUUCACCCCAAUAUCAAACGUGGUAUGACCCUUAUUCAAACGGGUAUGAUCAAGGAUGGUGGGAUAAUUCCAAUUUUGAUUAUGCGACCGGGCCAAUGGAUUUUCAACAGCAAGAGUCUCAGCAAUCAUCCUCCGUGUCAGGUAUGUCUCUUGAAGAAAUGAUAGGUUUACUAAUUGCUAAUUCAAAUCGAUUUCAUCAGGAGACACAAGCGAGCCUAAAUCGAUUUCAUCAGAGGACACAAGCGAGCUGUCGCGACCUGGCGGAUCAACUGCGUCAAUUGACAGCCAGGAUGCAGCGAUUAGAGGCUCACCUUGAAGAAUUGCCCUCGCAAACCAAUAUCAAUCUUGAGGAAGAUGAGAGUGCAAUUGUCCGGGCAAAUGACAUGGAACUGCAAGAGUUUCAAGAAAACGGAUUUAAAGAUGCAGUUGAAAAGGAAGCUGAAGUGCAAGAAAUGAGACUCCAAGAUCAACUCGUUCAAGUGAAUGAAUCCAGUGAACAAUCUCCAAAUGCGGUGACAUCUUCUCCACUCCUUAAUCAAUAUUUUCCUGGCUCCUAUUCUUCAACUCCUGUUACUGAAAUUGAUUUUAUUAUACCAGAAAAUUUAAAAUUUCAUGACAGGAAUAAGUUAAGAGUGGAGAUGGCAAAAUAUCUUGAACCAAUGAAUGCGUGUGAUGGAGGAGUGAGUGGAGAAUGCAGAUCAUUGUUGACUUGUUUAGCGCCAUUUACUAGUCCAUGGAAGCCCGUAACUCGUGUGCCCAAGAAUUACUCCAUCUAUGAGGGUUACCAGGAUCACGUUGAAGAUGAAGCAUUGAAGCGAGCCACAAGAUUUUAUCCUCCAUGAGCAAAACAUGAUAAUGUCUAGCCAAAGACAUUAAAGAAAGGCGCUCAUUGGGAGGCAACCCAAUUUCUUUUAGUUGUUUGUUUGAUUUUAUUUGUUAGUUUAAAUCUGUCUUCCUUGAAUUUGACUGAUUUUGGGUGUUAAUUUUCGUUUUUACUGAUUUGUAGGUGACCUUCAGUCAUGACGCGCCCGCGUGGUGACGUGCAGGAAGCUCACGAUCAGAAACUUCUGGGAGCUCUCUUACCCUCAUGACGUGCCCGCGUCAAGUCACCUGGAGAGUUCCAGAUUCCGUGCCUUCAUGGUGUGCCCACGUCACGUUCACGGGAGAGAUAAGUAUUUAAAAAAAAAAUUCAAAAACGAUUGUUGAUUGUUGGUUAUCUCUGCUUUUGAAUCUCGAAAAUAAAAUUUGCUAAUGAAAAUAAAUUUCAAAAAAAUAAAAAAAAAUUUUUUAAAAAAAAAAAUUUAAAUUUUUGUUUCACGGUAGCUUAGAUUUUCAAAUCCUAAAAAAAAAAAAAAACACAGAAACUCUUUCUUAUCAACGUAGCUUUAGUGUCAAAUAUUUUAAAAAAAAAAAAGUCUCAAAUGAAAAAAAAAAAGGGCUUUUCUUUUUCUUUCUUUUCUUUCUUUCUUCUUCUUUCUCUUUUCUGUCUUCCUUCUCCCCUGUUUCUUCUUCCUCUCUGUUGACCGAAGCCCUCUGUCCGCCGCCGCUGCUGAAGCGCCCUCAGCCGUCGCGCAGCAGCUCCUCACUCGAAGACGCCGCGGCCACAGCACCUCUGCACGCGGCCUCCACCUCUCCAUCGCGCGCCGUCAAGAGCUCCGCCGACCCACGACGCGCGAGGCACCAGCUCGCGCGCCUCCCCCACCUAGCAACUGCUGGCCGACCAGCCCCACCACCAGCCCGCGCCGCACCUGCUGGCCGACCUAUCAACUCCUAAGCUCGCGAACCUCCUCAGCUCAGCUCCACCAGCGAGCUGCUCCUCGCUCACUCCAUCGCGUGAAGACCAGGCGAGCACGGCCCGCAGCCUCUCACCGCCACUGCGCACCUCUGACCAGCUCGCAGCACCUCUCUCUGCCCUCCGUGCGCUGCCCGCGCGUGGCACCAGCGCCUCCACAGCUCGUCGACGAAGCCCAAGCUGACAGACCACGCCGCUCGUCCACUUCCACCACUCGCGACGCACAGAUCAGCGCUGCCGUUGGUUGCCCAACCUCCCUGGUGCCAGGUUUUUCUUACUAAUUUUGUGGUCUACGAUUCCAAUUUCUUGAUGAUGGGAUUUUUGAUGAUUACGAUUUCAUUGAGUAAAUUUGAUUGGCUUGCAUCUGUGUUACUGGAGCCCGUGGGUUGGGUUAUGACCUGCAACUGAUUUGCCUAGUCUAAUAUAAUUGUCAUUUGUUUGGGCUCUUGAAGUACUGUCUAGUGUUGUUUGUAUUUCUUAGUGAAUUGAGUUUGCCGUUUGAUUUCAUUCUUCCCUGUGCGUACACCAGUGGUACUGGUUGUGGUAGUUGCCUAACAUUUAUUCAUUCUCAUUGGUGUGGCUGUUGGGAUUGAAAGCUCAGAACUUGUGACUAAGUUGUUAUUGCCUAAAUGCUGACCUGCUAUUACUAGACUUGCUGAUUUCUUGGGAGCAUUUGUUGGGAUUUUGGGUGGAUAUUAGCAAGUGGUAUAUUGCUUGAUUUUUUUUACCUGUGCCUUGCUUGGAGUUUCUAGUGCAUGUUUGGGGCUGCCUUGGGAGUUAUUUGCCACAAUUGAUUGCCGUUUUGGUUUCUUCUGUUUCUGGUACUGCUUGUGCUGAUGGAUUUAUCAGUGUUUUGGGCGGCUUAUUUGAAUUGCUUCUUCCCUGUGUGUUUGGUCAGCUGUUUGCUUGAAAACCCAAACCCUUGUGCUUAUAUUUGCUCCCAGUUGAGUUAUGUGUUGGACUUUCCAAUUGGUGACAACUUUUGGGCUUUAGGGGUGAGUUCAUUUUGUCAUUAUUUGCUACCUUGUUGGGGUCAUUUUUGGUUUCACCUGAGUCUAUUGUCCUGCCUUCUGUUUUGAGUCCAUUGGAGUGACGUGAGUUGAGUAAUUUCUGCUUUUGUUUGUUGAUUUGGAAGGCUACUGUGCCACUUUCAUUGCUUAUUGCUUAGUGAUUAUGUCUAAUUAACAAUGUGCAUAGCAUGGCGCAGAAUUUGGCAGCAUUCAUGUAGCAUGCCGGUCUUAUACCUCAAUUGGGUACCUCUAUUUGGUUGGCUGCGUUCUUAUUGUCCAAUAUCUAUGCUGUUUUCAAUGGAAUUGCUGAUCUUGGGUUAAGACUUUAGCUGGCCAACUGGAGCCAUUUGUUGAGAUUUUGGGUGAACUGCAAUACUGCACUCGUUUGUUCAAUUGGGAGGUUUCUUUUGGUAUUCUGGUUGAGUUAUUUCUAAAGUUGCCUGAUGAAUUGAGAGACAUAGAUGGCUAUUGCUCUGCCCUGAUAUUGCUUGGUUGCCAGUGCGCAUUCUCUAUGCCAAGUGGCAAGGAUGUCUCAGAACUCGGCUUCCCUCCACUGUUCCCUCCUAUCCCUUAGCUGUUCAGCAGGGAAGUCUCGUUAUCCUCUUCGCUUUAAUUAUUUUAUUACCUCCAUUGAGGACAAUGUAGGAUUUAGGUGUGGGGGGAGCAGUUAUGGUGCUAGUGUCUUUCGUUCAUUUUCUUUUUCUUCUUUUUAGUGAUUGGCUCGUAAGUGCAUGCCAAGGUUUGAUGUUGGAUUAUUGCCUCUAUUUCUACUUUUGCCAAGUUUUAAUAAUAAAAGGGUAUCAAGUUAAUGUGGUUGAAUCCAAAAACAUCUCUUUGGUGAAUAUCAAUAAUUGUUUUACUCUUAUAAUUUUUUGGUUAACUUUCCUAGGCAUAGGGAAUGAUUAUUGGCAUUUUUAGUGAAUUGGUCCGGUUAUUAACCUUAGUUCUCCAUGUUUGAAAAUGAGGCUAGCUGAUGCAAGUUUUCUUUUGGUUCUUGUGUUAUAUUGAGUUUUUGUGAUUUUUAGCUCUGAAUAAACUUGACUGUACUCCGCUAUUAGUUACUACUGAGUAACCGGGGAUCUGCACCUAAAAGUGUUGAUUCUCGCGUCAAAAGAUAGUAGUUCCUAUGAGUACGUGGUCACGUGGCGAUAGAAGCUGAGUAACCGGGCUCCUUCAUCUGGCCAAUGUUGGAAUUCGCGUCAAAAGGCUCUAAUGGCUAGCGACUAAGUCUUUUGUUACUAUUGAAAAAAAACGAGAAAGAAGAAGAAGAAAAAAAAAAGAAAAAAAAGAGAAAAGUAGAAAAAUGUGAAAGAAAAAGUGAAUGCUGUGUUAGUGUAUAAUAAAAGUCAGCUUGCCGAUUUAUGGAUUUAAUGUUGAGAUUUUGGUUAAUAGUUGGACCAUUUGCUGAUAACUGUUAUGCGUCAUUCCUUUUUCUUAGAUUGGUUAACAUGAAAUUAGAGGAAUUUAUGGUUUAGAAGCUAACCGGAGUGAUGUUUCUUGGACUAGACCAUUGAUGCUUGAUUAUUAUAUUUUCUUGGUAUCUUGGCAAUAUGGUAGAUGGAGUAAUAGCCAUUGGCAAGUGUUGGUGUUUAUUUGCUGUUCUCAUGCUUGAGGACAAGCAUGGUUUAGGUGUGGGGGGAAUUGAUAGGUUGCAAUUUUAUCAUUUAUUUUAUUAUUAAUUUUCCCUAUUACUUAACCCAAUGUGAAUUAAUUAUUAGAUUCUACUCACUUUUAGUAUUUUACAUAUAUUUCAGGGAGUAGAACGAAAAUACCAUAAUAAGUGUCCGAUUUGACAGUUAUCAGGAAAGAGUUCAAGUAGCAGGCAUCCAGGGCAUUUUUGGAACAAGGAGAUACAAGUCCUUUUUGGUAAUUCGCAGAGCAGCAGCAUUAAAAGGAGGAACGAAGGGCUGAAGUAGGGUCUUCUUCCGCCUGGGAGGAACCGCCGCACAGCAGAGGGCUGUCUGGUCCUCUUAGUUUUUCCGUUUCUUUAGUUUUAGCUUAGGAUUUUGACUUUUCUUCUCGUAGGAAUUUUGGGUAGCCUUUAGCUUAGCAACUUUUGUUGACCCUUUUUUGGCCUUUUAGCUAGUUUGUUCUUACGCAUGGAAGAUGGCUGAAUAGCUGAGGCUUGUUCUUUGUUUUUCUUUGACUUUUCCUUUUGGUUUGCUUCCUGCGGACGCCCAGACCGAAGGAAAACUAUGAAGUCCCUUUUGUAGCUUUCUCUCUUUAUUAAAUAGACGAAUUGAAUUCCUUCAACUUGCGAAUUGAUGGCCGCAGCUUUUGCUUCAAUUUCUUGUGGGUUUAGUUCAUUAAUUAUGAACUAAUUCUACAAUUCUAGUCAAGGGGACAACUGACGAUUUGGUUCGACAAUUACUGUGAGAUCGAAUCUGUUUUAAUUAUUUUCUUCAUUUAUUGGUAUUUAUAUGUUCCUUGAUUUUAAUUGCUAUGGCCUUGUGUAUGAUUGAUUAGUGCGCAAUAAUUAAUUAUUCAUAUAGGCUAUUUUUUGCUAAAUAGGGGUAAUUGAACCCGUAAUUGUUCGUUAUCUCUACCUCAGUAGCAACUGGCGUAAUUGGGUUUAUGUCAGGGGAGCAUAUGAUCUAGCUUAAACAAACCCUCGUAGCGUGUUUGUUGGUUAGGAUUGGGCCUUUCUAAUUAUUAAUGCAAUCUAGAAAUUAAAUCUUACGGUCGUACCUAGGGUUGUUUUUGGGUUAGAGAAAUAGCUAACGGUCGUACCUUAGCUAUCGAUAAAUUAAGGAAGGGUUGGUUGUUUAUCGCGUGCAGGACAACUAUAACCAAUCUAUUAAUAAAUGUUGGGAUUAUUUUUGCAUCAAUGAUCAGUGCAUGAACCAUUUCUGAAGUAUACCCUUGGCUAGAGUUUCUCUUAGUUAUUUCUUUUAAUUAAUUAUUUUCUGCAGUUAAUUUAUUUAGUUAGCAUUUAAUCCAAAACCCCCCAUACUUUGGACUCUAAAAGAAACAAUUACUCCCAGUCCCUGUGGAUUCGACCCUGCUCACCGCUAUCUACAGAAUUAAUUUUAGUUUGAGCAGGUUUUAUUAUUGUACAGGCUUCGACAACCUGUCAUUGAGCAUUUGAAAAGUGAAAUUUUUGUCCACCAAACUGCUUAUACCCGGAAGGUAUUAAAGUAGUUUUAUAUGGAUAAGGCAUAUACAUUAAGUACCCCAAUGGUCAGAUCAUUAGAUCCUAAUAAGGACCCUUUUAGACCGCGAGAGGAAGUUGAAGAGAUACUUGGUCCUAAAGUACCAUAUCUCAGUGCAAUUAGUGCACUAAUGUAUCUUGCUAAUUGUACAAGACCUGAUAUAUCAUUUGCAAUAAAUUUAUUAGCAAGAUUUAGUUCUCGCUCACAAGACGACAUUGGAAUAGUAUUAAACAUAUUUUUUGUUAUCUCCAAGGAUCAAUUGAUCUUGGCUUAUUUUAUUCAAAUAAAUCUAAACUUGAAUUGUUUGGUUAUGUUGAUGCUGGAUAUUUAUUUGGCCCACAUAAAGUAAGAUCUCAGACUGGUUAUCUAUUUACAUAUGGAGGUACAACCAUUUCUUGGCGAUCUACAAAGCAAUCAUUAGCUGCCAUUUCAUCGAAUCAUGCUGAAAUAAUAGCAAUUCAUGAAAUUAGUUGAGAAUGUGUUUGGUUAAAAUCAAUGACCCACUAUAUCCGGAAAAGUUGUGGGUUAUCCUCCGAAAAAGAAAAUCCUUCAACUAUAUUAUAUAAAGAUAAUGCAGCUUGUAUAACUCAAUUGAAAGGAUGAUAUAUUAAAAGAGAUAGAACGAAAUAUAUUUCACCAAAAUUCUUUUUUACUCAUGAUUUACAAAAGAAUGGUGAAAUUGAUGUGCAACAAAUCUGAUCAGAUAAUAAUUUGACAGAUUUAUUUACCAAUGCAUUGCCAACUGCAAUAUUUAAGAAAUUGGUGAAGAAUAUUGGAAUGCGACGACUAUAAGAUCUCAAAUGAUAUUUGCAUCCGGGGGAACAAUCAAUACACAAGAAUAGUGUACUCUUUUUCCUUCAUUAAGGUUUUUAUCCCGUUGGAUUUUUUCCUAGUAAGGUUUUAAUGAGACACAUUCUUUGUGUAAUGGACAUCCAAUGGGGAGUGUUAUGAAACAACUAAAAAUGUGGAUGCCCAUUUGUAUUCUCAAGAAGAUCAAUUCAUAAUUCAUUGCUUCCAAAAGGAUUAAUUCAUAAUUCAUUGCUACAUUAUAUAAAGGAAUUACAUUGGAUGAACGGUUUCAAUCCAUAAGAGCUAUUCAUGUAUUGGAUGAACCAUUUCAUAUGGUUAUUUAUGUUCUUGUAGUAAUGAGUGUUUAAUAGAAUUGAUGUACCUUUAAUUUUGUAGUACCUAUAUAUAGAGGUACCUUGGCACCUCUUGGAUGUACUUUUUGAUUAGUUGGAAUAAUAAAAAAAUCAUUCUCCAUUUCUGUACUUUUUUUUCUAAUAUUUUAAUUCCUAUUAUAGUAGUUCAUUUUUUUUUUAGUUUUACAACAUUACUCAAAGAAGAGGGUUAUUGGACUAUAUGUUUAUUGACCUCUACUAGGGAUGACAAUGGGGGCGGGUGACGGCAAUGGGGGCGGGUGACCGCGGGCACCCGUCCCGCGGGGGGCUAAUGGGGAGAGGGAUGGGGCCGGGGCGGGGGGUAGGGGAGUGUACCCCCGCCCCAUCCCCCGUCCCGCUACCCGCUUUAAAAAAAUAAAUAUAUAAAAUAUAUAUAGGUAUAUAAUUAUAUAUAUAAUAUAUAAUUUAAUUGGUUACAAACUUAUGAUAAUAAUAUUAUUAGUUAUAUGUAUUAUAUGAUGUCUAUUAGUAUAAAUAAUAUAAUUGAUAUUAUUAAUUAUACUAAUAAUUAUAUAUGUGUACUCAUACAAAUUAUUAAUUGGUUAUACUAAAUUUACUAAUACAUUUAUACUAAAUCCCUAAUUACACUUAAUACAAUAACAUUAUUUUCAUAAAAAAAACACAACCACAAUAAUGAAUUAGUGAUUGUAUUUGUACCAAAAGUGAAAAUUUGAUUACUUUAGUUAUAUUUUUUUCAUCAUGUUGGAUUGUAUUCAAAUAAUUUUUGUUUGAUUGUUUUUAUAAGUUUCAAUUGUAAAAUUGCAAUGAAUAAUAAUUUGAUGAUGUGUUGAUAUUUUAGUACUUGAUUAUUUGCUAAAAUUUAAUCAUAAUAAAAUUAUAUAACAAAUUUUUAUUAGCUCAGCGGGAGCACCCGCCGGAGAAGCGGGGCAGGGUGGGGACGGGGCGAGGGAAGCGGGGGAUGGGGGAGGGGUCCCCCGCCCCAACCCUCUUCCCCAUCUCCCGCCCCGUUGCCAUCCCUAACCUCUACUAACUUAUUUAAGGUCAUUUUAUAUCACUAUCCAAAGAAGAAUUAAGGUCAUUUUAUAUCACUAUCCAAAGAACAAUUCUUGGGCGUUAACAUUUUUCUUACAUGCCAAGACUAUUAAUGAAAGUUGACCCAAAUCUCUCUCUCUCUUUCUCUCAAUUCUUAGGACUGAUGCCAAUUCUUACCAUUUAGAAAGAAAAAUUAGAUUGUUUAUAUAUAUGAUGAGUUCCCUCUAAGUCAUGGUUAAGAAAAAUUCUUAGUUAGACGCAGUUUUAUGAAAUGUGAAUUUCCUUUUCUUUGUCUUUAUUCGUUAGUAUUAUUGGGGUUAUUGUAUUAUGAUUGCAAUGCACAGAUACAUGGAUUUUUGACAUUUUUUUCUCAUUUUUUCUUUUUAAUUGACUCUGACUAUGUCUCAAACUCGAGACAUCAAACCUGGAGAAGACUUUUGUCCAAAAUGCUUGUAAAAAUUCAGAAGAAUAAUGUUGGACCUUAUUAUUUAAUAAUGGUGCAAUUAUGAGAGUCAUUCCUGGUUUAAUUAUCAACAUCAUGUCAUUAUUAUUUUUUUGUUUCAUAGAAAAAUAAAGUAUUCUCCGACUCGACAUUAUCAUAUUAUUUUCAAUUGGCAGCUUUAAGUGAGAAAGGCCGGUGAAAAUUUUGGGCAUUACUAGUUUAUUUAGGCCUCACGCGCUCCGUGAAGGUGCCGACGUCAUCUUCGUUUUAAUGGAAAAAUUUGAGCGCGCUUUGAUCAUAAGGAAUUCACAAUCAUCGGGCCAACAAAGAAAGCACUAAAUGGUUAAAACAAACCAUGCAAAUUUGCUCAGCACUUAAACAAUAGACUCCUAAACCGACCAUUUUACUGUCUUGCCAAAAAAGGGCAUUAAAGUAAAAACAACCCAUGCCUAACACAACUAACAAACUUCAGCACCUUCACUUCACUGCCACGUCAUCAACAACAUCUGUAAAUUUCCAAGGAAGUCCACGCACUAAAGGUGCCAUGGGGGACCUCAGGUUAGUGUUCUUAACAUCAACUCCUGUCUUUAUAUUCUUAGGAAAUAUUGAAAUUAAACAUUAUAACUAAUCCUGAUUUCCUUAUGCUGUAUUUGUACACAAUUUGGCAACUUGAUAAAAAGUUUGUUCCAAUUUAUUCCAAUUUAAUUUGUCAGCUAGUCGAAUCUAAUUUGAAUAGUAUUUAACUUUGAAAUUUGAUAAAAAGUUUGUUCAAACUUGGUUUACUAAAUAAACAAGUUAAGUUUGAACAAAAUUUCAAACUUAUUAAAAUAAUUAAAUACGUUUGAAUACUAGGGUAUUCAAUUUAAUUAGACUCGUUUGCACCCAUAAUUAAAGCAUGCACUUUUUUAUAAAUUUAGGAAUCAACAUUAUCUAUUUGAUAGCUAGCUAAUGGCCCAAAAAGUUAAUUGCCUUAAAUUCUUUUAGCAGCCAUAAAGUAUAGUUGGAGGGAUUCCCUUGAAAUUGAUUAGAUUCUUCUAUGUGACUGUGACGUAUUACUAGUCCUACCCAAAAAAAAAUGGUAUUACUAGUCCUUUUUUCUUUUUGUGGCGUGCCACCGCCGUAGGGGGCGGGGAGGGCAGUCAGUGCGAGAAUUCUAGAUGGGGUAGAAGUAGCCAAAGUUCACCUUAUUCAAAGUAAACAACCGACAAUCUCAGUUGUCGACUUUCCUGUCGAUUGCGUAUAUAUUACUAUCUUUUACCAUGACUUUAGAGGAUACCUAAUUUUGCUUGCUAUUAAAUAAUAAUUCCUGGCACCACAUAAUUCUUUCAAGAACUACCAAAACCUUCUUGAAAUCCCUCUUUUUCCUUUUAGUUCAUUUCCAAGAAACAAAUUGAACCAUCAUGGCCCCUGUCACUUCCAGUUAUGAGGUCACCUCCUCAAUCCCUCCUGCAAGGUUGUUCAAGGCCACCAUCCUUGAAGAGAAGCAUCUUCACAAGAUCUUGCCACAGGGCGUUAAGAGUGUCGAAAUCCUUGAAGGAGAUGGUGGAGUUGGCACAAUUAAGUUGACCACAUUUGUUGAAGGUAAGAUAUCAAUACAAAGUGAUUAUUUUCACACAUUUGAAGUCCUCAAAAUGUUCUUUUUUUUUUUUAACAUUUUAUUUGUGGGGGUAAGUAUGUAUGUAAGCCCUAAUAACCUUUUUUUUUUUGUUGGGUUAAAUAUUUAGGUGGCGAGCUUAAGACUGCCAAACAGAGAGUUGAUGGAAUUGACAAAGAAAAAUUUACAUACAGUUAUACUGUACUUGAAGCUGAUGGAUUUAACGAUGUAAUCGAGAAAAUCUGUUGUGUCAUCAAAUUUGAACCCUCUGCUGAUGGAGGUUCAAUCUGCAAAACCACUAAUACAUACUACCCCAAAGGUGGUGCUCAGAUCAGUGAGGAACACCUCAAGGGAGGAAAAGAGAAGGGUUUGGGAAUGGUUAAGGCUGUUGAGGCUUACCUCCACGCAAAUCCUACUGCCUACAACUAAUUAAAAUGAAUGCUACUGAAGGACUCUUCGACAUAUUUUCUUCAAGAUUGAAGUAUAAACUGAGGGUGUCUGUUUCCUUUUUUGCUUGGUUUGCUUAAGCUGUUUGGUUAAGUUAUUCGCAGCAAGAGAAUAAAAUAAUUCACUUGCUGUUUUUAGAUAUGAAUUCAUGACUGUCAGUAGUCUAUAAAUACACUUAUUGCUCACCGCUCUUUGCACCGCAAAAUCUUUUCAAGAUCCAUCAAACCCUCCUGUUCUUGAUCUUUCUCCAUUUGUGAAAAAACAAAUUAAAGCAUCAUGGCCCCGAUCACUUGUAGUGCUGAGAUGACCUCCCCAAUGCCUCCUGCAAGGUUGUUCGAGGCCGCCAUCCUUGAUGACCACCUUCUUCCCAAGAUCAUGCCACAGGCUAUUAAGAGUGUGGAAAUCCUUGAAGGAGAUGGUGGAGUUUGAACCAUUAAUUUGAGCACAUUUGGUGAAGGUUAGAUGUUAUAUUAAAUGUAGAACCCCAAAUUUAAGGAUCGAAUAAUAAUCAACGCAUGUGGGGUUAUAGAAUUGAAGGGAUAAAACAAAUACUCAAAAUAUACGUGAAAGAAAAGAAAAUAAUAAAUUCAACUUACAAUAUUAUUAAAUUUUCAAACAAUGGAAAAAAUCAUACCACAAUAAAUUCAGCUGGUUCUAAUAAUAAUCAAAGCAUACAAGGUUACAGAAUUAAAAGGAUAAAACAAACGCUCAAAAUAUAUGUGGGAGAGAAGAAAAUAAUCAAUUCAACACACAAUAUUAUUGAAAUCUCAAACAAUGAAAAAAGUCACACCAUAAUAGAAAACCUUGCUUAUUCUUCUAGAUUCUUUCUCUUGAGAGACCAACCUAAAUAAUGUCCUAUUUAUAAUCUACCAAACUUGUUAAGAAAGAAACCACUUGCAUAAGAAAUUACGAAAUAAAUUAGAAAUUCCUAAAUCACACAACUACUAAAAACAUAACUCAAAUAAAACUAAAAAAUAAAUAAAUAUUUCUAGGCUUAGUUUAAUUUGUCAACAUUGCCUCCCUUAAACCAAAUUAUUCAUUGAGAUAGGUUCAACACCAUCUCGAGCAAUAAUUUCUAUGCAAAUCUAUGUUGUAGUACAUUUGACAUGAAACUCUAACUUGUUACCAGUUAUUAAUUUCAUUUUUACACGUAACAAUGGACGCACUAUAUAUUUUGUAAAAAAUUUCUCAGCAAUUUCUUCUUGAUCAAAGUACUCAUUUAUACAAACCCAUUCGUCACCAGAAUCACCAUAUUUACCACCAAUGUAAGUGCCUAAAAUUAAAAAAUCAUAGGUUGCUUUCUCGCUAAAGUUAUCAUCACCAAAUAAUUCAAAAUAACCACUACUACAAUUAUCCAAAAUUUUCAUACUGUCAGUCAACUCUUUUGGAGUAAAAUAUUUUUCAACUCCGAUGACAUCCAUAUCUAUCAAAUCAAACAUUCUCCCAUCACUUUGAAGAGAGUCCGAACCAACAAAUUUUUCAACAACAAUUUCAUGUUCUCUUCUUUUAUCAAAUCAAAAUUUUCUUCUUCUUUUGUCAAAUUACCAUAUUAUUUUUUUCAACAAAUUCAUUACUUCUAAUUUCUCCAAACAAGGUAUGCAAAUCAAAACUAUCAAUUGAUUCAAAAUUUUCGAUAUCACCCAUAUUAUGAACAAAUCUAUCAUUUUUAAAAUCCACAAACCAAUACCAACAACUAGACUUCAGUUUGAAAGCAUAAUUUCUCUCAAUCAUGUGCAAAACAUAGUAAAUAUCCUUCCAAAAUCUCUAAAGUAUUUUAGUAUGACCAAUAAAGGUUCUAUAAAUACUUUCUGCCAUUAUUUUACGCAUCACUUGAAAGAAUAAUUGUGCCUUUUUCUUAAAAACAUGUUUUGACAACUUACUUGCAUCAACCCAACAAAGAAUAUCAUCCAAAUUGCAUUGCUUGACAUAUUUUUCCACUGUUAAAAUCCAAUUAAAAUAUGUAUGUCUAUUUGUGCUUAUAGGAGUCAAUAUGAAAAAUUUUUCACCGUCAAUUAGAUCUUUAUAAUAUUCCAUUAUUUAACAAUUUCUAUACCUGAAUAAAUUUUUUUCCUCCAUCCUGUCAUGUUUUCUUGGCCUCCCUGGUUGACUAACCAAAUUAUUGUUGUAUGUAUACCCAUGCUCGUCAAACCUCAUUCGUGUACACUCGUAAGGAGUGGUUCUGAGCUUAUUGUGAAUGCUUAGUACCAAGAAGUAGAAGAGAGAAUGCAUAAGAGAGAAUUAACUUGGCUAAAGAAUUAGGAAACAAUUGAGGGAUUUUUUAAGAAAUUAAUUCUCCAACCGCCACUUUUGGAUCUUUUCUAUCUACAACUAGUUACCAAAACACUAGCACAUAGUAAGAAAUCGGGAUAAUUUCAGAAACCUCCCUUGAGGCUUUUAAUAAUCUCAAGAAGCUCCCCUCAAUAUUUUAAAAUUACACGUACCUUCCCUAUUGGAGCAAAAGUACUCUACUACCCCUAAUAGGAUACUCAAAAGACUUUUUUUAUGGGAAAAAAGAACCUCAGAAAUCCAAGCGAAAGCAAAAAAAUCAAUUUAUUUUCUCUUUUAGCCUUUAACGCUUUUGCCUUCUACCUUUGCUCACUUUCCCAUGCCAAUCUUCCUAUAACCACUUUCCCAAUCCCCUUUCCCCAACUUUUCUCCUCUACUUCAAGACUAAUUUUUGUCCAUCAAUCCUGGCUUGUGCUUUGUUCCAUUCCCUUCCCUUCUCCUUCUUUGAUUUCCCCUACAUCGCCCUUUCUCUUUGCAAAAGUGACUAGGCUCAUCUCUCUCUUUUUUCCCCUUAUUCUAAGUGUAGUGGGUUUGAUUAUUUUGCAUCUAUUUUAUUUGGUUUUGGUUGAUUAUGGGUGAUAAAACUUGGUGAUGUCAAAUAUCAAAAGUUUGAUAGAUGGAUAUUGGGCUUUAGACAAUGAUUUGCUAGAAAAAAAUGGCUGCAAUGAGAGGAAAAGGCAAGGGGAUUUGAAUGUGGGGUUGAUUGUUGAUGAAUUGUUGUUUUGGACAAAAUUUGAGGUUGAGUUUUGUCAAAUUUGGUAGCAAGUGGCGAGAUUUGUUCAGGUUUCGGGAAAUAAAUUGGAUUGUGGUUUCUUGGGCACCCACAGUUGUUGGAAUUGGUUUUGAUUCAAAUAAAGGUGGUUACUUGAUUUUCCUAAUAGUGUUGCUUAAGAGCACACGAUCAUCAAAAUUCCUUAUUUUUAUCUUUUUUUUUUUGUAGAAAAGAUUUCAUGACUUUCGUGAUAGUCUAAUUUGGAAGAAGGCAAUCAAGGGAUGCAAUCAACAUUUAGCAAAAGCUCUUGUUCUUUUCUUUCUAUUUUUUAGGGUAAAAAGGGUAGUUUAGGGUAUUUGAAGGAAAUGAUAGUCUAUUGGGUCUAUUUUGAAGCAUAAAUAGUGAACGUAAGGGAGGUUGGUGUAAUUUCUGAAACCUAAGGGGAAUUGUCUAAAUUGUCCGAGACCUCAGAGAAGGUUUUCGAAAUUAUCCCUAAGAAAUCAAAUGCGAAACUUGAUUAGUACACACACACACGACACUGCACCACGGCACGCGUGUGUUGAGAACUGAUGUCCGUAACCAACGACAAGCAGGUUUUCAAUUUUUUUUUCCUUUCCUGGAUUCUCCAGAGAUGGUGUCAGCUUCUAUUAUUGAUGAGCAGGAGGAAAUCCACAAUAUACAGUACACAUCACCCAUAUUCUUUUUAAUUGAACAAUGUAUGAAAUUAUGGUGAUUCGAAAUUAAAUUAUAUGUUUAUUGGGCAACGAAUCCAAAAUAAGAAUUGGAAAUGUAUUGUGGCAACAAUUGUUAACUUAGGCUACAAAUGAUCAAAAUAAAUAUUUAAGAUUUAAUAUGACAUUAUGGGUUCAAAAUAUAGUUACUUGUUAUGAAACAACUAAAAGUGUGGAUGUCCAUUUGUAUUCUCAAGAGGAUCAAUUCAUAAUUCAUUGCUCCCAAGAGGAUUAAUUCAUAAUUCAUUGCUACAUUAUGUGAAGGAAUUACAUUAGAUGAACGGUUUCAAUCCAUAAGAGCUAUUCAUGUAUUGGAUGAACCGUUUCACAUGGCUAUUCAUGUUCUUGUAGUAAUAAGUAUUUAAUAGAAUUGAUGUAUGUUUAAUUUUGUAGUACCUAUAUAUAGAGGUACCUUGGCACCUCUUGGCUGUCCUUUUUGAUUAAUUUGAAUAAUAAGAAAAUCAUUCUCUAUUUCUAUACUUCUUUCUCUAAUAUUUCAAUUCUUAUUAUAGUAGUUCAUUAUUUUUUUAGUUUUACAACACGUUAUCAGCACGAGUCUCUAUUUUUGAAUAAAAAACUGAAAAUGGAGCCUAUACCUUAAAAAAAGCAAAAAAUGUGAUUCUGCUGAAAUUCUGCAUGUAUUUUUCCGGCAACUUCUAUCUACUUAUUGAGAAAUGGAUGCCAAAUAUUUGGGAUUAAAUAAUGGUGAUGAUGACAUUUGUCUCAUUGAUUGUACUACUACGCACACUAUAUUGAAAAAAAAAAUUCUUGUAUGAAAAUGGGAGAGACAAAUGUUAAUACCAUAAGUGGUAGUGCAAAAUUGAUUGAAAGUUCUGGAAGAGCCACUCUAUUUCUUCCUGAAAGGACUAAAAUUGUCGUAAAUAAUGCACUACUAUCUCUCAAGUCUUGAAGAAAUUUAUUCAGUUUUAAAGAUAUCUGCGAAAAAUGGAUAUCAUAUCGGGACAAUAAAUGAGACAAAUGGAGAAUUUUUAUUAAUCACAAAUAUCAUUUCUGAGCAGAAAUACGUAGUAGAAAAAUUACCUUCUUUUUCUUCUGGCUUAUAUUAUGCACAAAUUAGUGCAAUUGAAAUUUAUCACCUAGGAGACCAGAAUUCUACUCAUCCCAAUAAUUUUAUGAUUUGGUAUGAUUGUCUCGAAAAUCCUAGAUAUAUAAUGAUGAGGCAAAUAAUUGAGAAUUCACAUGGUCACUCAUUGAAAAAUCAAAAGAUAUUAAAAGCAAAUAAAUUCUCUUGUGUUGCUUGUUCCCACGGAAAAUUAAUUAUUAGACCAUCACCAGUAAAAGUUGGGACUGAAUCCUCUACAUUUCUAGAACGAAUUCAUGAUGAUAUAUGUGGACUUGUAGAUCCACCAUGUGGACCAUUUCGAUAUUUUAUGGUGCUAAUUAAUGCAUUAACUAGAUGAUCACAUGUAUGUUUAUUAUCUACUCGCAACUUGGCGUUUGCGAGAUUGUUUGCUCAAAUAAUUAAAUUGCGAGCACAAUUUUCAAACUAUCCAAUAAAGAAAAUUCAUCUAGAUAAUGCUGGUGAAUAUUCGUCACAUGCUUUUGACGAUUAUUGCAUGUCCAUUGGAAUAACUGUUGAACAUCCUGUAACUUAUGUUCACAUUCAAAAUGGUUUAGCCGAAUCAUUUAUUAAAUGGCUAUAAUUAAUUACUAGACCAUUGUUGAUGAGAUCUAAACUUCCUUCAUUUGCUUGGGAACAUGCUAUAUUACAUGUAGCAAUACUUGUGAGAAUUAGAUCGACAAGUUAUCAUACUUAUUUUCCCCUAUAAUUAACUUUUGUUUUUGAGUCCAAUAUUUCUCAUUUACGAAUAUUUGGUUGUUCGAUUUAUGUUCUAAUUAUACCGUCCCAACAUCGUAAAUUAGACCCGCAAAGAAGAUUGGGGAUAUAUGUUGAGUAUGAAUCACCUUUAAUUAUUAAGUAUAUGGAACCAUUGACAGGUGAUUUAUUUACUGCGAGAUUUGCAGAUUGUCAUUUUGAUGAAUCACAUUUUUCGACAUUAGGGGGAGAUAAAAAUCAACCGAAAAAGAAAAUCACUUGAAAAAUAUCUUUGAAUUUCCUCGAUUCUCAUACCAAAGAAUGUGAACUAGAAGUUCAAAAGAUUAUACAUUUGCAAAAAAUUACAAAUCAAUUACCGGACGCAUUUAAUGACUCCAGAAAAGUUACUAAAUCACAUAUUCCUAUUGCAAAUGCUCCGAUUAAAUUAAUGUCUUUGAAGGACAAAUUACAAAUGUUAACGAGUCUAAAGCGUACCUAAAGCGUGGAAGACCUCUUGGUUCCAAAGAUAAAAAUUCUCGAAAGAAAAGAGGAGUAGAUGAAUCAACAAUUAGUGACAAAAUUCAACUUCCUGAAGAGGUCGCUCCUAAAGAGCCAAUUCUUGAAGAGAAUGAAAUUAUAGAAAAUUCAUUAAAUUUUGUCAUUUCAGGAAAAAGUUAGAAUCGAAAAGAAAUAAUUAUUGAUAGUAUUUUUGCAUAUAAUAUACCACUUGAUAUUAUGGUAGAGAAUAAGGAUCACGAGCCUAGAUAGGUUGAUGAAUGUCGACGUAGAAAUAAUUGGGCAAAAUGGAAAGAUGUGAUCCAAUCUGAAUUGAACUCACUGGUUAAAAGAAAAGUUUUUGGACCUGUAGUCCAAACACCUGAAGGUGUAAAGCCAGUAGGAUAUAAAUGGAUAUUUGUGAAAAAAAAAAUGAGAAAAAUGAAAUCGUGAGGUAUAAAGCAAGACUUCUAGCCCAAGAAUUUUCACAAAGGCUUGGAUUUGAUUAUGAUUACACGUAUUCACCUGUAGUGGAUGCUAUCACAUUUAGAUAUCUUGUGAGUUUUGCAGUACAUGAAAAAUCAGAUAUGCAUCUAAUGGACGUCGUUACUGCAUAUUUAUAUGAAAAUCUUGAUAAUGAUAUUUAUAUGAGAAUCCCCGAAGGAUUCAACAUGCCUGAAGCAUACAAAUCAAAUCCUAAAGAUAUUUAUUCUAUUAAAUUACAAAGAUUUUUGUAUGGGCUUAAACAAUCUGGACGUAUGUGGUACUGCCUCAAUGAAUGUUUAACUAAAGAAGGCCAUACCAAUGAUCCAAUAUAUCCAUGUGUCUUUAUCAAGAAAAAUGGAUCAAAUUUUGUGAUAAUUGUUAUAUAUGUUGAUGAUUUAAAUCUGAUUGAAACUCUUGAAGAGAUUAGUGUUGAAUAUUUGAAGAAGAAAUUUGAGAUCAAAGAUUUUGGAAAAACAAAAUUCUGCCUUAGUUUACAAAUUAAGCAUUUGAAAAGUGAAAUUUUUGUCCACUAAACUGCUUAUACCCCGGAAGGUAUUAUAGCAGUUUUAUAUGGAUAAGGCACAUACAUUAAGUACCCCAAUGGUCAGAUCAUUAGAUCCUAAUAAGGAUCCUUUUAGACUGCGAGAGGAAGAUGAAGAGAUACUUGGUCCUAAAGUACCAUAUCCCAAUACAAUUGGUGCACUAAUAUAUCUUACUAAUUGUAGAAGACCUGAUAUAUCAUUUGCAAUAAAUUUAUUAGCAAGAUUUAGUUCCUCGCCCACAAGACGACAUUAGAAUGGUAUUAAACAUAUUUUUCGUUAUCUCCAAGGAACAAUUGAUCUUGGUUUAUUUUAUUCAAAUAAAUCUAAGCUUGAAUUGCAUGAUUAUGCUAAUGCUGGAUAUUUAUCUGACCGGUAUAAAGCAAGAUCUCAGACUGGUUAUCUAUUUAUACAUGGAGGUACAGCCAUUUCUUUGCGAUCUACAAAGCAAUCGUUAGCCGCCACUUCAUCGAAUCAUGCUGAAAUAAUAGCAAUUCAUGAGGCUAGUCGAGAAUGUGUUUGGUUAAGAUCAAUGACCCACUAUAUCCGUAAGAGUUGUGGGUUAUCCUCCGAAAAAGAAAAUCCUCCAACUAUAUUAUAUGAAGAUAAUGUAGCUUAUAUAACUUAAUUGAAAGGAGAAUAUAUUAAAGGAGAUAGAACAAAACAUAUUUCACAAAAAUUCUUUUGUACUCAUGAUUUACAAAAGAAUGGUGAAAUUUAUGUGCAACAAAUCCGAUCAGAUAAUAAUUUGACAGAUUUAUUUACCAAUGCAUUGCCAACUGUAAUAUUUGAGAAAUUGAUGAAGAAUAUUGGAAUGCGACAAUUAUAAGAUCUCAAAUGAUAUUUGCAUCAGGGGAAGAAAUCAAUACACAAAAAUAGUGUACUAUUUUUCCAUCACUAGGGUUUUCGUCCCAUUGGAUUUUUUCCUAAUAAGGUUUUAAUGAGGCAUAUUCUUUAUGUAAUGGACAUCCAAUGGGGAGUGUUAUGAAACAACUAAAAGUGUGGAUGCCCAUUUGUAUUCUCAAGAAGAUCAAUUCAUAAUUCAUUGCUCCCAAGACGAUUAAUUCAUAAUUCAUUGCUACAUUAUGUAAAGGAAUUACAUUGGAUGAACGGUUUCAAUCCAUAAGAGUUAUUCAUGUAUUGGAUGAACCAUUUCAUAUGGCUAUUUAUGUUCUUGUAGUAAUGAGUGUUUAAUAGAAUUGAUGUACGUUUAAUUUUGUAGUACCUAUAUAUAGAGGUAUCUUGGCACCUCUUUAGUGUACUUUUUGAUUAGUUGGAAUAAUAAAAAAAUCAUUCUCCAUUUCUGUACUACUUUCUCUAAUAUUUCAAUUCCAAUUAUAGCAGUUCAUUUUUUUUUUUGGGUUUACAACAUUACUCAAAGAAGAGAGUUAUUGGACUAUAUGUUUAUUGACCUCUACUAACUUAUUUAAGGUCAUUUCAUAUCACUAUCCAAAGAAAAAUUCUUGGGCGUUAACAUUUUUCUUACAUGCCAAGACUAUUAAUGAAAGUUGACCCAAAUCUCUCUCUCUCUUUCUCUCAAUUCUUAGGACUGAUGCCAAUUCUUACCAUUUAGAAAGAAAAAUUAGAUUGUUUAUAUAUAUGAUGAGUUCCCUCUAAGUCAUGGUUAAGAAAAAUUCUUAGUUUUAUGAAAUGUGAAUUUCCUUUUCGUUGUCUUUAUUCAUUAGUAUUAUUGGGGUUAUUGUAUUAUGAUUGCAAUGCACAGAUACAUGGAUUUUUGACAUUUUUUUUCUCAUUUUUUCUUUUUAAUCGACUCUGACUAUGUCUCAAACUCGAGACAUCAAACCUGGACACGACUUUUGUCCAAAAUGCUUGUAAAAAAUCAGAAGAAUAAUUUUGGACCUUAUUAUUUAAUAAUGGUACGAUUAUGAGAGUCAUUCCAGGUUAAUUAUCAAACUUGUAACUUGAAAAUAAUGUCGACAUCAUGUCAUUAUUAUUUUCUAGUUUCAUAGAAAAAUGAAGUAUUCUCCAACUCGACAUUAUCAUAUUAUUCUCAAUUGGCAGCUCAUGUGAGAAAGACAAGAAAUUCACAAUCAACUGGCCAAGAGAGUGCCAACAAAGAAAGCACUAAAUGGCUUAAACAAAGCAUGCAAAUUUGCUUAGCACUUAAACAAUAGACACCUAAAUCAACCAUGUCACUGUCUUGCCAAAAAAGGGCAUUAAAGUAAAAACAACUCAUGCCUAACACAGGUAACAAACUUCAGCACCUUCACUUCACCGCCACGUCAUCAACAACAUUUGCAAAUUUCCAAGGAAGUCCACGCACUAAAGGUGCCCAUGCCCUUAGGGGACCUCAGGUUAGUGUUCUUAACAUCAACUCCUGUCUUUAUAUUCUUAGGAAAUAUUGAAAUUAAACAUUAUCACUAAUCCUGAUUUCCUUAUGCUAUAUUUGUACACAAUUUGGCAACAAGGUUGUCCUUUUUUGGGCCAAAUUGGACAAGUAAAAAAAAGAAAAUUAAAAGGUUUAUCUGCAAACUGUAGUUCGGCCUGCCUCUUUUUUUUUUUUUUUUGGGGAUAAGAUCGUCAUGUAUCAAUAUUUCUGUACUUAGCAUUGGCUUCUUCUCGCCUGAAGAACACACGAACCACCGGAUGAAAGUGGUGAAUGAAAGUGCACUUAACCCUUUUAAUUUUUCAAAACAAUGCUUUUAGAAAAAAUAAUAAAGACUUUUUUGAAUUUAAUUUUAGAGAAGAAGAAUUUUAAACUUUUUUGAAUUUAAUCUUACAGAAGAAGAAGUUUAAAAUGUACUUUAAUUUUCACAACUGAUGAUGAGAAUAGCAAAAUGUAUACGGACGGUGACAAAAGUGCCGUCUUAUCCUUUUGCUGACGGCCCGUUUUCCAAUGAGAGGAUGCCUCUGCUUCGUAUUUUAUCCAUAUUGAUAUAUAUUCUUUUCUGUCCCCCUAACUAUUAAAUGUGAAAGGUUGCCCACCAAAUUUGACGAAACCGUUUAUCCUAAUUGAUUAUUAUCCAUAGGGCAUAACUUUAAUAUUCUUCUUCCAACCCGUCCGUCAAUGACCACUAACCACCUCUAAUCUAUUCUCAAAUUUUAAUGAAAUUGCGCAAUUAGUUUUCAUUUCUCACUUUUAUUUCAAAUUUGGUCUCAAUUUAAUGUGAAUCCCAAUAAAUAAGACCGGAGUUGAAAUCAAAGAACGUAUUUCAAUCACCAUCGGAUAAAUUCUUCAUGUCUAGUUUUGUCCUUGAGAUGCAUAGAAAAUGUAAGCUGAUCUUGCAGUCUACGAGAAAAACGAAGUCUAAGAGAAUAAUUUUGUCAAAACUUGACAAUGGAAUGAACCGGUGGUCGCUGGUUGGCAGCUGCUAGAAGUCAUAGCAGUUUUAAAACAUAAUUGCAGCAAGUAAAAGAUUAAAACUACGUUGUGUACUGUUAACGACUUACAUUGACAAAAUGGUUAAGGACAGAGUUGAAAGAUGAAUCAAACUGUUCGACAUUCGAUUCGAAUUUGACUUGGUAAAAACUUAUUCCAAUUUGAUUUGUCAGCUAGUCAAAUCUAAUUUAAAUAGUAUUUAACUUUGAAACUUGAUAAAAAGUUUGUUCAAACUCAGUUUACUAAAUAAACAAGUCAAAUUUGAACAAAAUUUCAAACUCAUUAAAAUAAUUAAAUACGUUUGAAUACUAGGAUAUUCGAUUUAAUUAAAUGCGAUUGCACCCCUAAUUAAAGCAUGUACUUUUUUUAUAAAUUUAGGAAUCAACAUUAUACAUUUAAUAGCUAGCUAGAGGGUCAAAAAGUUAAUUGCCUUAAAAUUCUUUUAGCAGCCAUAAAGUAUAGUUGGAGGGAUUCCCUUGAAAUUGAUUAGAUUCUUCUAUGUGACUAAAGAAUUUCGGGUGUGACGUAUUACUAGUCCUACCCUAAAAAAAAUGGUAUUACUAGUCCUUUUUUUCUUUUUUAGCGUGCCCCCGCCGUGGAGUGUGGGGAGGGUGGUCUGUGCGAGAAUUCUAGAUGGGGUACAAGGUGCCAAAGUUCACCUUAUUCAAAGUAAACAACCUUCCAUCUCAGAUGUUGAAUUUCCUGGCAAUUGCGUAUAUAUUACAAUCUUUUACCAUGACUUUAGAGGACAGCUAAAUUUGCUUGCUAUUAAAUAAUAUUUUCGGUAGUCUAUAAAUACUCUUGGUCCUAACUGCUUCUUGCACCACAUAAUUCUUUCAAGAACUACCAAAACCUUCUUGAAAUCCCUCUUUUUCCUUUUAGUUCAUUUCCAAGAAACAAAUUGAACCAUCAUGGCCCCUGUCACUUCCAGUUAUGAGGUCACCUGCUCAAUCCCUCCUGCAAGGUUGUUCAAGGCCACCAUCCUUGAAGAGAAGCAUCUUCACAAGAUCUUGCCACAGGGCGUUAAGAGUGUCGAAAUCCUUGAAGGAGAUGGUGGAGUUGGCACAAUUAAGUUGACCACAUUUGUUGAAGGUAAGAUAUCAAUACAAAGUGAUUAUGUUCACAAAUUUGAAGUCUUCAAAUUGCUCACUUUUUUUUUCUUUUAUUUGGGAAAAGCUAAUGACUUUUUUUUUUUUUUUUGGUUGGGUUAAAUAUUUAGGUGGCGAGCUUAAGACUGCCAAACAGAAAGUUGAUGGAAUUGACAAAGAAAAAUUUACAUACAGUUAUACUGUACUUGAAGCUGAUGGAUUUAACGAUGUAAUCGAGAAAAUCUGUUGUGUCAUCAAAUUUGAACCCUCUGCUGAUGGAGGUUCAAUCUGCAAAACCACUAAUACAUACUACCCCAAAGGUGGUGCUCAGAUCAGUGAGGAACACGUCAAGGGAGGAAAAGAGAAGGGUUUGGGAAUGGUUAAGGCUGUUGAGGCUUACCUCCACGCAAAUCCUACUGCCUACAACUAAUUAUAAUGAAUGCUACUGAAGGACUCUUCGACAUAUUUUCUUCAAGAUUGAAGUAUAAACUGAGGGUGUCUGUUUCCUUUUUUGCUUGGUUUGCUUUAAGCUGUUUGGUUGAGUUAUUUGCAGCUAUGAUCAUAAUAUUUGAUCGAAGUGUGCUUUUCUUGCAAC
RNAcentral lists this long non-coding RNA (98121 nucleotides) under Coffea arabica (coffee). RNAcentral describes it as "long non-coding RNA (CARA_LNC002175)". The record is from RNAcentral. Lineage: Eukaryota; Viridiplantae; Streptophyta; Magnoliopsida; Gentianales; Rubiaceae.